UGGAAUCAUAUUACGAUGGAAGCAGAGGCAACACCACAAUACUGUUUCCUAAUCUUCGUGAGCUUGUACUGAGCAGAUGUCCCAAGCUAACUGAGAUAGUACCGUUGGAGAAGCUGCCAAGGCUUGAAAGCGUACAAUUAAGGGACCUGGAAUCCUUCAAUGGUUCACUUGCACAUGUGGAAUCUGAAUGCCCUAAAUUCCUCUCCCUCGUUCGCUUGAAAAUAGAGAUCUGCCCAAAUUUUGUAUGUUUUCCAGAUGGAGGGAUGGAUGCACCCAAAUUGGAGGAGCUGCGUAUCUCUCAAUGCAAGAAAUUGAGGUCACUGCCAGAACAAAUGCAUAUCCUUCUACCGUCUCUUCAACGUUUGAAAGUAUUCGGCUGUCCAGAAGUGGAAUCAUUUCCUCAAGGAGGGUUGCCCUCAAAUUUACAAGGCCUUUCUUUUGAGUGUUAUAGAAAACUCGCUGCAAACCGCUCACUGUGGGGUUUAACAAGACUCAACUCUCUUAGAAAUUUGGAAAUCAGUUUCACUGAAGAAGGUGGAGAAGAAACGGGAUGUUCGUUUCCGGAAGAGGGUUUGCUGCCCGCCACUCUCACUAGUCUCUCCAUCUGCUUUCAUCCAAAUCUUAGAACCAUCCAAGGCAAGGUUUUGAGACAACUCACCUCUCUUGAACACCUCACAAUACAAGGAUGCCCUGAGCUCCAGGGCUUUCCAGAACAAAUGCAUACCCUUAUACCGUCUCUUCAAAAAUUGAGAGUGUUCGGCUGUCCAGAAGUGGAAUCAUUUCCUCAAGGAGGGUUGCCCUCAAAUUUGCAAGACCUUUCUUUUGAGUGUUGUAGAAAACUCGCUGCAAACCGCUCACUGUGGGGUUUAACAAGACUCAACUCUCUUAGAAGGUUGGACAUCAGUUUCACUGAAGAAGGUGGAGAAGAAAUGGGAUGUUCGUUUCCGGAAGAGGGUUUGCUGCCCGCCACUCUCACUAGUCUCUCCAUCCGCUUUCUUCCAAAUCUUACAACCAUCCAAGGCAAGGUUUUGAGACAACUCACCUCUCUUGAAGACCUCACAAUACGACGGUGCCCGGAGCUCCAGGGCUUUCCAGAAGAAGCGCCCAAAUCUCUGAAAAGCUUGACUAUUUGGGAGUGCCCUAAUAUCGGGUGCUUGCCGGGAGAAUGGCUUCCCACAUCUCUUUCACUACUGCAAAUCUGGACGUGUCCGCUGUUAGAAGAACGAUUCCGAAGAGAGACAGGGGAAGAUUGGCCAAAGAUUUCUCACAUCCUCCAUAAAUAUAUACAUUAGAUGUCCUUGAGAUUAGUACUUGCCGAACUCUCUCUCUCUCAAUCAGGUGUGUGUGUCUAUAUGUAUAUAUACAAAUCAUUUGAAUGACCCAAAACACUUUAGUUGGGUACUUUUCUGAUAGUUAUUUUUUUACUGCUAUGUUUUUUAGUAUGUUUGGUUAGUACUCCAGCUCCAGGCUCAUUAUCAUUGUAUGUAAGCUGUCUCGAUCCAUCCGAUUUGUGUGGUCAGUUUAAUCAAGAGAGCUUUAAUGAAAAGAAUUUAAACUAAGUUUAAAUUAAUCAAAAAUCAUCUUAAAUUAUUUUUUAACUAAAAAGCUUCAUAUUUAAUAGGAAGGACAAACUAAUUUAUAUUAGGUCCUACAAACAGUAAAAGACAUUGGCUGAAUUAAAAAGCCGAACAUGCAAUUUUUUUUUUUUUACAGCCAUGCCCAUGACCGAAACUUCAUUCUGCCAGCCCAAUUCCGUUAGAAAUAAAUUUUUCUUUAUUUACAGGUAUGUCACUACCUCAUUAAAACCUAAAUAUCAUAUGAAAAUGAAAAUUUUAAAAGUUUCCAUGAAUUCUCCCAUCAGGACGUCCCUGAUCGUAGCAUUGAGUGAUUUGACUCUUAAAUAAAUACAAAAAUAAGCUAUUAUCAUCAAUGUUACCUAUUUUUAAUGUUUUAAAUAGGAAUGCAUCUUAAUAAUCAAGCAGCGUGAAUAAAAUCAAAUUAAUCUUAUAGUUCGACUACAAAACAAAACCAGCACAUGAAAUUAAAAUUACAUAGUAGCAAUAUCCCAUACAAGUGGCCUUGUUAUUUUUUUAUUUUUUUUUUAUACAAAUCAAUUUGGAAAUCUUAUUAUUUUCAUUCUCAUCCUACAAUGUUGCACGAUGAUUUGAACUGUUUAUCUUUAGGCCAUCAUUUAAAAACCAUCUCUACAAAAAGCUAAAUGCAUUCAAAAGUUUUUGCUCAUGUAACGAUUAUUCAAUAAUUCUUUUGAACACUGAAAUUAUGACAAUAUUAUUCUAAAAUGGUUUGACGAUAUCUUGUUUGGUUCUUUUGUUGCAAAUAAUACUAGAUAGGGAAGUUUUUUUUGGUAAAAGAAAUAAAGGAAAUAAAAUAGCUGGCAUGACAUCAUACUCACCAAUCACGAUGUAUACGUUCCAUACAUGUGGGGGUCUUGGCCUCUCAUUUUUUCUCUCCCUCACUUACUUACAAAUACAUGAAUGCCCAAAUUUUGUAUGUUUUCCAGAUGGAGGGAUGGAUGCGCCCAAAUUGGAGGAGCUGCUUAUCUCUCGAUGGAAGAAAUUGAGGUCGUUGCCAGAACAAAUGCAUACCCUUCUACUGUCGCUGUCAAUCGUCUCUCCAUCUACAAUCUUCCGAAUCUUACAACCAUCCAAGGCAAGGUGUUGAGACAACUCACCUCUCUUGAAAACCUCAUAAUAGACGGAUGCCCUGAGCUCCAGUGCUUUCUUGAAGAAGCCCCCAAGUCUCUAAAAGGCUUGACUAUUACGAGAUGCCCUAAACUCGGGUGCUUGCCAGGAGAAUGGCUUCCCACGUCUCUUUCUUAUCUGCAAAUCCAUUUGUGUCCUCUGCUAGAACAACGAUUCCAGAGAGACGGGGGAAGAUUGGCCCAAGGUUGCUCACAUCCCCGCGUGUAUAUAUUAUAGAUCUUCUUGAACUUGGCUCUCUCUGUCUCUCUCAGGUGUAUGUGUAUAUCCCUUGUUGUUUUGCCACAAACUCUUCCUAAUGCAACAACAUAGGGGGGAGCUGGUAUAGCCCUUGUUGUUUUGCGAUGGAGUAGUACUAUGUACAUGAUUACUAGGCUAAAACAAGUGCAAAUUUGAUUUCGUUAAUUUGUCUAUUCGACUAUAUAACCUUGCUCAUUGUCAUUGUAUGUAUCAUGCUGUCUCGAUCCAGCCGAUUUCAUUUCAUGUUUGAUAGGGCCAUCAAGUUCAGCUCCUCCUAAUACCAUUAAGUUCGUCACUGUUUGGUUAAUGUCUGGCACCGUGAAGAACAAAAGUGAAGAGUUUCCAUUCUGCAUUACAUGAUCCCUGUCAAACUUUAAUCAUUAGCAGAUCCCAAUUUCAUUCAAAGCACAAAGCUUAAAUCCAACUACUACUAAAAUAAAACCACAUUACCAAAAACUAGAAGGAAUCAUAAAACCGAAAAAACCCAAGAAAUUCGAAGUUUUACGCUUUCAAUUUACGAAAAACAAGAACAAGCAGUAUAAUUUGUCGUGUCUAAAAAUCUGGUUUAGACAAAUCAUCAAACACCUGGUGUACAUCGAGCACCCAGUCUCAGAGAAAGGAGAAAGACAUAGUUUACUUGGGGGAUUGCAUGAGGGAAAGCUUGAGUGAGCCGAACCGUAGAUUCGCCCAUCGAAUAGUGCAGACAUUAACGGUGAAGUCCAACCCUUCCGCAUUGAACCGGGAGGCUUUUGGCACGUCCUUGUGCAGCUGCAGUAGCCACCUAAACGACUCCGCUGCCAUUUUUUCCCUUGCUUUCUAGGCUGUGUACUUCUGAGUAUGUAAAUGGGUCACCCGAACCUAAUCCGAACCUAAUCCGUUAAUCUAACGGGUCAUCCAAAUCCGACCCGUUAAGCUAACGGGUCACCUGUUUCAUCCGUUAACAGUUAUUAUUAUUAUUUUUUUUCAUAGAGUUUAUAUUUUGUUGUUAAGAUUUUAUUGAAAUUACUAAAACAUCCUCAAUUAACAGGUGCUAACGGGUUGACCCAAAGUGACCCGUUAUUUAACAGGUUCACCCGUUAACGACCCGACCCGUUAAGCAUCCACCCAAAUACUAAUAUUAACGGGUCAGAUCGGGUUAACGGGUCGGAUCCAAAAUGUCAGGUCUACUUCUGACUGAAGGAAACUGACUCACUGGUUGUCGUUUCAACCGUGAGUCGUGACUGAUAUUAGACGACAUGUCGUUUUGAGGGUCUCAAAGUUAAAUUGGGGGAUUAUCUUAUGAUGCAUGGACCCGGAUAUAUAUACUCAGCUUAUAUCGGUCCCACCUCUAAACUUUGGUGAUAAUUAUUGUUAUACAGAAAAAUUUCUUAUUUGGACGUAAAUAUUAAAGGGAGUUUUAACGAAAAGCUCAUGAUACUGUUCAUUUUAACGAAAAACCACAUUUUUACACUAAAAAGUCAAACCUGCUACUAUUCACUUUACCCUUUAUUUUGUCCUUAUCGUUAAAACUCAAAUUUUUCAAGUCAUUUUUGUUAGUUUUCCUAAUAUUAAAAUUUCAUUAGAGGUUGUCAUUCAAUUGUUACAUUUUAGGAUGAAAGUUGCGCUUUAGCUUUACUUGACUCCUGUUUUCAUAAUUUUUUUUCUUUUUCAAUUUUUGACCUAAUCUUAGACAUGAUUGCUUCUUUUAGAGUAUCAAGAGAUUCUACAAGCUUAAGCUUUAUGAUUGAACUCUCACAGUGUUGGUGAUGUCCAACCUUCUAAGAGAGUUGAGUCUUGUUAAACCCCACAGUGGGCGGUUUGCAAUGAGUUUUCUACAACACUCAAGACAUUGGACAGCCGAAUACUCCUAAUUCCCUCGUUCACUUGGGAAUAGACAACUGCCCAAAUUUUUUAUGUUUUCCAGAUGGAGGGAUGGAUGCGCCCAAAUUGGAGGAGCUGCUUAUCUCUUGAUGCAAGAAGUUGAGGUCGUUGCCAGAACAAAUGCAUACCCUUCUACAGUCUCUUCAGAAAUUAGGAGUAUUCGGCUGUCCGGAAGUGGAAUCAUUUCCUCAUGGAGGGUUGCCGUCAAAUUUACGAGUCCUUCGUCUUGAGUGUUGUAGAAAACUCGCUGCAAACCGCCCACUGUGGGGUUUAACAAGACUCAACUCUCUUAGAAGGUUGGACAUCAGAUUCAGUGAAGAAGAUGGAGAAGAAAUGGGAUGUUCGUUUCUGGAAGAAGGUUUGUUGCCCGCCACUCUCACUAGUCUCUCCAUCAGCUUUCAUCCAAAUCUUACAACCAUCCAAGGCAAGGUUUUGAGACAACUCACCUCUCUUGAACACCUCACAAUAAAAGGAUGCCCGGAGCUCCAAGGCUUUCCAGAAGAAGCACCCAAAUCUCUGAAAAGCUUGACUAUUUCGGAUUGCCCUAAUAUCGGGUGCUUGCCAGGAGAAUGGCUUCCCACAUCUCUUUCUCGACUGGAAAUCCGAAGGUGUCCGCUGUUAAAAGAACGAUUCCGGGAAGAUUGGCCCAAGAUUUCUCACAUCCCCAAAAUAUAUAUCAGCAUGAAUGUUCGCGUCAUCCCAAAACACUUUAGUUGGAUACGUUUCUGAUGGUUAUUUUUUAGGAAAAUUAAUGAAAAGGGUUUGAAAACUUUGAGUUUUAAUGAUAAGGACAAAAUAAAGGGUAAAGUGAAUAGUACCAGGAUUGACUUUUUAGUGUAAAAAUGUGAUUUUUCGUUAAAAUAAACAGUACCGGGAGUUUUUCGUUAAAGUUUCCUAUUUUUUUUAGUAUGUUUGGUUAGUACUCCAGCUCCAGGCUCAUUAUCUUUGUAUGCAAGUUGUCUCGAUCGAUUCGAUUUGUGUUGCCAGUUUAAUUAAAUGAGCUUUAAUAAAAAAAGUUUUGACUAAAUUUAAUUUAAUCAAAAACCAUUAUAAAUUAAGGAAAACUCAUGAAAAGGGCUUGAAAACUUUGGAUUUUAACCAAAAACCAUGUUACAACUUUAUUUAAUGGUUAAUACAAAGCCCAAUACUAAAGCAAUCCAACUACAAUGGCCCAACCAAAAUAAUAUCAUUACUUGUCGAUUUUGCCCCUAACGUUUUAGGUUAAGUCAGUUUUGUUUUAUUCUGUCAGUUUACUUUUGCCCUUUUCAGAAAGCUGAAAAAGUCACGAUUCUUUAUAUUCACCCCCAACAACUCAUAAAUCCCACGAGCUCCCUCUCGCGCUCCCCCAUUCUCUCUUUCACUUUCUCUCUCUAACUUUGUAUCUGCAACUCCAUUUCGAUUUUUCAAGUUGAUGAUGGGAAACUGAUUUAGUGCGCAAAUAAAGAGAGGAGAGAGAAGAACACACAUAAAUUCUGGGUUUUAUUCAUCUGUCAUUUGAUUUUCUAAUCCCGGAUUGCUUCUCGUUUGCUUCCAAAUCCUGAAUUAUUUCUUGAAGUCAAUGAGGGUGUUGAAUUUUAUUAGUCCGAGGUUGGUGAGUCAUCACAGAAGAGGGUUUGUAUUUCAAUUCGGAAGGAGGGAGGUUGAUUCGGUGGAACUGGAUUUGUCAAAGUGGGUGAUUGGGGGCUCCGCCGAUGGAUUCGCAAUGGCAACAGAAACUGAUUCGCUGGCAAGGUGAUGUGGAGUUAAAGGGCACUCAAUGCACUAAAACUGAUGUGGGUUUACAAUGUUAGCAUGUAAAACUCUUAACAAAUUCUGCUAAAGUUAUUCUUGUGACUCUCUCAAACUCGCAUCUCGGUGGGUUUACAAGGGGUGGGCUAGGUUCAAUUUGGUCUGGGUUGUGGGCGACCAAAACUGAUGUGGGUAUUUUUGUAUGCGUAAAUGGAGAGAGAAGCUUAGUUUGUGUGGAAAAACAAAUUAAAGGAAAGUCAAAAAAAUUGAUUGAGAGAAAUGUCAAAUAACAAACACGAAUAUGAUAGUUCUAGUUACGAAAUAGUGAUAGUAUUAGUGUUCGGUUUUAAAAAUAGUCAGUGUUUAGUUUACGAACUAGUGAUAGUACUAGUGUUCUAUUUGAGAAAUAAUCAGUGUUUAGUUUACAAAACAGUGAUAGUACUAGUGUUCGUUUGAUAAAUAGUCAGUGCUUAGUUUACGCAAUAGUGACAGUACUUGUGUUCAGUUUAUGAAAUAGUGAUAGUACUAAUGUUCGGUUUAAGAUAUAGUCAGUGUUUAAUUUGAGAAAUAGUGUUCAUUUUAAGAAGUAGUCAAUGUUCAGUUAAGAAAUAGUGAUGGUACUAGUGUUCCGUUUGAGAAAUAAUCAGUGUUUAGUUUACGAAACAGUGAUAGUACUAGUGUUCCGUUUAAUAAAUAGUCAGUGUUUAGUUUACGAAACAGUGAUAGAACUAGUGUUUGUUUGAGAAAUAGUCAAUGUUUAGUUUACGAAACAGUGAUAGUACUAGUAUUCCGUUUAAAAAAUAGUCAGUGUUUAGUUUAUGAAACAGUGAUAUUACUAGUGUUUCGUUUAAGAAAUAAUCAGUGUUUGGUUUACGAAAUAAUGAUAGUACUAGUGUUCGUUUGAUAAAUAGUCAGUGUUUAAUUUUCGAAAUAGUGACAAUACUUGUGUUCAGUUUAUGAAAUAGUGAUAGUACUAAUGUUCAGUUUAAGAUAUAGUCAGUGUUUAAUUUAAGAAAUAAUGUUCAUUUUAAGAAGUAGUCAAUGUUCAGGUAAGAAAUAGUUAUAGUACUAGUGUUCCGUUUGAGAAAUAAUCAGUGUUUAGUUUACGAAACAGUCAUAGUACUAGUGUUCAAUUUAAUAAAUAGUCAGUGUUUAGUUUAUGAAACAGUGAUAGUACUAGUGUUCGUUUGAUAAAUAGUCAAUGUUUAGUUUACGAAAUAGUGAUAGUACUAGUGUUCCGUUUGAUAAAUAGUUAGUGUUUAGUUUACGAAAUAGUGACAGUACUAGUGUUCGUUUGAUAAAUAGUCAGUGUUUAGUUUACGAAAUAGUAACAAUACUUGUGUUUAGUUUAUGAAAUUAGAGGCCAAUACAAACCUUGUAUAAUCUAUUUAUGAAACAGAACACGGGUACUAUUUAUGAAACUGAACACGAUUACUAUUUAUGAAAUAGGACACGGAAACUAUUUAUGAAACUAAUCAAGGGUACUAAUUAUGAAAUUGAACACGGGUACUAUUUAUGAAACAGAACAUGAAAACUAUUUAUGAAACUGAACACGGGUAUUAUUUACGAAACAGAACACGAAAACUAUUUAUGAAACUGAACACGGGUACUAUUUAUGAAAUUGAACACGAUUACUAUUUAUGAAACUGAACACGGAAACUAUUAUGAAACUGAACACAAAAAUUAUUUAUGAAACUAAACACGAGUACUAUUUAUGAAACUAAACACAUAUACUAUUUAUAAAACUAAACACGAGUACUAUUUAUGAAACUUCAAAUAUACCAAAUACAACAAUGUACCAUUUUUUUCAUUCGUGAGAAUAAAGUAGAAACAUACAACAUGUUGAGUAAAUCAAGAAAGCAUAUGCCACCACCAAACUUAUAUUAAAAAUCGUAACUUUUAAUUUGAACACAUCACAAUUUCCAACACAAUAAUCCAAAAUUAACUAAACUAAUCAGUCAAGUAGAAAUCAGGAGUGCAGAUCUUCUGCACCGAAAAUUAUAUGUGGCCUCUCAUUGGCUUCCCUCAAAAUUUACACUUGUCCCUCAAUUGAUUCAAUAUAACAUUGUUAACUAUCCAAAUAAAAACUCUGAAAAAAAAAAGAAAAGAAAGGAAAAUAGCAGCCCAUUACCCAGUCUUCACCUACCAACGCCACUAGCGCACAAUCCAUCAUCAACCCCACCGCGUCCAAAAUUGCAAAACCAAAAAACAAGGGGAUUUUUUUCGAGUGAGGAAGGUGAAAGGUCUGCGACUCUCUGUCCGAGAAAAAAACAACAAGGGGCAUUGAUUCCAUCUGCAUCAAAGUAAUUUUUUUGUCCUUAUGGGAGGAAAAGAAAAGAAAAAGAUAGGAAGUUUUAUUUGAUCGAGGGGAUGGCUGAAAAGGGGAAUCAGUUUCUGUUGCCAUUGCGAAUCCAUCGGCGGAGCCCCCAAUCACCCACUUUGACAAAUCCAUUUCCACCGAAUCAACCUCCCUCCCUCCAAAUUGAAAUACAAACCCUCUCAUGUGAUGACGCACCAACCUCGGACUAAUCAAAUUCAACACCCCCGUUGACCUCAAGAAAUGAUUCAGGAUUGAAGUUUAAUUCUAACAGAUUGGUUGACAGAAUGCGAUUUCUGUUAGGGGCAGGGGCUGGAAAAAAAAAUAUUCUGUUUUGGGUUUUUAAUUCAUCCCAUGUGGGUUUAAUGGUUGUGGGCCUAAAAUAGAUUAGUUUUGUCCUUAUAAUUAAAUAUAAAGCCCUUUUGAUUAAAUAAUAGUAUAUGGUGGUUUUUGGUUAAAUUAAACUUUGUUCAAACCAUUUUCAUUAAAGCUCCCUAUAAAUUAUUAUUUAACUGAAAAAACUUCAUAUUUAAUUAUAAGAACAAACAAACUUAUAUUAGGUCCUGCAAACAGUAACAGACAUGGACUGAAUUAAAAAGCCCAACAUGCAAUAUCUUUUUUUCCAGCCAUGCCCCUGACAGAAAUGUCAUUCUGUCAGCCCAAUUCCAUUAGAAAUAAAUUUUCCUUUUUUUACAAGUAUGUCACCACCUCCCAAAGCCCAAAUAUUAUAUGAAAAUGAAAAUUUUGAAAGUUUCCAUGAAUUCUCCUAUCAGAACGUCCCUAAUUGUAGCCUAAGUGAUUUGACUCUUAAAUAAAUAAAAAAAUAAGCUAUUAUCAUCAAUGUUACUUAUUAUUCAUGUUUGGGCGAAGUGCUGAUUUAGUCCCUGAACUAUCACCUCAGUGAAAAUUAGGUCCCUGAAUUAUUUUUUUCGGUAAAAUAAGUUCCUAAAUGCAUUAGAAAUUGCUAAUUUCAUUCAUACUAUUAUAUUCAUGAGAGCUUUAAUGAAAAGUGACACACCCCGAUCCGGAGGAUCCAGGUGUGCUGGCCGUCACGUGGGCGUGACGUAACCAUAGGCACGACACGGAAGCGGAAUAACAACAUCAAUCAACAGAAGUUCAAACCAAACUCAAACAUAACCAUCUACGGACAUAACCGGACGAGUUAUAAGGUAAACACAUAAGUUCAGAGCAUAGGUUAACUGCAGUCAAGUAGGACUAAAAUAAAAUACAUCACCCUCAGGUGAGUCCUACAUGUCGAAAGUCUGUUAGAAAGCCGGAAAAGACCUCGAGAGUCACCAGCCGCUAAAUUAGAACCUGGAGGGGCGCAAAACAAAAUGAGUGGGUCAGUAAAAACCAAAGAUUUUCCAAAACAUUUCAAUUAAAACAUUUCUAACCCCUCACCGUAAAACCUGUAUACAUUCCCAGAAAAUAUAUAUAACCAUAUGAAAUCUCAAAACUUAAAUCUCAAACCUUUAACAUUUUUCAAGAAAACAUGCCAUGCCAUAAAUCAAAAUAUAAAUCAGGUGAAAUAAGGAAUCAAUCGGAGACCAUGCAGUUGGUCCUAUACGAUUAAUUCAAUAGCUCAAUAUCCCACUAAGCCGGAGUCACCACAGUGACCUGUACGGCCCUACUCUGCACAUCACUCGGAACUACGUAAGGUAGUCUAUACGAUGAAAGGUGUAAAAAUACGCUUUAGUGCUUCACUCAUCAUAUCAUCAGUGCGCAUAACUAAGGUCACCCACUAGUCGGAAUCACGCCUAGUGAUCUAUACGACUAGCAUGUCGGAACCCUCACAUGGUCUGUACGACAUCCACCUACUUGGAUCCGAGGCGAGCGUGCGGUGUGGUGAAUAAUAUAAGCACUAACACCUAGGGUGCAUGUUAUGAGCUCAAAACAUCUCAACAACAACAAUUCAAUGAAUAAAUGAACUCACCUGACUUACCUGUGCCUCCACAGCACCAUGCAACAUGUAUGCAUCAUAUAUCAAUCAUAUAUCUCAUGUGAAAUUCAUAUUCAUCAAAUAAUCCUAUGCAUGGCAUUUUAAAACAUAUUUUCAUAUAAAUUCAUUUUUCUGGGAAAAAUCGAUAGUAUAAAGGUAAUACGAAAGCAAAACUGCCCAUUCACUGAUAAGUCGACGGGUCGUAACCCCCGUGGCGUCCCUGGAUGCGGUCGUCCUCGGGAUACGUCUCACCUAUAUGCGAAACAACUAAAAUGACAUUAUUUAAAGCACAUCACCAACGUUUCGUAAUAAUUUCUCAUACGAUACUCAAUCUUGACAAAUGAAUACACCAACGCGAUCUACACAACCUCACGAGCAUCGCAAAAUUUUUAAAAUAAUUUUUUGAAGCCUCACGCGCCCCCACGCGCCAAAACAGGCACGGGUCUACGCGCCCCCACGCGCAGCCACGUGCGAGUCAUGCGGACGGCGUCAGUUGACGCCGUCAGGAAUAUUCCCGGAAUAUUUCGUCAGAACUAACGGUUACCGUUACUGCCGUUAGGAAUAUUCCGUUAAAACUAACGGAAUAUUCCUCCUUCUUCUCCGACCUACCCUCGCCGGACUCUGGUCACCGGAAAACUGGGAAAAUUUUCUAACUAGCUAUUCUCACUCAUUUUUCGUCCAUUUUUCUCGUACUUUACACCAAAAUGAAGCCCUAAAUGAGUACUAUCACGAUGGACUAAUUUUAAACACCAAAAAGCACGGGAUCAUACCUUCCAAAAAUCCAAGAAAAUCGGCCAAACUCGAACUAGGUGAUCUCGACGUCCAAUUCUUCCAAAUGAAGCACUCCGAGCUUCCUUAGGACUUCACCAAGCUUCCUACAAGCUUCAAAAUCCCAAAAACUUAAAGAUUUAUGUGUGCAUGAACAGUGCACCACCACGGGGACUUUGAAAUCUAGGGUUUUCGAAGGAAACAUUACCUGAAAGUGGUGUCAGUGCAUUCGUGAAGUCUUCAGGAGUCCAUUGGUGUCCUCAAGAUCGUCGAUCCACAAAGUUUGGAAGGGUUUUGGGAUCUGUCCGUACAAUUUGGAGAGGAAGAGAGACUAAGAGGGAGAGAUCGUGAGGGAAGAGAGAGAGAGGGAAGACACGGGGAAGGAGAAGGAGAGAGAUCUUUUUGUGGUCCACACCAAUCCACCCAUACAUUUCAUCCUAACCAUACAUAAAAAUCCAUCUUUCAAAAUAUUUUCUAAUACCCUUGCAUAAUAUUUGAACAAAUAAAGUCUCACACACACGUACCUUAACAACGUCAAGGGCAAUCUCGUCAUUUCAUAUUCCCGUCAAAAGUACUUCUGGGACGGGCUGUGACAAAAAGGGCUUGAGUUAAGUUUACUUUAACAAAAAAUCAUCCUAUACUAUUAUUUAACCAAAACGGCUUUAUAUUUUAUGAUAAGAACAAAACUAUUAUAUAUCAGGCCCUAUAAACCUUGAAUACACAUGGGCUGAAUUAAAAGCCCAAAACGAAAUACUUUUUUUUUUUCCAGCUCUUACCCCUAACGGAACCCCACUCCGUCAGCCACUCCAAUUAGAAAUAGACUUUCCUUUUUUACAAGUAUGCCACUUCCUCAUUAAAAAACAAAAUAUUGAAAUAAAAAACCCCAAUAAUUUAUACGAUCACAAAUCUCAUCUUGAAUUUUGUUCGUUCUUGCUUCGUUAAUUUUAAAUCGGAGGGAAAAAUGUUAGGACCUGUUUGGUUGCUCAGAAAAUUUCACUGAGAUUCUGUUUUCUGUUUAGAGUUUGAAACUUGCAGAGUUAAUUUCAAUGGAGGAAGCUCAGAAUGGAGCCCUCAUUUUUGCGUUUUAUUAUGCUGAUUUGAGUUCCGAAAGACUGAAAAUCCCAAAAAGAUUCAUGAGAAAAAUGGAAGGCAGAAUAACUGGGUUGGUUUUUUUGUUCGACCUUAGCGGCAGUGCGUGGAGGAUUGAAUUGAUUCAACAGAAUGGUGGUUUUUUCUUGCAUCAUGGGUGUAGUGGCUAAGCCAGAAUUUGUCGAGGGGAGGGGCGAAAUUCAAAAGAAUGCAAGGUUUCAAUUGAAGCGGUUGCUUUUAUAUUGGACAGUGCAAAGUUUUAAGUCAAUAUUCAUAACAAAAAACAGUCUCUUCACCACAACGGUUGUAAGCGGUAAUAUCAAAGCUAUGUAAGAAGCUUAAAUUGGUUAGGAUUAGAUUCUAAGAAAAUAUUAGGCGCUAUGGACUGAGACCUAGCAGCUAGGCGCCUAGACAUGAUUUAAGUAGGAGCCUAGAUGGAUUUAAAUAUAUUUUUUAUAUCGUAAAAUAAGUAUUAAACAAUAUUUAUAUUAUUUUUUAAAAAUUAGUACAAUAUUUAUAGAUAAUAUGAAAGUUUAAGAUAAAUAUGCUAUGGGUCUUAAAUAAAUAAUGUGAGAGUUAAACAUAACUUUGUUAACUUUUAAUAAGUUAACAAAUAAAUAAUAAAAAGUAAAUUAAAACCAGGGGUAGAAUCCCCUCAGUUCUUGCAAAACACAAAACAAUUGACCCCAAAUCAUAAUGAAAGAUCAAAUUCCAAAUUUCCAUCCCAAUUUUCCCUAGAAACAAACUGAAAAUUCUCUUUCUAGGAAGUAGAAGAAGCCGAAAAGAAAAGCAUCGCCGCUUGUCAGCGGUGGGUGAGGUGGUGUCUCUGCUUGAUUUCAACAUUAGUUCGGGUCUUUCUUCACAAAGCUUCGAGCCACCAUUUCCAUGGCCGGUGACAAAAUCUAUCGCAUAUGGAUUCUUCUUGUCCGUCAAUGGCGAACCCGCCUGUAGGCAGAUGACAUCUUCAAUGAUUUUUCUUCGAACCCAGGUGCGCCCACAUCCUGCCCCAUUUCCGUCAAACAAAUAAAGAAGGAGACAUGAAUGAGACACCACUUUCGGGACAGCAGCCCCGGAGCCGUAGUCAGUACUACUAUGUUGAUAACCAAACACCUCAUUUCUCCUACCACUACCCCUGCCAUGGCAAAUCUGCAAACUCGAAGUCGAAGCCCUUCAUCGAUCCCAUCGCAACCUACUCCCAAAAAAAAAAUUGCAUAUCUGCUGCUGCUGUGCGCAGUAGAACAGAUCACCCAACAACACAAACAGAGGAUGAACAGUGGGUUUUUCAAAGAGGAGGGGAGUGGCGAACCCAGCUCUGCAGUGGUGUUUCCCGGCGAAGCCGCCACUCCUCACCCUCACGUGGCUUUGCCACUGCAUGGGUGGUUAACAUUUGUGAUAGACCAUUACGUAGAAUGCUGGGACUUCUUGAUUUUUAGAUACGACGGUGAUUUGCGUUUCACCGUGCUAAUCUCUUAUAAAAGUUUGUGUGAGAAAGAAGCUGCAUUUCGUUUUGGAUAUAGCCAAGCCUCUAGCAACUUUGAAAAGUAUGUGUAUAUGGAACGAAAAAGGGGAAGGGAGGAGGCCGCAUCUUCUGGCAAUAAGCUGGUUGAUGGUGCGACGAAGAAGAUGAGAAAUGGCUUGUCUCAGUUCCACUCAGAAUGCAUCGAUGAGGGCUGAGAAGAAGCAACUUGUUCCAAGGAAGAAAAUCCACAUGAAAAUCCCUGGCUUGGAUGUUGUACUAAGAAAAGUCUGGUUUGGAUGUUGUUCUAUAUAUAUAAAGCAAAGUUUCAAAGAAAUGAGACCAUAAUAAAAAUCUUGUUGAGUAGCACCCACCAUUAACAUUCCAUCCUGCGCCACAAUGCUGGCAAACACUAGUAGUACUAGUGCAUUGUUAUUUGUUAUAGUACCUGUGAGCCAUUCAUCCAAAUUUCCUUAAACGUGCUUGUUACUUGUUUGAUUUUAUAUAUACAGCAUCAGCAUAGCACACAUAACUAAGAUGACUUGUCGUGAGGGUGGUGGGUUAGGAUUAGCUAAUUUGGUAAUCCAACUUCUGGUUGCCUAAUUGACUAAUAGUCUAAUUAUAAUUAAAGUCAUUGUCGUAAUUGCGUUCAAUGUUACUUAUUAGGAUGAGUUAUUUUGGUUCUGUUAAAAAAUAGUUAGUCAGUUUAAUAAAUAGUGUAGUACAUGUGUCAGUUUCAUAAAUAGUUUAAUAAAUAGUGUAGUACCCGUGUCAGUUUCAUAAAUAGUCAGCCAGUUUAAUAAAAAUAGUGAGUGACAAUGUCAGUUUCAUAAAUAGUGUAGUACAUGUGUCAGUUUCAUAAAUAGUCAAUCAGUUUAAUAAAUAAUGUUGUACCUAUAUCAAUUUCAUAAAUAGUCAGUCAGUUUAAUAAAUAGUGUAGUACCCAAUGUCAAUUUCAUAAAUAGUGAGCUUAAUAAAUAGUGUAGUACAUGUGUUAGUUUCAUAAAUAAUCAAUCAGUUUAAUAAAUAGUGUAGUACCCAUGUCAAUUUCAUAAAUAGUGAGUUUAACAAAUAGUGUAGUACUUGCAUUAGUUUCAUAAAUAAUCAAUUUAAGAAAUAGUUAGUGUUCAGUUUAAGAAAUAGUGAUAUUAUUAGUAAUCAGUUUAAGAUAGAGUGAUAGUAUCUGUGUUUAGUUUUCAAAAAUAGUUAGUAUUCAGUUUAAGAAAUAUUGUAGUAUUCGUAUUUAAUUUCAGAAAUAGUCUGUUUAAGAAAUAGUGUAGUAUCAAUUUUUAGUUUCAGAAAUAGUACAUGUGUCCAGUUUCAGAUAUAACCAUUAAAAAAAAAGAGUUUAAUAAAAAAAGUUUGGACUAAGUUAAUUUUAACCAAAAAAACAUCCUAUAAUCUUCUUUAAUAUAAGAAGCUUGAAAUUUAAUAAACAUGACAAAAUACAAUAUAACAAAAACUAAAACUAAAGCCUCAUAGGUAGUAAAUAAGCCCACAUGCAAAACCAAAUUUUUUUAUUCCAACCAAUACCCCUGAUGGAAACUCCAUUCCGUUAGUCCAAUUCCAUCAGAAAAUUGAUUUUUCCCAGGUUUGAACUGAAUGAAAGGUUUGUCGGGGCCACACUUCCAUUAAAUAUUAGUUUGGUUGCGUCGUGUCUGCAUGUCCAUGAGUUUUAGCCUCCAACUCUCCUUUCUCAGUAUCUUAGCCACUAAGAUGUGUCACAUGCCCCACUGCCUUCUCUAAUCUUAAAAAUUAGAACCUUCAUCCCCAAUUAUUACUCCGUUGUUAUUAUUUUAAUUAUUAAUUUAUUAGCACUAUAAUUAGGCAUAUAUAUGUAAGUAUAUCCACCACAAAAUAGCAUAUUAAAUUUCAAGUACAUCAAUCUUUCCCAUUUCUUAAAGACACCAUAGAAAGCAAUAGCAACUUCACUCAUUUUUUCUUCUUACUCAACAUUCUUUCAUUUAACCCGAUUUCCGACACAACCUGAAAAAGAAAUCGAAACCGUGAGAGAAAAGUGUAUGGCAUGUACCGCAGGUUUAUUGUCAUGUAUUUUUGAGCACGGCACAAAUUGCUUCUCUCUGCAUCUCCUCUCUUUAGUGUCUGAUUUUGGUUUGAAUGCAUGUGAUGUUCCUCAUCCUAUAUGCUAUCUUUUACUAAUUAAAUUUAGAGCCCAGUCAACAUCUUCCUCAUUUGUUUGCCAUAUCCAUAUACUCUUUCACUUGCAAAACAUUAAUCAUAUAUAAUUAAAAUUGAAUUGAUUAAAUCUCGAUUGGUCUCAACUUCCAAGGAAAAUAGAGGAACUAAAAUGAGAAAGAAGGAUUGCUUAUUUACUAAUUUAUAAAUUAGUAAGAAAUUAGAGGAAUUGAAUUAAGAAGGAUUUAGCCUGAGGAAGAUUCAAAAUCAAAAUCAUGUUAAAUGCUUAUUGAAAUAUUUAUAGAAUCAAGGUAAGAUUAAUAUAAAUUUCAUAUAAACUAUUUAUAAGUUAAACACACACACUCUCUCUCCCUCACUAUUUUUAAAAUGAUUAUUUAAAAAAAAUGAACACGGGUACUACAGUUGUGAAAUCUCGUUUCUGGAUUUCAUUAUUAUAAUUUACGUAUUGGUAUUAUAGAGAUUUUAUAUUAUUUUUUUCGGGACUCAGUAGACCAUUUGAGGUCACAAUUUAUAUUGUUGAAUAGAUAUCGAGAUCACGAACGCAUUGGCUAAAGCCGUUUGCAAGUUCGGAUUAUAACGGUAUAGUUACAAAUGUUUGAAGUUGUUGCUAAAAAAAAAAGAAAAUUGAAAAGAGAAGAAAAAGCCACGGGAGUGGCUGAAAAAAAAAAAGAAGUAAAGAAAGCCACACUGGUGGCGAGAGAAAAGAAGGAAAAAAAAGGGGAACGGACCCUUCUCCGCACACACAUACCCAUUCCGUCGAUCCGGUUAAUUUCGGUGGAUUUCUAGCCAUUUUCAUGCGAAUUUCACCCAAUCAUCACCUGAAAUCACCACCACAUUCCUUCUCCUUCGAUAUUCAUUCAAGAUUGGACGAAAAUUGGGUUGAAUUUGGUGAAACUCGCACCGGUGGGUGCGAGGGUUCCUUGUCUUCAAUCCACCAUUUUGGAAACGAUUUCCUUCGAUCUCCAUCGCCAUUGGACUCCCCUUGAGCCUUGGAACAAAGCCCAAUUAGUUGUAAGGGUGACAAAACACCAAGGAGGUCGAAUUGAAGCACAUCCAAUUUCUAAGGUUCCGGCGGGUUCAUCAUGAAUUGAGGUGUUUCUCGGCCAAAUUGGCCUUAGUCACAGGUAUCAAACUUCAUCUACUCUUCAAAAGCUUCAAGUUGGUAUGCUUGGUUCGUGCUUUCGUAUUCAUUUUAGUGUUGGGUGUUUACAACCCUAGAAAUCCAGUUUUCUUCGGUGAAUUUGGACAGUUUCCUGUUAGAAUUUAUCGUCGGCCUAGUUGUGAAAAGUGUUUCCCUUGUUGAGCUCUAGCUACGACGUAAAUUUGAACUCAUUUAGUUAAUAUUGAAAAUUCGGGUUUUCAAAACCCUCCAACUUGGCUACCACCGAGUAUGGCGGUGCGUGGGACCGUCCACGAGUGUUGUCUAAGUACUAAAUAUCUUUUAGUGACCCUAUGAACCUAUGUCUAGCGCGGUUUCCCGAAAUUCAAUUGUUUGAUGUGGUGAUCAAAUUGGACCACCAUUUGUUUGUAUGAUUGACGACAAUCCGAUCGUUGGAUUGUCAUACAAUUUUGUGAGCACCUUAGUUAUCAGUUGUUGGACCUUUGAGAACUUAUGGAUCGGAAAUCCGAUGUGCGGAUCUUCUGGUUUGAAUAACCUUAGAUUGUUGAUCUUAAUGGACUUACCUUAUCGACAGUGGACGUUCUAGUCAACGUGCUAUACUCUAGAGUGUCGUUUAUCUCUAGUUUGUUGUUGAGGCUUGAUGGAACUUAGUUGGCUCAUCACGAUGACGUGUGUUUCUCUGUUGACGUGUGUCUUGAUAUAUGUAUUAGUGGCAUCAUAUUGAGUUAUACUUGUUAAUUAAAUGUGCUUUCUAUUGAAGUGUUAUUUUAUUUUUAGCAUCGAUCUAUGUUUAUUAAUUGUGAUUCGACUGUAGCUUGGAAACGUUUAUGAAAUGUGGUUAGAUAUGUAUGAUCAGUAUGAUGUGUAUGAUUGUUUUUAGGACGAUGUGAACCUAGAAUCUUAUGAGAAGUAUUAUGUAUAACUUUAAUGCUUGUAUGAUAAGAUAGUUAGUGGUCAUGAGAAGUUGAUAGUGCAAUUGAUUCCGUUGAGUGAUGGUCUGAAAUCCCUUCUACUCCAUGAUUCCGUUGAGUGAUGGUCCGGAAUCGUAUCCUUGUUUGGAUUCCGUUGAGUGAUGGUUCGAAAUCCCUUCUACUCCGCGAUUUCGUUGAGUGAUGGUCCGGGUAUCCUUGUUUGGAUUCUGUUAAGUGAUGGUUCAUAAUCCCUUCUACUCCACUAUUCCGUUGAGUGAUGGUCCAGAAUCGUUUCCUGGUUUGGAUUCCAUUAAGUGGUCCAAAGUUACAUCACUUGACUUGUUGGUUUCUUAGAUUUGAUAUCAGCUUCAGAGAUGUAGGUUUGGCUUAACUGUGUCACUUUAGCCUUAGUUUUAGAAUAUUUGUGAGCAAUGGUUUUGAGAAUCUUGUGAAUUGAAUUAGAAAAGCUGUUGGACGUUUGGGUGACUCCUUCAGGAUUUUCUAUGAUUCGAUUAUGAUUUCAUAAAGUAUGAAUUUAGAAGAUAUGGUUAUAGUUGUUAUUAUUUUGGGCAAAUUAACUAUUAAUGUAGCUAGAGAAUUGUAUUGGGCUUCGUCGGUUCCUUGAUAUGAUAUAUAUUGUGAAUUGCGGUAUCAUGUUGCGACAUAAUGACUUAUAUAGAAGAUGGAAGGAAAAUCUUGAUUUUCAGGUGGGUUUGUUAUUUAACCCUGAGUCUAGUAAUUUCAUGCUUGUCAAGUUCUAUUGAUUGAUUGAAAAAUUUUAUGCCUUUCGGCUUAAAUGGACAAUGACAUAUGUCAAUUAUAGUGCAUGAAGAACUACGAAUGACUUGAUCCCUGUUUAGGGUACGUAGGUAGUCUAACAAGGAGGUUAGAUGCAGUCAUAAAGCAUAAGAAAAAUUAUUAUGCGAUUCGAUUAUCGAAUUGUGCUCUGCCCAUAUCCUGGAGGUGGGGUAUGAUAGAUACGGGUAUUUGGUAACGUCACGUGUCGAUCCUAGACGUAUGUCGGGAUCGGGGCGUGACAACAGUAUUUCUGAAACUAAACUCUACUAUUUAUGAAACUAAACACAACUACUACACCAUAUCUAAAACUAAACACUGACUAUUUAUGAAACUGAACACAUGUACUAUCAUUAUUUCUAAAAUUAAGCAAUGAUAAUAUCAUUAUUUUUUAAACUGAUCACUAACUAUUUUUGAACUAAACACGAGUGUUACACUGUUUUUGAAACUAGACCUUACUAUUUCUAAAAAUUGACCAGGAGUAAUAGCACUAUUUCUUAAAUUGAAUAUUGGUACUAUCACUAUUUCUGAAACUGAUCACGGAUACUGCACUAUUUCUGAAACUGAUCACGGAUACUACACUAUUUCUGAAACUGAUCACGGAUACUACACUAUUUCUAAAACUUAGCAUAGAUACAACACUAUAUCUGAAACUGAAAACGGACUAUUUCUGAAAACUAAACACGAGUAUUAUCACUAUUUUUUAAAUUGGACAUUGACAAUUUCUGAAUAUUAAAAACCUUGAUCAUACAAUAUGCACUCUUGCAUAUACAAAUUCAAGAUCAAAUGUGUAUGAACCUUGAGUAUUGAUUUCUUUCGUAUAAGGACAACAAAAUCAAUAUCCCUUUGGGAAAAGUGAAUAUGCCUGUCCUUUACACUAGCGCAGAGUUCCAUUGACUCUAGCUUGGCAGCAAUUCGUGCUACGCAACCAUCCACAACAAAUAUUGUUGAGAUAUACCAACGGGGUAUUUCCAAUUAGCUGCAGGAAUCAAGAGGACAAUAAGAGUGCAUUAUAGGCCAAAUCAAAAUAUUAAACAAAAUAAAUAUUUAAAGCUAAAUUGAAUGCUUAAGUUUCAUGAAGAAAAAUGGUACUUCGGUGACAUCGUUCUUGAUUGCAAAUUUGACUUGCAUAUUUAUCUUCUCUUGCAGCAAGCUGUGAAAACAGAUUCAAAUGUUCAAUUCUACUGCAACCCAACCAAUCUUUACAUUUAAAAAAUAAUUCAUUUAUUAAUUUAAACAAUAAAAGUUCUACAAAUCAAAAGCAACCAGAAAAUUCCAAACACUUAAUCAUGUCAUCUUCUUAAAAAAUCACUUGAAAAAAAUAUUUGCAAAAGCCCAAAAAUAGUCAACAUAAUCAAAACUAGAAGACCCCAAAUAUGCAGAAUAAAUAGAGAAAAACAAAUCCACACUUUUUUCACAAAUUCGAAACCAAAAGUACCUCUUGGAGUCCAUUUUAAAGCUAUCUCUGAUGAUUGUUAGAACUCGCUCGAACUCGUAGUUAUCAGUGGAAGACAGGUCGGGAGCGUCCCGAACUUCUCGAACUCUUCUAGGCCUUGACUUCCUCAUAGAUCACAAGGGUGGCGUCAUCUCUAUUGUAGACGAUAAGAUCAAAAUUAUAAAUUGAGAAAAUAGCAGAGAGAAAAUGACAUGAGAUAUGUAGAAACUUGUAGAAACCGUACAAAAGGUUUUUUUUUAAGGAAAACUAAUGAAAAGGGCUUGAAAACUUUGAGUUUUAAUGAUAAGGACAAAAUAAAGGGUAAAGUGAAUAGUACCAGGAUUGACUUUUUAGUGUAAAAAUAUGGUUUUUCGUUAAAGUGAACAGUACCGGGUGCUUUUCGUUAAAGUUCCCUUUUUUUUAUUUCAUCCGAAGUGAAACAGAUUAAAUAAAGGGAGCUUUAAUGAGAAGUGUUUCUCAAAAUUUUUAAUUAAACAAAAAUCAUUACUAACUUUAUUUAAUAAAAAUGAUUUAAACUUUAAUAAAAAAGAUUCAAAUUUUAAUGAAAAGGACAAAAGUUUUACAUAAUAACAAAAAUAAAAAAUAAAAAACCAACAAAUAGUGACUCGCAGGACCAUGUGUCACAUCACACACAUACACACACUCUCUCUCACUCAACCGUUCAAUCUCUUUCUCUCUCCCUCUUUCCCAUAUUCCCCUCAAUUUUUCUCUUCUUUCACCUCACUCAUCUACAUCAAAUUUUUUUUCACCUCGCCCCACUCUUCUCUCUCCUUUCACCUCACUCCAUAAAUAAUUUAUUUUUUAAUUUUAUUUUAUUACUUGUUCAUUUGACUAUUCGUUCAAUUUUUUUAGAACAAACUAAGUAAUAAUAUUACAAGAUCAAAAAUAAGAAAAAAAUUUAUUAUUCAGUUUUAUGAACACUAAUACUGUCACUAUUUCUUAAACAGAACAUUGACUUCUUCUUAAAUUUGAAAAUCGAACAAUAUUUCUUAAACUGAACAUUGACUACUUCUUAAACUGAAUAGUAUUUCUUAAAUUAAACACUAACUGUUUCUUAAACGUAACACUAAUACUAUCACUACUUCUUAAACUAAACAUUGACUAUUUCGUAAACUGGACACUAACUAUUUCUUAAACUAAACACUAGUACUAUUACUAUUUCGUAAACUAAACACUGAUUAUUUCUUAAAUUUAACACUAGUACUAUCACUAUUUCGUAAACUAAAUAGACUAUUUAUUAAACCAAAUAAUAGUACUAUCACUAUUUCGUAAACUAAGCACAAAUUAUUUCUUAAACCAAACACUAGUAUUAUCACUAUUUUGUAAAUUAGUACUGUCACUAUUUCGUAAACUAAACACUGACUAUUUCUUAAACCAAAAACUAACUAUUUUGUAAACUAAAUACUGACUAUUUCUUAAAAUCGAACACUAGCACUAUCACUGUUUUUUAAAUUGAACACCAAUUAUUUUAUAAACUGAACACAAAAGGUUCAAAAUUUGAAGCUCUCUUCUCAUUAUCAUAUGAAUCACUGGCAAUAAUAUUUAUAUUCUUACAGAGUUAGAAUAAUGAUUUUCACAUUCCUAUUUGUUCUUUAACAUUUCUUCAAACAAUUUAUUUGACUUUCCUUUAAUUUAUUCAAUACAAAAUUAACAACAAAAACAUAAAUGAAAGAUCAAAAAAGCUAAUGUGCUUUCAUUGAGGAUCAUAAUCUAAUAUUUUUUAUUUUUAGGUUUUAGCUGGUUAGGGUUAAAAUUAAUAAAGAAUUCCAUGAUUUGAACAUAGGGUGAUGAUGAGAUGCUACCCCACAUGCAAGGAAAAAAAUAUCGGUAAUAUCGGAAAUAUCGGUAGUCUGAAAACACGGAAAUAUCGAUGGAAAUAUUGGGAUAAUAUCGACAUCGAUAAAAAUUACAUGGAAACCACGGAAAUUGUAAGAAAAACUUGGAAAUUUUUAUUGAAACUUUGUAGGAUAUUUAUUUAGUCAAUUAUCUAUUAGUUUAUCACAAAAAAUUGGAAGGAAAUGCAUUGCAUGAUGGAUUUAACUGAUUUAAGUUGAUUAUAUAGCGAGCUGACAAACAUUGUGAGUGUAGAAAAUAUGUAGUAAUUAAUGAAAGAAGUUUAAACACACCAUAAUCAUUUAUAUAUAAUGAAUUAGUACAAUAUUUUACACUUUAUACAUUGCAUGGUAAGAUACAUGAGUGACUUGGUACCACAUAGAAUUCUUAUGAGGUUCAAAAUUUUCACUAUGUUGAAGGAGUAAAUGGGAGGGGUUCGAAUCCCCUUGGUGUUUUUUUUAAAUAUAGAAAUUUAUCCUAGAUAAUAAAUAUUAGCUUGCAAGUCUUGCAGACAUCUUAACGACCAUAUAAAUAUUACAGGCUGAAUAUGUAAUCACAAACACAUAUGUAAUCACAACUUAUUUAUAGUGUACUCAUUCUUUAUAUAAAAAUAAAAAAUAAAUAAAAAUAAGAAAAUUACCAUUUUGUUAUAUAUAUUUUCCAGAUCCGUAUACGUCAAAUGUGCGCAGAUCAAAUCAUAUCAGAUUAGAUAUUUUGCACACCCCAAGACGUCCACGUACAAGUCAGUAAAAAACCUAAAUCACCCACAUGGUGACACUAACAUUACUCGCACCUCUCAGCCCUCUAAUUUACGAAAGACCUCGUGUCUUCCCUUCGUUUCACAUAAUAUUUUCCCCUCCGAGCCUCCACCUCUCUCUCUCUCUCUCUCUAGUCAUUUUCCUUCCAACCAAACAGUCCAAAAUUUUUCCAAAAAAUUCAAAAAAAUGGACUCGACGCCAAUUAACUGGGAAGCCCUAGACGCUAUCGUCAUCGAUUUCAUCAAAUCGGAGAAGCUAAUCGAAGACGACGACUCCGCCUUUACGACGUCGCCUUCCCCUUCCUCUUCCUCUUCCCCCUCCUCUAUCUCCUCGUCGUCGUACCACUCGAGAUUGAUCAUUCGUCAGAUCAGGCGAACGCAGGAACCCUCGUCUUUCUCCCUCUCCUUCUCGUCUCUGUAACUUGGCGAACACAGGAACCCUCCGACGAGUUCCUUCAAUUUCUCCGGUUAGGUAAGCUUCGGGUUUUUCUUUUUAUGUUCUAGAUCGAAGCUUAGAUGUGAAAUUGAAGUUCUAUCUCGUCUUUUUGCAAGGUUUUUGGGAUGAAAUCGACUCGGGAAUAGGCAUACCCAUCUCUGGCGAGGCCAUGGGUGUCGAUGAACUUUCCGAACACCUCCGGCCGUUUCACGGCAAACAGACGUUAUAAAAACGUUCCUCUCAUCUUCUAUUUCAUUUUCAUACCUAGAUCGGAGUCUAAGGGGUUGUUUUAUAGUCGACCGGAGCUGUAGAAGCUCCGACGUUCGUCUCCGACUUGUACAGUUCUGAAAUUUCGCGAAAUUUUGACGAAAACCCCUUGGAUACCACUUAAAAUAUCGGUUUGGGGAAAAACCGAUAAUAUCGGCGAUAUAUCGCCGAUAUUAUCGAUAUUUUCUUCCUUGCCCACGUGUAAGGCUAAGUGGUAGUCAUGUAUUGAUGUUAGCAAUAUAUUUUUUUAUCUCAAAUUUCUUUCUCUCUAAAAUUUUUUAGGGUUUGUUGAUGUCAGUUUGGAUAGACUUGAUUGGCAUUUUCUUCUCUCUACCCUCACAAUCUCUCUCUCUGAACCUUUUUCCUUCCCGAUGAAUAUUUAAAAAGUAAUUUGUAUGCUGCUUUUGCACUGUUGGUUUUCUGUUGAACUGCUUGCUUUUGCACUGCUUGUGUGCACACGCGCUUUGGGUUGAACAAGUUUUUGUAUUUUUUGUUUUUUAUCUCUUGUCCUUAUCAUUAAAUAAAAGUUAUUAGGUGACUUUUGGUUAAAACUCAAAGUUUUGAAGCCAUUUUCAUUAGUUUUCCUUUAAAUAAACGGGAGAAGGUGCUACCAUUAGGGUAAAAUCGGAAACUCAUUGUUUGAGCCAGUUUUGAUUGGGCUAAUUUAAUGUUGGUUUGUCCUAAUCAUUAAAUAAAGUUAGUAGGUGGUUUUUGGUUAAGAUUCAAAGUUGUGAAAACCUUUUCAUUAGUUUUCCUUAUAUUCAAAGCUACUUUAUCCAAUUUUUCGUCAACUGAAGUCAUUUGACAUACUUUAGAGUGUAAUAUCAUCAUUUUCUCGUCUAUAAGUACUUAACAUUUCAUACAGGUUAUGAAUUUAAUAUCUAAUUUACCCUCAAAAGUUAACUUACACUAUUUCUUUAUGAAAAACUACCAAUUUUUCCUCGAAAGUUAACUUCAUACACUAUUUCUUUAUGAAAAACUACCAAUCUACCCUGUAAUGUGUAUAACAUGCAAGUAACGUGACUUAUAUUGACGGAAAAUUGAAUAUAGUGGCUUCGAAUAUAACAUUAGGGAUGUAAUUGGCAAAUUUUUAUAAUUAGGGACUAUUUUUUCUGAAAAAAAUAGUUUAGGGACCUAAUUUUCACUAAGGUGAUAAUUCAGAGACUAAAUUGGCAAUUUUACCUUCAUGUUUUAAAUAGGAAUGCAUCUUAAUAAUCAAGCAGCAUAAAUAAAAUAAAAUAAAUCUUAUAGUUCGACUACAAAACAAAAAUGGCACAUGAAAUUAAAAUUACAUAGUAGCAAUAUCCCAUACAAGUCGUCUUGUUAUUUUUUUUUUAUGCAAAUCAAUUUGGAAAUCUUAUUAUUUUCAUUCUCAUCCUGUAAUGUUGCAUGAUGAUUUGAACUGUUUAUCUUUAGGUCGUCAUUUAAAAACCAUCUCUACAAAAAUCUAAAUGCAUUCAAAAGUUUUUGCUCAUGUAACGAUUAUUCAAUAAUUCUUUUAAACACUGAAAUUAUGACAAUAUUAUUCUAAAAUGGUUUGACGAUAUCUAGUUUGGUUCUUUGUUGCAAAGUUGCUCUUUAAAGAGUGACCUAGAUAAUAUACGGUUUUGAUCAUUGAAUAACAUUGCUUGAUCAUAAAAAAGAAAUGAGAAAGUAGAAAGAAAAAAAAUUUACAUUAAACUAACCAAAAUAAAUUAGUUCAAAUUUGUCUUUGACGAGAAUUGAAUCUAAGAUUUCUCACGUGAAAGCAGUAAUACUAGAAUGUGAAGUUUUUUGGUAAAAUAAAUAAAGGAAAUAAAAUAACUGGCAUUACAUCAUACUCACCUAUCACGAUGUAUAUGUUCCAUACAUGUGGGCAGUGGCAAAGCCAGAAUUUGUCGAGGGGAGGGGCGAAAUUCAAAAGAAUGCAAGGUUUCAAUCGAAGCGGUUGCUUUUAUAUUGGACAGUGCAAAGUUUUAAGUCAAUAUUCAUAGUAGAAAACAGUCUCUUCACCAUAACGGUUGUAAGCGGUAAUAUCAAAGCCAUGUAAGAAGCUUAAAUUGGUUAGGAUUAGAUUCUAAAAAAACAUUAGGCGCUAUGGAUUGAGACCUAGCAGCUAGGCGCCUAGACAAGAUUUAAGUAGGAGCCUAGAUAGAUUUAAAUAUAUUUUUUAUAUCGUGAAAUAAGUAUUAAACAAUAUUUACAUUAUUUUUUAAAAAUUAGUACAAUAUUUAUAGAUAAUAUGAAAGUUUAAGAUAAAUACGCUAUGGGUCUUAAAUAAAUAAUGUGAGAGUUAAACAUAACUUUGUUAACUUUUAAUAAGUUAACAAAUAAAUAAUAAAAAGUAAAUUAAAACCAGGGGUAGAAUCCCCUUGGUUCUUGCAAAACACAAAACAAGUGACCCCAAAUCAUAAUGAAAGAUCAAAUUCCAAAUUUCCAUCCCAAUUUUCCCUAGAAACAAACUAAAAAUUCUCUUUCCAAGAAGUAGAAGAAGCCGAAAAGAAAAGCAUCGCCGCUUGUGAGCGGUGGGUGAGGUGGUGUCUCUGCUUGAUUUCAAUGUUAGUUCGGGUCUUUCUUCACAAAGCUUCGAGCCACCAUUUCCAUGGCCGGUGACAAAAUCUAUCGCAUAUGGAUUCUUCUUGUCCGUCAAUGGCGAACCCGCCUGUAAGCAGAUGACGUCUUCAAUGUUUUUUCUUCGAACCCAGGUGCGCCCACAUCCUACCCCAUUUCCGUCAAACAAAUAAAGAAGGAGACAUGAAGGAGACACCACUUUCGGGACAGCAGCCCCGGAGCCAUAGUCAGUACUACUAUGUUGAUAACCAAACACCUCAUUUCUCCUACCACUACCCAUGCCAUGGCAAAUCUGCAAACUCGAAGUCGAAGCCCUUCAUCGAUCCCAUCGCAACCUACUCCCAAAAAAAAAUUGCAUAUCUGCUGCUGUGCGCAGCAGAACAGAUCACCCAACAACACAAACAGAGGAUGAACCAAUGGGUUUCCCGGCGAGGGGAGUGGCGGCUGCCACUCCUCGCCCUCACGUGGCUUCGCCCCUGUGUGGGGUCUUGGCCUUUCAUUUUAAGCUAAGUUAGGUUCGGGCAUUGUUAGCAUGUGGUACAUUACAUUUUCAUGGAAGCAUAAUCACACGAAGAGGAAAAAGGAAAUUAAAAGCUCCUCCAAUCAUCCAAUGGCUUAUGAGUUACAGCACAGUCACGAUUCACUUGUCGCUCUGUUCUAGCAAAUCAAUUCUUUAUACAAGUCACCUUGUUAUUUAAUUUAGUUUUUAAUCAAAACAGUCACUUUUAUUUUUUUAAAGGGUAAAAGACUGUUUACUACCUUCAAGUUUCAUGGUUUUCAACAUUUGGUACAUCAAGUUUUUUUCGUCCCAGAGUCAUACCUAAAGUGUUAAUUUUGGGACAGUCUCAUACAUCCGUUAGUCAAACUGUUAAGUCUGCCGUUAACUGAUGACGUGGCGCCAUGUGGACAAUGAUUGGGCGCCACGUGUCAUUAAAAAAAUUAAAAAUAUUAAACUAUUAAAAUAAUUAUUUAAAAAAGUAUUUAAAAAAAAAAAAACCGCACGUCUACAACCUCACCUCCCCUCCUCUCUGCACCGCCAAAUCACAGAAAAAAAGGGCCACCCUUCUUCUUUAUCCUGAGCUCUCAAAUGGUCUACAACCAAACCAUCAAAACCCCAAUUGAAGUCUGACUUCUAGUUCUCCAAUUUCUAAACUUUCUAAUUAUUUAUGUAGUUGAAUUUGAUUUGACUUUUAGGGUUUAAUUCAUGUCUUGUAAUUGGGUUCUAUUUUGAUUAGGGGAAGAUUGCAGCUUUCGUUUAAUUUUUGGAAGAAGACGACGAUGGUAGGGAUCGGGGAGUCGAAGAGGGAGGAGGUGGGUAGCAGGAUGAGCACGGCGAACGUGGCGACUCAUACACCAGUGCAAAUAGGUAGAUUUUCCAUUCAAAUCCAAACUAAAAACAUAAAAAUUGAAGUAUUUCCUUACCUAGAUCUACCCAACGACCAGCCCACCAACCAACCAAUUUACAAAAUCCCCAAUCUGAAACCCUAACAACCUAACCCCCGAACCCGUACAAAGUCCUACCUUGCCUCUUGAGUGCAUAGACGAUGUCCAUCGUCGUCACAGUCUUCCUCUUGGCGCUCAGUGUAAGUCACGGCGACGAGGUCUCCGGCGAAGGGAGAAAAGUGCUCGGACGAAGGUGGGGAUGGGUCUUCCUUUUCUCCAUGUUUGUGGGGUUAAGAAUGGAAUUUAUGAAAGAAAAUUGGAGAUGAGAUUGGGGUGGGGACGACAGAGAAGGGGAUGGGAGUGGAUCCACGAGGGAGGGGAUUGGUUGGAAAGCUGGUCGGAGGAGGGGGAAGGAUAGAUGUGCAGACGUUGGGGUAGGUGCAGUGGAGAGAAGGGAGGGGGUCGGGGUGGGGAAGACAAAUGGGUUCUGGGUUUUUUGUUUUGUUUUUCUUGUUUUUAAUAUUUUUUUUAAUUAAUUAUUUUAAUAGUUUAAUAUUUUUUAAUUUUUUUAAUGACACGUGGCGCCCAGUCAUUGUCCACAUGGGCGCCACGUUAUCAAUUAAUGGCAGACUUAACAGUUUGACUAACAGAUGUAUGAGAAAUUAACACUUUAGGUAUGACUCUGGGACGAAAAAAACUUGAUGUACCAAAUGUUGAAAACCACGAAACUUAAGGGUAGUAAACAGUCUUUUACCCUUUUUUAAAUUUACAACAAAUUCAUAUGAUUAUUGAAAAUUAUUUUGUAAAGUACUACGGAGUUAUAAUUAUUUAAACUUUCAUCUCACUCUAUCAAAUUAGCCAAAGUACUAAAGAUAAAUAAAUUUACUUACACUCGCCUAGGCUGUGCCUAGGCCCUAGUCUGUCACUCGAUAAGUGCCUAGCAUCUUUUAGAACCAUAAGAAAUAGUGUGUUUUUAUUCAAUUUCAUAAAUAGUAUAUCAUUUUGCAACAGUUCCAGCAAUAGUGUGCAUUAUUUUUUGUUCAAAUAUAGAAUUAGUGUGAGUUAUUUUGUAUUAGUUCCAGAAAUAGUGUUUAUUUUGUUAUUUUUCAUAAAUAGUGUGAGUUAUGUUAUUUUUCAUAAAUAGUGUGAGUUAUUUUACUUUCAAAAAUAGUACAAGUUAUUAUGCUGUAGUUCAAUAAAUAGUGUGGGUUAUUUUAGUUCACUUUCAAAAAUAGUGUAGGUUAUAAUGUUGUUUAAGAAAUAGUGAGGGUUAGUUUGGUUCACUUUCAGAAACAGCGUGAGUUAUUUUUGUUGUAGUUCAAGAAAUAGUGGUUCACUGUUAGAAAUAGUUCAAAAAUAAUGUUUAUUUUGCUCCCUUGCAUAAAUAGUAUGAGUUAUUUUGGUUCGGUUUCGUAAAUAGUGUGAGUUUUUCGUUGUAAUUCCAGAAAUAGUAUGAAUUAUUAUGGCUCACUUUCAUAAAUAGUGUUAAUUAUUUUGGUGUAAUUCCAAAAAUAAUAUGUAUUAUUUUGGUUUACUUUCAGAAAUAAUAUUAGUUAUUUUACUGUAAUUUCAAAAAUAAUGUUUAUUUUGUUACCUUCCAAAUACAGUGUGGAUUAUUUUGGUUCAUUUCAUAAAUAGCGUGGGUUUUUACUUGCGGUAGUUCCACAAAUAGUUGUUGUAGUUCAUAAAAUAGUGUCUUAACCAUUUUCAUUGUUGCAGAUGGGAAACGAAAAAUGUUAGGGUGAAGAGUUCCAUAAACAUGCGUGUUGAACUUCAGCUUGAACAAACUAUCAGAAGGUUUACUAGCUUGCUGAAAAUACAAGGAAUAAGAGGGGGGGGAGUCAACCGGUACUACUACAUAAAUCCUACACAUAGACCAUUUCCAGUCUAAUCUAGCAUAACCAAAUUUAAUAAUAAGAUCGUUUUCCAAAAAAAAAAAAAAAAAAAAAAAAAAAAAAAAUUAAUAAUAAGAUCCAAUCACAUUUCCCCAGAAUAAAAGAGUUUGAUUAGUAGACUUUAAUAAAUAAAAGAGUACUCUAAUCGAAUACCAUUCAAGGUUAUUGGUUAUAAGGCAUAAGUCAGCAUAUACUUUCAAUAGAAGACUUGAAAAACAAGUUUCAUUAGACAACUUAGAGCUUCCAUACAAGAAUCCGAUUAUAUGAAUGAAAUCUGGUAAAUCAUUCAAUUCAUAUGUGACAAAUUGAACUUCAUUGUCAAUUCAGCUCUGUGUGAAUGACUACCUACUCAUGAAAGCAUAGUGUACAUAGCCCUCCUAACUGAUUAAAGGAAAUAUCGACCACAAUAUUUUGCACAAGGCACUUUACAAGCUUGACCUACCACAAGAAGACCAAAUAGUAUUUACAUAGGAAAAUCAAAAGUUUUGUUAUCUACUAUAACUAGAAUCAAAAUAAUGGCUAAUGAAAUAGACACGCACGUAGCAAUUUCAUUCAAGGGAAAUGCAAGUUACACAACAUAAACUCAACACAAAAAUUUUACUAGACAUAGAUGGCAGCAUCAACAUUAAGCUGUAACUUAUACCUAUAUUCAAUCUAAUAAAGUGAAGAGGUAAAAGCUAAAAACCUCUGCCCAAAUCAACUGGACAUCUUUCACCAUAAACUCAGCAGCCAUAUUUUGAUAUUCUCUUUCAAGGACAGCACAGACGUCACCACCCAAUAUCUCCAUCCGGCAGAUAGGUCUUUACUCUUUAGAGGUAAGGUAAUUAAAUGAAUAUUGUCAUUUAUCAAUGAGGAUAUCCGGGGUAAAGUAGGAGUAGCCGAAAUUGAAGGAAAGAUGAGAGAAAAUCGGUUACGGUGGUUUGGACAUGUGCAAAGAAGGCCUACUGACGUUCCGAUUAGAAGAUGCGACUAUGGGACAGAGGUUCAGGGCCGAAGGGGUAGAGGAAGACCUAGGAAAACUUUGGAAGAGACUCUAAGAAAAGACUUAGAGUACUUGGAUCUAACGAAGGACAUGACACAGGAUCGAGCACAAUGGCGUUCUAAGAUUCAUAUAGCCGAUCCCACUCAGUGACUUGGAUUUUCCAAGUCUUCAACCAAGAAGUUUUCCUCACUCAGGAAAUUAAGGGAACACUACCCCAACCUACAUGCUCCACUCAGAAAGCUUCAACAUACAAGCUUCAACAAAAGAAAAUUCAAAGAACUUAGCGAAGAAGGCUUUGGUGUAUUUAACACAAAUACGUUGAAAUGAAGGAAAGCUUAUUUAUUGAUAUCCCCGAUAAGCUACAAAUAUGUACAUAUACAUGAGUCAAAAUAAGCACACAAGAGGGAGACUUCACAAAGGUUGCUUAGGAGAAGUCUCAGCAGUCGGUAGAGCCCCAGAAAGAGAAGGCACCGGAGGGGGAUCAUUUGGAGCCUCAGUACUGGACAGAACCCUAGAAGGAGGAGGCAUCAGAGGUUGAUCAUUUGGAGCUUCAUUACGCGGUACAGCCCCAAAAGACGAAGGCAAUAAAUGCCUUUGGAACAAACCCACAAAUCUCUGAUGAUCAAGUAAAACCUGACCAUCAGUUUCCUUCAUCUGGUCAAGCUUCCUCUUCAUGUUUGUAGCAUAGUCAUGUGGCGAGCCGGUGCAACUGUUUAUUCUCAUGCUUGAGCCCUCUAAUCUCCUGUUUGAGACUCAUCACUUCAGCCGCCAAUGAUUCAACUUGGCGGGUUCGAGCAAAUAGGCGUUGGGCCAUAUUAGACACAGAACCUGCACACUGAACACUGAGAGCCAGCGAAUCCUUAACAGCUAACUCAUCAGACCGUUUGGAAAGUAGUUUGUUAUCUUUGGGAGUGAGAAGGUUCCUGGCCACCACCGCAGCGGUCAUAUCAUUCUUCAUCACGGAAUCCCCAACGGUAAGAGGACCAGUAGGGGAGACGAAAGAUGGGCGCCAUAUGUUGUCUGGAGAAGGCGGGGCUGCCUCUUCAACAAGGUUCAAGUCAAAACGACGGUCGGAGGGGCCAGACAUUUUCAAAGGUGUUGAAGAGAGAAGAGGUCGGACAAAUCAAGAUCUUAGAAGUGCAAGAAUGAAGCUUCUACUGGUGGAGAUCCAAGUGUGCUUUGGAACUUAAUGCCAGCCCCUAUAAAAAUCUGCACUCGACGGAGCUUCAAAAAUCGAAGAGGCGCCUGCUCAGAAAUCGAAGAGGCGUUUGCUUUCUCAAAAGCUGGGCUGCUUAGAGAUCACGAGGGUUGAUCUCAGAAAUCGAAGAGGCAUUUGCUUUCUCAAAAGUUGGGCUGCUCAAAGACCACGAAGGCUGAUCUCAGAAAUCGAAGAGGCGCUCGGCCUCAAAGCUUGAGACCACGCACGAAGAGAGGCCAUCAGAUCAUUCAGCAACCUGCACUGUUUGCGGAACAGGCAUUUGUAAAGACCAGCCUUACACAACAAAAAGUUUAAAAAAUUUCUUGAACACAGCUGAACGCUCUUCUAAAAAGAAGCAAAACUUUGAGGCUUCCCCCAAGGGGAAAGAAAAGAACCACUGAAAAACCAGUUCUGGCCAACCAUUCCCAAGAAUUGAAAAAACGAAGAAGUCCCAUUCACAAAACUUUCACAUGAAAGAGUAAAAGCAAAAAAUGGGUAGACCCCACAAGGACAUACUCAGUCCCAUGCGGGAAUUAUGGAUAAUUGGCAAAAAGUUCCAUGGUGAAGUAGAAAGGCUUUUAAUUUAUUUUGCUUCCCACUACCACUUUAGGUCUGUGGUUUGGAAAGUGCACAAAGCAAAACGGGUACUCAGAAAACACACGCACCGUCAUUUCUUCCAACAAUGUUGAAAUAGACCCAGAGCCGAAAGACAAUCAAGAACUCUUAAAGCAAGACCCAACCCACUGGGUAGAACAGUGUCAACCACUUAAUUCGCAAGAAACAAAGUAUCCCCAUGCCAGACUUGUGCUUUGUGGCAAAAAACAUAAACAAGAGCGUCCAUCAAAAAGCGAGAAAAAAGGUACUCCCAGUAAGAUUGGGUCUUGAGAGACCAGAAUCGAGACACGUCCCGAGUUUGCCUCAAAAACCUGAAGAACUCUGGACACCUACUUUUCUAGAAACACGCAGUCAUACCACAACCUUUGUCAAAGAGCCAACACUGUACUCAAACUCGCUCUGAAAAGAAGGCAAAGUCAGCUUCUCCGAAGACUUUCUGAGCAGUACCACUGUGGGGAUUAAUUGGAAGUCCACAGAAUCUAGCAAACAUCUCCAUUUCAAUCACAUUCGAGAAAAACACUCCGCCACUCACAAUUUGAGAACUACCCUUAAAGAGAGGGGUAAAGGAACAGUACCUUGCUGGAUAAUUGGAAAGUCCCUGUGUGUCAACCUCUGUGCUUCGUGGCAAGGUAGACUAGCAAACAUGCCCAACCUUUACUCACAUUCGAGAAAACACUUUGCUUGCUCCAAAAUCGAAGAGGCACCGCCCUCCCGAAUCUCGAGAGCCAGACUCCCAACAUGAUUACUUUCUCAAAAAUCGAAGAGACACUGCUCCACGAAUCUCGAGAGCCAGACCCCCAGCAUGAUUGCUUUCUCAAAAAUUGAUGAGGCAUCGUUCUCCGAAUCAAUCGAAGAGGCGCUCGCUUUCUCAAAAGCUGGGCUGCUCAGAGACCACGAGGGCCGAUCUCAGAAAUCGAAGAGGCACCUACUUUUCUAGCCUUGUCAGCACCUGUCACACGCACACUCAGCUUUGCAGAAAUUAUGGGCAUUCUGUCGAAGACUUCUGGUGAAGUAGAAAGCACAUGAAUCUUACUAUUCAAUCACCCACUUCCCACACGUAACAAUAGCUCAUGGGUACCACAAAUAACUUUGCCAAAGUUCUCUGCCAAAGUUGAGCACGUGAAGCUUACAGCUCCCACUACAUCGCUCUGACCAAGAAAGGUAAAAGAAUAGCAAAGAAACAGCACUAACAAAAGUUUAGACACACAUAAAUUUUGAAGGUCUAGCUACCAUAUUAUUACCCACAAGGGUAAAGGAACAGUACCACUGCUGGAUAAUUGGAAAGUCCCUGUGUGUCAACCUCUGUGCUUCGUGGCAAGGUAGACUAGCAAGCAUGCCCAACCUUUACUCACAUUCGAGAAAACACUCCCAAUAAGAUUGCUUGCUCCAAAAUCGAAGAGGCACCGUCCUCCGAAUCUCGAGAGCCAGACUCCCCCAACAUGACUACUUUCUCAAAAUCGAAGAGAGGGUAAAGGAACAGUACCAUUGCUGGAUAAUUGGAAAGUCCCCUGUGUGUCAACCUUUGUGCUUCGUGGCAAGGUAAACUAGCAAACAUGCCCAACCUUUACUCACAUUCGAGACAACACUCCCAACAAGAUUGCUUGCUCCAAAAUCGAAGAGGCACCCGCCUUCCGAAUCUCGAGAGCCAGACUCCCAACAUGAUUACUUCCUCAAAAAUCGAAGAGACACUGCUCUCCGAAUCUCGAGAGUCAUACCCCCAGCAUGAUUGCUUUCUCAAAAAUCGAAGAGGCAUCGUUCUCCGAAUCUCGAGAGCCAGAUACACACAGACCACUUUUUCAAAGUGCUCUGACAGAGUUAAAACAUGUGAAACUGGCAGCUCCCACUACCGUGCUAUGACCAAGCAGGGUAAAGGAAUAGCAUUACUACUUGUUGUUAGGGAGACUCCUAUAUAUGUCGACCUCCAUCCCCAACGGACAGGCAGACCUGCAAAAAUGCUCAACCCUUCAUCAUCAUAUCUGAGAGGGCACUCCCAACGAAGCCUUUCGAAAUAUUCAGCUUUCUUUCCCCCCGAUAAUACCUCUGCAAACAAGCUAUACUAGAGCAAGAAUAUCUCAUAUCAUCAGGGUUAAAAAGCAAGAGUAUCCCAUAUCAUGCUUUUUCCCUGUCUUUUUCUUUUGGCCUUGUUUUACCUGCAAGACAAGGAGAAAGAGAGCAAUCAGUCAGCACUUGGAAUCAAGCUUCCAGCCAGGAACUGACUGCCUGGAACCCCUUACCUGAUUACUUACCUGACAUUGCUCUCGAGUACUCAUCUUCAACAUCUUAUGUUUCCAGGGAAGAGUCCGCAUCUGCUUGAGGAACAGAUAGGGCAAGUGCGAAGGAUACAAGGAAGCAUGUGGAGACAAGCGUAACAGCACACGUGCCGAUACAUUCAUUACUCUGUCAAAAGCAAAAGUAUCCCAUAUCAGCAGGGUGGAACGUACUCUAGAUUUGAUGGACUUGUUUUGACCAUCAAAUUCUUCAGUCGGCCUUAUACUCUGGAGGAAACCAGAAAACCCUCCAGCUCAGUUCAAGAAUAAGCCUGUGGAAAGUUACUUCUUCAAAAGCAAAAGUAUCUCAUAUCAUCUAUUCUCAUUUUUCUUCUCUUUAUCCUUCAUGCUGCUGCAAGAUGGGGAGAAGGUGAACAAUCAGUCGGAGCUCUGAUUGCUUACCUUGUCUGUCACCUCUUUCAGCAGACCCCCUAGCUCGGCGACUUGGGGGACUCCUACUACAUGGUUUGUAUCGCGCUUGACCAAGCCUGAAACUACAAGUAAGCUUCAAGUGAAAUUGAUACAUUACCUUGUGCAUCUCCACCAAUUAAAGAUACCACCCUUGGAUGGAGGAAGAGUACUUCCAGAGAAGAUGCCACAUCUACCUAUGAGACAGAUAAGGCAAGUCAAGACGACACCACACUCCGAUACUUAGAAGUUUCGUGAUUACGAGAUCAUUCUCCCACAAUAUUUCCUAAUGUCAUUUGUACUAAAUCAUUCACUUGUACUCACUAAAUGAGAGCUUGAACCUAUGUACUUGUGUAAACCCUUCACAAUUAAUGAGAACUCUUCUAUUCCGUGGACGUAGCCAAUCUGGGUGAACCACGUACAUCUUGUGUUUGCUUUCCUAUCUCUAUCCAUUUACAUACUUAUCCACACUAAUGACCGGAGCAAUCUAGCGAAGAUCACAAAAAGCGAUCGUUUUCGCUACCUAGGAUCUAUCUUGCAAGAGAACGGAGAAUUAGAUGGAGAUCUCAACCAUAGAAUACGAGCUGGAUGGAAAGAGUGCAUCCGGCGUGUUGUGUGACCGUCGUAGGCCACUGAAGCUCAAGGGAAAAUUUUAUAGGACGGCAAUAAGGCCAACGAUGUUGUAUGGCACAGAAUGUUGGGUGGUGAAGCAUCAACACGUACACAAAAUGGGUGUAGCGGAGAUGAGGAUGCUUCGUGGGAUGUGUGGGCACACGAGAAAGGAUAAGAUUGGGAAUGAGGAUAUCCGAGGUAAAGUAGGAGUAGCCGAAAUUGUAGGAAAGAUGAGGGAAAAUCGGCUCCGGUGAUUUUGGACAUGUGCAAAGAAGGCCGACUGACGCUCCGGUUCGAAGAUGUGACUACGGGACAGAGGUUCAGGGCCGAAGGGGUAGAGGAAGACCUAGGACAACUUUGGAAGAGACUCUAAGAAAAGACUUAGAGUACUUGGAUCUAACGGAGGACAUGACACAAAACCGAGCGCAAUGGCGUUCUAGGAUUCAUAUAGCCGACCCCACUUAGUGGGAAAAGGCUUUGUUGUUGUUGUUGUUGUUGUUGUUGUUGAAAGGUCAAUAGAAACUGAUAAAUCGCAGCAAGGAAAGUUUCAGCUCCAGAAAACAAAUUAACCUAAACUAACAAUUUAUAUGCAGAAUUCAAGCUCACCAAAAUAAAUUUCCAUGCCCAAUUCACAAACUAUACACACAAAUAUAUCAGAAAUUGGUUGUUUUGUAGCUCAAUAUGCACAUCAAUUUGAAUAAAAAAAAGUCGAAGACAAAGAUUUAUACCUCUGUUUUCUGAUAUUUGUGCUCGGACCCAUGUCGAUAUAAGAUGAAACAAAGAAAAGAGCUGCACAGAGAGAAACAACAUACAGAGUAACAACUUCAAACUGAACGAUCGAGACGGAGAAUUUCAGAUCGGAGUUGUAGUCCUAGUCAGAAGAUCCAUUAUCAUUGGUCCCUUAAUUCUUCAAAACGUGCAGCUAUGGUCCUUUUCGUUAACUCCGUCAAAAUGAGUUAUGUUGGAAUGACCAUUGCUACAAUUGAUAUAAAGAUGAAGGACCAUUGCUCUAAUUGAGUUAAAGUUGAGGGACCAUUUCUUUAGUUGGGUUAAGUUGAGAAAUCAUUGCUACAAUUUUUCUCAUUUGGUUUUCCAUAAUUGCCCCUGAUUCAGCCUCAUGGCACAUGACUCAUUUUGACGGAAGUUCUAACGGAGUUGAAGAAAAUGACCAUAGCCGCACGUUUUGAGAAGUUAAGGGAUCAAUGGUCUUAGAUUUUUAGUUUAGGGACCAUUACUCCAAUUGAGUUAAAGUUGAUAGACCAUUGCUACAAUUUCCUCUUAUUUAGACAUAAAUCAAUUAAUAGCAUCUUACAUUAGACGUCUGAAUUGGUCAGACUCAUUGUGUAAGGACUUACAUGCGCCCCUUCAGAUGCCACAUUGCCGUUCCAAACCAAUAACACAAUGUCAUGUAUAAGUGACAUUGUUACUUUGAGUUUGAUCUAUGUAAUUGGUGAAUUUUUUUGGGUCCAAACUAUGCUACCAAAAGAGAAUGACAGAGAAUUAGGAAUAGAAGCUCCUACAGUCAUUUGUGUAAUGGGGUAAAAAUUUCAAGAUUCACUUACGAAAGCUCGAAUCACCAUAUUUUGAUCCUCAGCUGGUCGCACUUUUUCAAGGGGUUUGCUUCUGAAAAACCUAAGCAGGUUCAUAAAGGCCUAACAUAUGCCCAUCAAAUACAUCGCAUGGCAGCAACCAGUAACACGAAACUCUUACUAAAAUCUCUGCACCCAGUGUAGCAAUGAUAUACGAACAAAUGAUCACAACGGUUUUGUUUAGAAAUUUAGUCAUCACCUUGCCAUGGACUUCAUAUUUGAUAGGGCCAUCAAGUUUCAGCUCCUUAUGCCAUCAACUUGGUCACUGUUUGAUUAAUGUCUGGCACUGUGAAGGACAAAAGUGAAGAGUUUCCAUUCUACAAUGCAUGAUCCCUGUCAAAAUUAGUCAUUAGCAGAUGCCAAUUUCAUUCAAAACAUAAAGCUUAAAUCCAAUUACUGCUCAAAUAACACCACAUUACCAAAAAAUACCAAGAAUUAUAACAUCGAAAAAACCCAAGAAAUUCUAAGUUUUACUCUUUCAAUCGACACAAACUUCACUUGGGUCUCUUUCAAUUAUACUGUUUUUACGAAAAACACGAGAAAACAGUACAAUUUGUGGGAAAGGAUGUGUAAAAAACUGGUUUAUACAAAUCAUCAAACACCUGGUGUGCACCGAGCACAGAGUCUCAGAGAAUGGAGAGGGAGAGUUCACUUGGGGUAUUGCAUAAGGUAAAGCUUGAAUGGGCUGGACUGUAGAUCCGUCUAUCGAAGAGUGCAGACAUUGACGGUGAAGUCCAACCCUUCGGCGUAGAACCAGGCGGCUUUUGGCACGUCCUUGUGCAGCUGCAGUAGCCACCUAAACAACGCCUCUGGCAUUUUUCCCUCGCUUUCUAAGUUACGUGCUGCUGACUGAAGGAUACUGACUCAUCGGUUGUCGUUUCAAGUGUGAGUCGUGACUCAUAUAAGACGACACGUCGUUUUGAAAGUUUCAAAGUUAAAUUGGAGAUUAGCAUAUGAUGACUGCGUGCCCAGAUAGUAGUCGCCUACCUCUUGUGUAAAAGUCUCACCUCUAAACUAUGGUGAUAAUCCUUGUUAAACUAUGGUGAUAAUCCUUGUUAUACAAAGAAUUUUUAUUCUAACGUUAAUGUUCGAAUUUUAUUUGAGGUCACUCAAUCGACUUGUUACAUAUUAUGAUGAAAGUUGUGCCUUUGCUUCACUCGACUCCUAAUUUCAUCAUUUUUUUCCUUUUUCAAUUUUGACAUAAUCCUAGACAUGAGGGCUUCUUUUAGGGUAUUAAGAGAUUCUACAAGCUUGGGGAUAUAUUUGAACUCUCAAGGGAAAUUUGGAAAGAUAGUCUAAAUUUGGAUCAUGUAUAGAAUUUAACCAAUUAUUAUAAGAGUGCUACUAGACCCACCCCAGUGUCCUAUUUUCCCACCCACAUGAUAAUCUCACCCACCAUAAAAAAUUAAAAAAGUAAAAUGUUAUUUCCCCACCCACCAUUAUUCCCAAAAUAACCAUAAUAUUUUUUUUAAAUAACUCUAAUAUAUCUUUAAAUAAUAUUAUAAUUAAAUAAAUAAAAAUAGAAAAAAAUGAAAGAAAAUGCAAGACCUAAGACCUAGACAUUUAUCAUAUCAUUCACACCUAUCGCCGCCCUACAGAGACCCCGGACCCCCAAACCACUCUUCUUCCUCAUUUUUUGUCAAAACCGCAGAUCUCACACUCAAUUCUCUUUUUUCUCCAUUGAAGUUUAUCGCCUUCGUCCAGUAUACGCUCAUUCCUUCCACCAACCUUUCCGUCGAUUCUAACCCUUUCCAAACCUCUUUUCCCCAAAGAUAUCACACCCCACCCACCAUUAUUUAUUUAUUAUUUUAAAUUAUUUUUUGUCUUUUCAAAAUUUUAGUAUUGAAUGAAAUAGAGGUUUAAGAGUCUUCUUUUAAAAGGAUAAAUAUGUUAUUAACAUUUUCAUUAAAUGGUGGGUGAGGAAAUAAGACACCGGGGUGGAAAUAUCACCACUCUUAUUAUAAUUUUCUGAAGUUUUAAUCAAAACAUGACAUGAAAAUACCACAAUGCCCCUUAUAUAUAUCAUUCUAUUGUUAAUUACACUCUGGCUUGCUUUCUUUCAAAGUCCAACAAGAAUUCACAUGUAGAGCUGCUUUAGAUCUCUGUGUGGAUGGUCAAUAAUUGAAGGGAAUCCGAGGGAAGUGGUAAGUCAUUUCCAAUCAAUGAUAGUAAUUGUACGGUAUUGUCCCUAUCCCAGCAAAUAUAGCUUUUCUAGUCAAGCGGGUCAUGAUUUAAGUCCAAUAGGUAAACUUCUGAUAAUACAACUAUAUCACUGUGAUUGCUUUCUCUCAUUAUCCGAAAAUCACAUGCUCCACCACUUGUGUGGACUUCGUCAAUUUUGUUGAGUUUCAUUAUUCUCACAAAGAAGAUUCAAACAGAAUCUUCAUUCUUUGCAAAUGUACUUUUUAAGCGAGCUACUUAACGCGUUAUUAAAUUUAAGAGUAAUAUUAAGAAGACUAAAUUUAUAGAUUAAAUGUAAACUAAAUGAUAUGUAAGUUGAUGAUUGAAAUAUUAUUUAAACGUUAAUAAACAUCCUUAUUUUUAUUAGUAACACAUUAUUUAGUUUAUAAUUUUAGUUUAACGUUAUUCUAAAUUUAAACUCAAAGUUUUUCUUCGAUUAAAAAAAUCCAUUGCUAAUAGAAGUGCAGAUUUCGGUUGGAGGAGUAAAAGUACGUGGGAACACAAGGAAGUUAUUGAUUAGGUAAAAGUUGCCGAACCCCAUAUAACGCGUUGCAUUUUCCAACUUUAAGUUUUUGGCAUCAAAGCAAUAGUCACUGAAACAUCCCAUGUGAAAAAAGUUGAGGGAUAUCUCAGAACUAGUACUCUUGUAGCAAAGCAAAACUAGUUCAUCCCCACAAUCCAAACUAUUUCUUCCUUUCUAUUUCUUUUCUGAUUUGCUGACUUCUUUCUUAAGGGUUUUGCUAUCCCUCACAUCUUUUUACUUUUCACAAACUACUCUUAAUUUUUAUUAUUGAAUCAAAUGAAUUAAAUAUAAUAAAAUUACAUAAAUUAACAAAGAGGUGUAUGAAAAAUAAAAUAAUAUGUGUCGAUAGUGCCACUCUUUUAAAAAACAAUAAUCAUAUAUGAACUAGGUUUACUAGGGAUUCGGAUUUCCCCCAUCCUCUUUCCAUCUCAUUCCAUUCUAUUCUCUCACAUUCUUUAUUUUAUCUUUCUCUUUCUAUAAAAAAUUAAUAUAAGAUGUCAAGGCUUAACCGUGACCAUUUAAAUAGAAGGGGAGGGAAUGUGAGAAAAAAAGAGGGGAGAGAAUCCUAUAGAACCCCAAAAAGAAGCCUAACGGUUGAAUUAUGUUUCCCUCAAAGACUUAAUUGCUUAGCUAAAUCAUAAAGACCAAACCACACUACAGUCAUGGAUCACAACAGAUUUUUCAGUGUAACCGUCACACGAGACGGGACACCACAUGUCCCUAUAUAAAUGGUGGGAUAUAUGUGUUAAAAGGUUAAUAAUUUAAAAAUUAAAAUUUUCCACCACUUACAUAAAAAUAUGCCGUGUACCAUCAAUGUUCCCGUCACAACAAAAAAAUUCUCAUGGAUCACAUUUUCCCUCCCUCGUGGCUCGAUUUCAAGGGUGUGGUUGAUCCUAGAGAACACAACAGAGUCACUGGCGACAAUGAGGAGGUAGGCUGGAUCGAUGUGGGAUAUUUUGUUUUUGCAAGGAGUGGUACGUUCUUGAGAAAAAAAGGGUAAAGUUGAAAUUGUUGGGGAAAAUUUUGAUGGUGGGGUGAUUUAACAAAUUAUGGGGUGUGAACAGAAUUUUAAUAUAAUAUAAAGAGAAAUUUUAUUUGAACUCAUAUAAUAUUACUUUACACUCAACUUAAAUCUUAAAUGUAAAUUAUUUUUUUACCUUAUUGCAUAAUUAUCAUCAGUACAAGAUAAACUCAUAAUACAAUUAAAAUUUAUCAAUAAAUACAAAAUCCAUUAAACAAACCCUUAGCAUCACACAAUCUUUAAUUAAUGCUCUAUUAUGGCUAAAGCCCUAAGACGAUCUCAUAGAGAAAAACAAGUUUUACGACCGAUAGAUGGUGAUUUUAAAAUUUUGGACCUUCCAAGUAAGAUAUGAAUUGAUUUAUGCAAAAAUAAAUUUUUUUUUUAAGGUUUUGGAGUGUAUUUGUGGAUGCAAAUUUCUUCCUCCUUGUUCUUGGACAAAAUUGCACCUACAAAACAAAUAACACCUUAGGUCAAGGCCAAGAGCCUCACGCUCCCAUGAUGAAUAGGGGGCUUUGGCCGAAAAACCUCUGAUGUGAAAGUUAGAAUUUUGAGGGAAAAGUGUUUGGAGAAUUUAGAGAAUUUAGCAAGAGCAUUGGAAUUGAGUUUUGGAGAGAAUGAUGAGGUUUUUAUAGGGGUGUGGCCGGCCCCUUUGGGAUAGAAAGGAUCGGCCACUUGGUUCAUUUUGUGGGCUAGGUUCUUGAUUUGUGUUUAAUUAGGAAUAAUUGAAUAAUAAAUCAAUUAAUUAGCUAAUUAAUAGAAUAAUUUCCUAAUUAAUUAUCUAAUUAAUAUAAUAAAAGGGGAAUGAUUUGGGAGUUACCUUGUGGAGAGGAUUAUGAGGAUGGAUGAAAUAGGUUUUGAAUUAUUACCUAGUUUGGGCAUUUUUGACUUGGUUGAAGGUUGAUUGCCCAUUGCUCGCGAGUAGGAAUCUUGGUAUGCCUUGAGGAUAAUUUUGUCAUUUUAACCCAAAAAUCCACGUUUCGCCUUAUGAUUAUUUUUUGCUCCACAAAUGCCCCCACACUUGCUGUGCUGCUCGCAGGAAAGUGCAACAGGUGUAGAGAUCUCAAACUUUGAUGUAGAUUCCCUUUUGGACUUGGAAUUAGAUUCUUCUAGGAAAGGGAAAUAAAUCGCCUCUAAAGCCUAUUUAAGCCUACCUUAAAUAGGAGAUUAAAUCAACUUCGGAGGGCAAUUAUUUAUCCCUACAAGAAAGAGAGAAAGCUAGAGGAUAUUUGUUCCCCCUCCCGUAGCACUCUUCUUUGCUUGCCUGUGCAAAGAACCGUCUUCCGUUGAUUUAUUUGUCAUCUUCACACUGCACGAUGUAAGAAAAACUUAAUUCUCCUUGUCUUCUUCUUGGGAGGUGCUGCCACAGGGUAGCCAUCGGGGUGGUGCGGCAUGUUAGCUGGCAAAGGCCAGGAGUCGGCUUGGCAUGGGCUAAGAAGGUGGUGUGGUAGGGGCCAUUGCUUGUGCUAUUUGGCAUGAUUAAAGCCAAGGAUUGGCUCGGCAUGGGCUGAGUGUCACAGCCCAUCCCGACAUAUUUAGUUUCAAUGGUGUGAAAUGUCUAAAUUGCCCUUGAACAUUGAGUUUGUUAUGUGGUGUUGUGGUUUAAGUUGGGUUUAAACUAAUUUUGUUAGUUCCUAAGUUUUUGGAACUUAAAGUUAGUAAAUUUUUUUGUGGUGAUUAAUGAACCAAAAUUGGACCACACACUCACACACACACACACACACACACACCUCCCGUUGACCUUCUUUCUCCUCCCUCUCGGAUCUUCUUCCAUUUCUAUACAACUUGUACGGACAACCUUCAAACCUUCACUUCUAGUCGCAGAUCGAAGCUGGGGAAGUGAUCUUUGUGUUCCUUGCAAGUCCAGGAGCUUAUCCAUACCAUUUUUGGUAAGUGAAACCCUCGAAAACCCGAGAAUUCAGAAUCUCAGUUUUGAUGCACUGUUCAUGUGGUCGUAAUUAUGGAUGUUUUAGGUGAUUUGAAGCUUUUAGGAAGUUGUAAAACAUCCCUACGAAGCUCGAAGAAGAAAAACCAAGUAAAUUGGACGUCGGGAAUGUGAGAUUAGCGAGUUUUAAGUUUGGCUUGAUUAUUGUGGAUUUUUCUGGCAAGAUCCUGUGAGUUUUACGUCUUAAAACUGGUAAGGAUUUGUUCUACUUGUCUUAAGCUUCAUUUUGGUAUAUAAUUCGUGAAUUUUAGUUGAAAAAUGAAGAAGUUACAAGGUUGUAAAGUUUUUCCAGUUUCCGGCGAAGGCGACGGUCGCCGGAGUUCGAAGGUAGGGGAUGACGGAAUAUUCUGUCAACUUUGACGGAAUAUUCCUAACAGCGUUGGUUAGUUUUAACGGUUUCUGUUACUUUUUAACGGAAUAUUCCUAACGGGGUUAAGGGAUUCUGUUAGGGUCCCUGCGCGUGGCCCUUGUUGACGUGUGACGGGGCGUGAGGGCUCCAAAAAUUAUUUUAAAAAUUUGGGGAUGUUUAUGGAGUUGUGUAGGUCACGAUGGUAUCUUUAUAUACCUCAAUUGAGCAAUGUAUGAGAAUUUAUUAGCUAGUAUUGGUUAUGUGCUUUAAAUUAAUGUUUUUAUAGUUGUUUCGCAUAUAGAGGAGACUUAUCCCGAGGACGAGCGCAGUCAAGGGCAAUUAGGGGGUUAUAACCCUUCGACAUACCAGUGAGUGGGCUUUUGGUUUUAAGUAUAUAUGUAUAUGCUUGGUAUCUUUCCCAAAAAAUGCAUUUAAAUGAGUUAUGACUUAAAUUGCCAUGCCAAAUGUUUUACAUUUAGAAUAUGCAUAUGAUGUUUGCAUAUAUAUAUAUAUAUAUAUAUAUAAUUGUGGUGUUAUGGACGCUCAGGUAAGUCCCAGGUGAGUUUAUGAAUUGUGAAUGUGAAUAAAGGUUGUGAUUAAUUGAGGAACAUUAAGCUCGUAAACCUGCACCGGUGUUUGUGAGUUAGUUAGAGAUAUGACACAUGCCUGCAUAUAUAUAAUGUCACCUCCGCACCAUAUGCUCACAUCGGAUCCAAUUUAGGUGCACAGUCUUGUUGUACAGACCAUCAUAGUUGGUUCCGACUCGUAGGUGACUAGCGAUUUAUCACACAACUAUCAUGAGAGAGUAGCACUGAGCAUAACUAUAUUACACCCAAUCCUGUUGUACAGACCAUUACAGUGGUUUCGACUCGUGUGCAGUGUAGUGCCGUAUAGGUCAUUUGCAGUGACUUCAGCUAGAUUGACUAAUGAGCUAUGAAUUCAGCCGUAUAGACUUCUGCAGGGGUUUCGGCUAAAUGUUAUUUUCCAUGAAUUUAUUUUCACAUGAGUUACUUAUUCUGUUUAUAUCUUGGCAUGACAUAUUUAUGAUUAUGGUGAUGUGAAGCAUGAUUUGAAUAUAUAUAUAUAUGUAUAUAUAUUUAUAUUUUAUUUAUGGGAAAAAUUAUACAUGUUUUACGGCGAGGGGUUAAAACAUUUGAAAGUUAAAUGUGUUUUCAAAACCUUUGUUUUUGCCCACUCACGUUUUCUGUUUUACGCCAAUCCAGGUUUUAGGUAGACUUACUGUUGGUGGCAUUUGAGGAUUCGACGGUUCUGACAAAAUAUAAUAUCCGUAUGACCUCUUCUGGUACUGUUUAACUAGUACUUGUCCACUGGACUGCACCUAGACUUUCUAUGCUCUGAUUAGGUGUAUUUAUACUUGUAUCUCAUUCCUAGCACUUUCUGCUUAUUAGUGCACAUUAGUAGCUUUCGAUUUUUAUUUAUUCGUAUAUUUCUUAUCUUUAUCGUUUUCGCAUUGUGCACAUGGCUAUGUCACCCUCACGUGAUGGCCAACACGCCUUGACUUUGGUCGGGGUGUGUCACCGAGGAAGUCGCGUGGCAUGGGUAACGGUUUGGGCUACCGCGUCUGAGUUGCUUGCCAAAAAUGAGGAAACUGCUUGAGUUUGAUUUCUCAGCUGCCGUAGAUGGAGCAAUCAAGGAUAAAGCUGCCAAGAUCAGAGUUACUAAAGAUGAAGUGUCGGAUGAGCGAAUUGUUAAGUGUAAAAGUGGCUGCUGCCCCCUGACCAUUUGCUGCCUAGUUGAUCUUUAAGCAUUCGAUCUUUUAAGCUAUGUGGCCUUCUCGUACUUGAGAGCUUACCUAGAUAGGUGUCAAGGAAUUAGUUUACCCUCUCUCAUUGGAGAGCAAUUAGUUUAUCCUUUUACAUUGGAGAGCAAACCCAUAUGGGUGUCUAGGAAUUGGUUUACCCUCUCGCACUGGAAAACAAUUUGUCCUAUCGCAUUGGAAAGCAUACCCAUAUGGGUGUUUGGGAAUUGGUUUACCAUUUCUCACUGGAGAGCAAUUAGUUUAUCCUCUUGCACUGGUAAACAUGCUCAUAUGGGUGUCGGGGAAUUAGUUUACCCUCUCGCACUAGAGAGCAAUUGGUUUAUCCUCUCGCAUUGGAGAGCAGACCCAUAUGGGUGUUGGGGAAUUAGUUUACCCUCUUUCACUGGAGAGCAAUUAGUUUAUCCUCUCGCACUGAAGAGCAGACACAUGUGGGUGUUAGGGAAUUGGUUUACCCUUUCACACUGGAGAGAACUUAGUUUAUCCUCUUGCACUGGAUACGGGUGUCGGGGAAUUGGUUUACCCUCUCACACUGGAGAGCAAUUAGUUUAUCCUCUCGCACUGGAGAGCAGACUCAUGUGGGUGUCAGGGAAUUGGUUUACCCUAUCGCACUAGAGAGCAAUUAGUUUAUCCUCUCGCGCUAGAGAGCAAACCUAUAUAGGUGUUAGGGAAUUAGUUUACCCUCUCGCACUGGAGAGCAUGAAAGUCAUUGUCGUGAGUGCAGUUGAGGAAAGAUAGACUGCUGGACAAUCAAAAUAAUCCUUAGCCUGCGAGGUCAUGUUUGGCUAUCUGCUUGAGACUUCGAACUGCUUGUGGAAUCCGCGUAAGGGUGUAAGCGUAGUGAGCUGCUCCCAGAAUUAUUGUGCCAUCAUUAAGUGUUUAGUCGUGUGCCCUUUUGAGGUUUGGUUAGCGCAAGCCAUAUGGCAAGAUCGGUAUGGCUAGGAGCUAUGGUGCAAGAUUGGCACAGUUAUGAGCCAUGGUGAUAGAUCAAUGGUUGUUAGGAGCCAUGAAGUAGGCAUGCACGGUUGUGUCCUUCUGGUACUCGUCUGCCCCCGGCGUGCCAUUAGGCUGAGUUACUGCGUUUGUUAAAGCAAAAGUAGUCUUUAUAUCCGGUAAUCUAUAUGGGGUAGUCCCAUUUGCUCGAUCUUGUCAUUGAAAGAUGACUCGCUUAUGUUGGUCAUCUCUCAUCAGAGCGUAUUGUCAAUAGCUUCGUUGCAUGGGAAAUCGUGCAAUCGCUCGGUCACGAGUUUUUCUACUUCUUCAUGAAUUUUCUUUUGUUGGGGGUGGCAAAGCUUUCGGCUACCCCCGGUUAUGACCUACUGGUCUAGGCUGCUCUUCAAUGUGUUCAGCUCGUCUAUGCCGUGACUACGGUGGGUAUGGUAUGUUCCUAGCAGGUGAGCAGGUAACUCGCAAGCUGCUGGUUGAACUUGAGUUGGAUUGAGUGACUGAUUCUCUCCGUCCGCUGUAUUGCCUACUUGGAUAUGAGGCGAAUGAUGCUUCUUGUGGGCCUUGCCGUGGAUGAACACUUCGCCUGAAAGGUUGCUCAUGUUGAUUAUUGGAGUGUGGCCCCAACCAUGAGUGUAUGCUUAUCUGUGGGCCUAACUGAGAGUGCACGUUCUUCCACACACUAAGACUGGUCAAGUGGCUGCUUACCAGGAUGCUGGUGGAGAGGUUCGUCUGCCCUUGUCCUUCUUCGAGACACCUCGUCCGGGGCACGUUGGAUCUCGGUGCAUUGCAAAAGUUGAUUCACCAAGGUUAUUUGUUGUGUAAGGGCGCUUGUUAGCUCUAUGACUUGUCGAGACAAGUAUUAUUCGCCAUUUGGAUUGGAAGAGUUUAGAAGGAAUAUGUUUCCUUGAGUAGUGAAAGUGUGGUAGGCUCCAGGCACGAGAUUUGAAUUGGGAAAUGUCAAAUCCGCGGAGAAACGUUUAUAGGAGCAUAUUUAUGCGACUUAGUUAGCUUGUUUUCUUGCAUUUACAUAGUUAGUUUAUGCUUAUUAUAGUGAUUUAAGCUAUUUUCGUGUGUUUGUAGGUCCAAAUGACAAAGUUGGCAAGAAAGUGCAUUUUGGAGCAUUUUAGAGCAGUUUUAGGCUGGAAUGGAUAACUUACAUAUGGAGCACAAGGAAUGGAUGAAUUUGAAGUCAAGAUAGGCUAAGAAUGUGCUGAAAAGAUGAAGAAAAUAAAUCCAAGACAAAGAAGAUAAGGAAUCAGCUAAAAGGAAGGAAUAUUAUCCAAAACCUUAUCCAAUCUUAUCUUAUCCAAAUAUCCUUAUCUUAUCUUAUCCUAACCUUAUCCUAAUAUAUCUUAUUUCCAUCUGCAAGGGGGAAUUAUUUUCAGUUUACGACACCUAAAUGCAUAUUUCUAGAAGCCUUAACAUAAUCCUACAAAUCAGCCGCACCUAGCCUUUCUAGAAGCCAUGUUUCCUGCCACUAAACGUAUUCCUAAUUAUUCCUGGUUUCUGCUAUUUAGUUAACCUUUUUCCUUGGGGAUUUGGAGUGUCAAUCCUUCUCCAAAGCUACCUAGGCCGUGCCUUUUUCUCCCUAUAAAUACAAGUGGUGCCGCACAAUUAAAAACACCACGCCCCACAUAAUUCGACAGCACUAUCUACCAUACAAUUCACUCCAAAACACAGAAAUUUAUCAAGUAACGCAGCAAGGAAGGAAGGGAGAAAGUUAGAGCCGUGACUUGCCAUUCAAUCUUUGGAGUGUUGGAGAGUUUCUGGGUUCUUUCUAUAUUUAGUUUUAGUUCAAUGUUUGUUUUAAUUUGGUUUUAUGUUUUCAAAGACGUGAGGAACUAAUUUCUUUUUAGUUAGAGGUGAAUUCGAAGCCAUGAUUAUAUGUUUUAUAUGAAUUGAUUACAUCCAAUUAUUGUUUCUAGAGUCUUGAAUGUGAUUUGCUUAUCUGAGUUAUUAAAACUUGUUUAUGUAUGUAGACUGAGGGUCGACACUUAAUUUGCAUGCAUGAAUUUGAUGCUAAAGUAUAAGGGAGUUUUACCUAAUCGUUAUGAACUUAUAUUCACAAGUAGUGGAAGUCACUAGUCAUGAUUGUGUUAAGUAAAUUCUUGGCAGGAGUAUCAUGCUUUUCAUAGUUACGAAUGCCUCGUCAAUGCUUAUGGUUUUCAAAGAACUUAAUGACCUUUGAUAUGUCUUUCUAUCAUGCUUUUCAUAGUUAGGGAACUUGAUAAGGAUACUUUGGUUGCGAUGCGUAUUCCAUCCAAUUCAAUGAAUUAAGGAAAAUCUAAUGGUUAAUUUGUGCUAUCGCGGUUAACUUGGGGUGUUGUCAUUCAUGGUUUAAAGAAACAAUACUGGAAAUCAAUUUAUGUGCAUGUGUUUCAUGUGUGGAGAAGGACCCUCUAACUAGCUUUUCACCCUUGAAUUCACCUUAAUUUCAUUUUAACUUACUUGGUUUGCUGCAAUUUACUUAGUUUUGUCAAAUUCGUUCAAAAACCCCCUCAGUUUUUAUUUGGUGUCUUAGUUUAGUUAAUUUCGUUCAAAUCUGUCCCCAUUUAGUAUUUUGAGUCAAGUUAGUUUAGAAUUCGUCCAAAUCACUCUUUAGUAUUUGUUUUGAGUCUUUUUAACUUAGUUUUGCUGUUUUGAGUCAAUUUGGUUAGUUUUGAGUCAUAAGAGUCUAGUUUAGUGUUUUCAAGCCUAGUUAAGUCUUUUUGAGUUAAAUUUGAGUAGAUUAGCAUCCCUUAUAAUCCCCAGCCUAAAACGAUCUCUACUUACAUAAACUACAACCAUAGGGUUUUAAUUUGAGUGUUAGUUAAUUUCACAUCAAACGUGGUGAAAAUGCCUUGGUUUGAUAGUUGGUCUGGAUGGUUGAGAUAGUCUUGGGCUGAUUUGGGCUGCUUGGAAUGUCGCGGGAGCAGGCUGGGCCACGAGAGAAGGCUGCUCAGCGAAAGCAAGCUGGGCUAUGGGAGUGGGCUACUCGGUGUAUGAUGCACGAGGGUGAGAGGCUUGGGCUCGGCUUGGCAAUGUGUUGGGGUCGCGUUGGGCGUGGAGCGACAUGGCUUGGGUUGUGACUUUAGUGCCGUGAGCUGCCUUGGAUGGCACGGCUCGGGCCGUGGUGGUGACACCAUGGACCUCACCGCAGGUGGCUACCGUGGUAGCCACCGCGGUGGUGGUGCCGCUUCACCUAUUGUCACAUUUAGCCUAGUGGAUCGCUGUGGUCCCAUCUCUUGAAUGUUGAAAUUUUCAUUUGUUGAAUUUUCUUAAUUUCUAGCCAUUGUACUUCUCUUUUACGUUUUAUCAAAGAAUUUUUGCAAAUAAAAAAUUCUAAUAAUAAGAACGUACGAUAAAUCUACAAAUGGACAAGAAAAUAGAAAGCCUUGGAUGCGAGAGUCUUCUACGAGUGUGGGACUCAACUCUCAAUGAAAUCACCAAUUUGUGGAUUCAAAUUUCUUCCUCCAUGUUCUUGGACAAAAUUGCACCUGCAAAACAAAUAACACCUUAGGUCAAGGCCAAGAGCCUCAUGUGCCCAUGAUGAAUAGGGGGCUUUGGCCGAAGAACCUCCGAUGCCAAAGUUAGAAUUUUGAGGGAAAAAUAUUUGGAGAAUUUAGAGAACUUAGCAAGAGCAUUGAAAUUGAGUUUUGGAAAGAAUGAUGAAGUUUUUAUAGGGGUGUGGCCCGCCCCUUUGGGAUAGAAACGAUCGGCCACUUGGUUCUUUUUGUGGGUUAGGUUCUUGAUUUUUGUUUAAUUAGGAAUAAUUGAAUAAUAAAUCAAUUAAUUAGCUAAUUAAUAGAAUAAUUUCCUAAUUAAUUAAUAUAAGAAAAGGGGAAUGAUUUGGGAGUUACCUUGUGGAGAGGAUUUGAUGAGGAUGGAUGAAAUAGGUUUUGAAUUAUUACCUAUUUUGACCACUUUUGACUUGGUUGAGGGUUGAUUGCCCACUGCUCGCGUGUAGGAAUCCUGGUAUGCCUCGAGGGUAAUUUUGUCCUUUUAACCCAAAAAUCCACGUGUUGCCUUAUAAUUAUUUUUGGCUCCACAAUAUUGUCUGCAUAAAAAGACUUUGUUAGCCCAAGUUUGUCAGUGCAAAACAAGAGAGAAAAAAAGAUUUAGACCCUAGCUUUUAAUGUGAAAAAAAUGAGGAGUUGUAAAGGAAAAAUGGCCUUUGAUUGGUAGAAUCAUGUUGAAAUUAACGUUGCAGCCAUGAGAUUUUCCAUGGAUUGUGCAUGCUUAAUUCUGCAAUAAUCAAACCCUUACAAUGACACAAUUUUUAACCAACAUUCUAUUCUGGCUAAAACCUUAAGACGUUCUCCUAGAGAAAAACAAGCUCUUUUGACCAAUGGAUAAUGAUUUUAAAGUUUUGGAUCCUCCAACUAAGGUAUGAAUUGAUUUAUACAAGUUUUUUAUUUUUUUAUUUUUUGUUUAAUUUCAAGGGUUUUAAGGUUUAGGUGUGUAUUGCCUAGAAAAAAAGGACAUUGUUAGUCCAAGUCUGUGUGUGCGAAACAAAAGAAAGAAAGAAAAUGAAGAAUUUAUGCCCUAGUUUUAAUUGUGAGGUAGAGGGGGAGUUGUAAAGGAAAAGGAUCUUUGAUUGGUGGAAUUUAUGCUGAAACUAAGGUUUAGCCAUGCGACUUUCCAUGGACUCUGCAGUCUCCAAUCCAUGGUUGCAGUUGUGCGUUUUUGUUUUGUAAUGCUUGCGAAACUGUUUGAUCAGCAACUACCAAAUAAAUUAGAACGACUUUGAUUUUCAUUUUUUAAAUGGUUGUAAAGAUAAAUUUAUAUAUUGAAUUGAGUUUGUGAUGGUAGUUUAGGUAGUAAGUUUGGGUUUAAAGAGAUAUUGAUAAUUGAAUUAAAAAUAACAUGGGUGUAGAGAGUAAGUAAGGUGUAGAGUGCAGUUAUAUGGAUCCAAAUAAAACUUUUCUAAUGUCAUGCGUAAGUCUUCUUUCACAUGGCAAAACGUUACUUGGUUAUGAUGCGAUGUAAAUAAAUCUUUGAGGAAGAUGAAACUUAGACGGAAGUCACGAAAUUUGUUCCCACCAUCUAUACUGGAUCUUAGCCAAGGUAUAAAAUAUCGAUAAUAUCGGAAAUAUCGGUAGUUCAAAAAUACGGAAAUUUCGACGGAAAUAUCGGGAUAUUAUCGAUAUCGAUAAAAAUUGAAUAAAAACCACGGAAAUUGUAAGCAAAACUUGGAAAUUUUUAUUGAAACUUUGCAGGAUGUUUAUUUAGUCAAUUAUCUAUUAGUUUAUCACAAAAAAUUGGAAGGAAAUGCAUUGCAUGAUGUAUUUAACUGAUUUAAGUUGAUUAUAUAGCAAGCUGGCAAACAUUGUGAGUGUAGAAAAUAUGUAGUAAUUAAUAAAAGAAGUUUAAACACACCAUAAUCAUUUAUAUAUAAUGAAUUAGUACAAUAUUUUACACUUUUAUACAUUGCAUGAUAAGAUACAUGAAUGACUUAGUACCACACAGAGUUCCUAUGAGAUUCAAAUUUUUCACUAUCUUCAUCAUCUCUAUGUGUAGAGUAAAUGUAUUGUGAAGAGUAGUCAUCAAAUGAUAAAUCUCCAAAAUAGUUUUGCAUGUAAUUGUUAACAUGCCACCCAUAUGGAUCCGAGAUUGGUUGACGUUGUCCAUAAGCAAAAUCAUUUGAAGAUUGAGUCUCAGAUUCUUUCCAUGAGUCACUCGAUUCCAUUCCAACAAGAAUGAGAUAUGAAGGGCAGGGAAAUGGUUGGUUAUGAGUAUAACCACAGUUACUACUUCCCACUCCAACAGAGUCCGAAGUUAUAGAUAACGAGUCAUCUUCUUGACUUGACAAAAUCCUCUUGUCUCUUUCUCUACGAGUAUAGUCCUUUCCUAUGGCACAAAUUCCUGGUCCUGCCCGCCUACUGCCAUGAUCCUCAUCCUGUGUUGCAUGAGUGAAGUUUGCCUCACCAGUGAAGGGGCUCAUAAAUCCGGGAGGUGGUCAAACAUAGUUUCCAUAUCCACCACUACCUCCAGCUCCACUAUAUCCUUCAUCAUUCCCACCUCUGGUGGUAGGUGAGUUUCCUGAUCUUGUACUAGAGCUAUCAUUAGUAUCAGCAUGAUCUUGUGGUUGUGUACGAUUGGAAGAAGGUGGAAUUCCAGUGUUUCUUGGUCUUGGACGCAAAAGUUCUUCCAAAGAGUCAGCGCUGCUAGAUCCCACCUCCUCCUCUAAUACUCUUUCUACAUUUAUCCCUUCAUUACGUGCUUCUUCAGCAACUCUCGGAGCUGGGUUGCCUUCAUCAUCAUCUAAUUGAAGAGGUCUAAUCCAUUGAUAAAGUUGGUUACCCACUGUAUCAUCAUCUUCAGCAACAAUAUCAAACACAUCUAGUGGGUCACCAGGGUCGACAUGAUCUAUUUCUGCUUCCUUAUCUCGAAUUUGAAGCUUCAUGUUGUAGUAGCAAUAAACUAAUUUUUCCAACCUGCUAUGAGCCAACCUAUUUCUUUGCUUUGUGUGUAUGAGUGCAGAUGUACUCCAAUUUCUUUCACAAGUAGAUGAGGAAGCUGUUUGUGAUAAUACUUUGAUUGCUAACUUUCUCACAGUUGGUGCAUCAAUCUCAUACAUGAUCCACCAUUCAGCUAUAAUGAAAAACAAUGUUGAUAAGCCUAAUAACUCCAACAAAUUCUAUUAUAAACUUAUAGUGAAAUAUGUUUACACUAAUUAGGAGACAUUUUUGUUCAAGUAGCAACUGAUGUUGGUUCUCCAAAAGUUAUUUUUGCAUCUUAAAACCAUGUUAGCUGAAUUCAAUAAAUCGUGUUAGUUUAAUCCAACAAUGUAAUUAUUAUAAUUUAAGUAAUUGUGUACCUCAUUUCCAAAUUGGCCAACUGCUGGUGAUGCAGGGUCCAAUUUAGAGUAUACAUUAUGUACAACACGUAUAAGGGUACCAUCAUCUCCAACACCGAGUCUGUAUUGGUAUCCAGGAUUCAAAUAAUAUGUUGUUCAAAGAAACACAUACUCUAAUAAGAGAAAUAACACUUAUGCAACUAAAGAAAUGAAUUGCAAAUUAUGACAUAAUUUAUACCUGCUGCAUGCAAAUCGUGGUAUAAUGUUUUAUACCAUCGGUCAUCAAUUAUCUUUAUGACCCACCUUGCACCAUGUUUACUUUCCAAGUCAUCCUUCACUACACGCAUCAACUCAUAUAUUGCCCUCAUAGUAGGAUACACUUCUGAGUCAACGAUCCGUAAAACUUUGUAAAGAAGUUCAAACACUUGGCACACAUGUUCUGAUUGAGUCCAAAAAGCAUGAUCAAACAUUAUACUUUCCACCAUAUGACUUGCAUUUGAGUGGCUGAAAUUGUGGUUGGCCCAAUCAUCACUAGUGAAUAGUUGCUUCAACCUUACUUUCUUCUUAAGUAGGCUGUCUAAUGCAAUAUAGUUGGUGGCGAAUCAAGUGGUAGCUGGACGAAUAAUUUCUCCUUUGCAAAAUUCACGCAUUUUUGCCAACAACCAACCGUGAUUAUUUAUAUAAUUUGUGAUCGUUCUAGCUCUUUUUACGACGGUAGCAAUAUUCUCUCUCUUCCCCAUUGCCUCAAAUAUGAGAUCAAUACAAUGUGCUGCACAUGAUGUCCAAAACACAUUAUGAUGCUUCAUUAACUUUUUUCCAGCUUUGACAAAUGCAAAACCGUUGUCGGCCACAACCUGGACAACAUUAUGCUCUCCCACCUCCAUGAUUACAUCCCUCAAUAAUUUGUAAAUAUACUUGUAGUUUUUUAUAUGGUCUGAAGCAUCAAUGGACUUAAAAAAAAAUUGUCUUUCCCUUGGAGUAUACCAUUUUAUGAUAGACAAUUUGGUCGGGCCAGUCCAUCUGUCACACAUGAUUGUGCAACCAUUAGUUUUCCACUUUGACCUCAACUUGUUAACAUACUUGCCAAUGUCUUUAUACUCCAUUUUCAAAUAUUUGUUUCUUACCUCAUAGGGAGUGGGAGGUUGUACUCCAACAUCGGCCUGUUAACAUCCCAAUACCAUAUUUUUGAAAUGAUGUGAAGAUGUCUUCUUAGCAGGGACAUUUUCAUAGAUAAAGAACUUGCUAAUUAGAUGCCCCAUUCCCUCCUUCACAUUACCUCCAGUGAAAUAACUCCAAACACUCUUUUGACGUGCUUUGGAUGACUUAUAUAACCUUGGGGCUUUUGGUGGUGUUGGUUGUGAUUCUCUAACACUUGCUCCCCGUCUCAUUUGUGCACCACCACUUGUCCAGGAACCUUAUGCUCUAUUAGGAAUUUUAUGAAGGUGUUCUCUUUCCCAUGCUGACUGUUUGGAGGCACGUAAUGCUUGUUUGAAAUUGCGUUGUUCUUCAGGUCCCAUGUCAUCAUCACAUUUGUCCUCAUCGUCAUCAUCAUCACUGUCAACCGCUUGGCCAAUGACUUCUCCUCGUAGCCCAGCUCGAAUAUUUUCCAUUCCAUGUGUUUUCUUUUCCUUCUGGUGUUUUUUAUUUUUUUAAUAAUGUGAUGAUAAAUGCCUUCACUUCUGGGGGGACAUUAUCGCAUGGUUGGACAUUAUUUCCUGGAUCUAAUCCACUAAGAUCAUACUUAAGUCGUGUCACUCCACCACUCUUCAUUACCCGACCACAAUAUUUGCAAAUUGUGCCAUGUUUGUUUCCAUCUAUUGGGUCUCCAUGUUCCCAAGCUGGAUCACGUUUAGUAACUCCACUAUACAUCUUAAACGUACAUAUAUUUAUUUUUCAUGGAAAUUAGGCAAUUAUUUUUUGGCCAAAAAAUAUAGUAGUGACGGUUAUAUAAGAGAACCUAAAUAAUAAAGUUAUUCUACAGAGGAAUUAAAUAGGAAGUAAAGAAAAUGAUUGUAAGAAUUUAAGUAAUUAUAAAAAUAAUAUGGAAUAAUAAAACCUAAUAUUAAUGAAUAAUAAUCCAAUUUGAUAAUAAAAUAAUAUAACAUUAAACACAUUAAAAUUAUCCUAGGGACUAAUUAUACAACAUUACUUAAUUACUUCAAAAAAUUAACAUGGAAGUAUUAUUUGGUUCUUAGAUCACAUGCACGGGUCCACACAAUUUUUUUUUGUUGUAUAAAUUAAAAUAAUAUAAAUAUAAGUUUGUAAACUUACCUUAAAUAUGGAACCCUUUGUGUAAAGGCCAAAUAGAAUUUGCGUGGACCAACAAUAAAAUAAUAAUUACACAAAUGUAACAAAUCUGGAACUUUCGAUGUCGUACGUAGCAGCAGAACCUCGACGAUCCUUUGCAGCUUGCCGUCUGUGAAUAAAUGACAGAGAAAGAAGGUAUUUAACAUUUAAUUUGAAGUGGCACGAGCUGCAGAUCCAUUUAUUCAGUUUGAAGGUCUGAAAGGGCUCUGGAAAGGUUCUGAAAGGGCUAAGGGAAGAAGAAGAAACGAAAAGGUGUAAUAGAGGUUUUUCAAUUUUCGAAGGGUCAAAGUCGUCAAAAGUUUGAGAUUUAUACAUACAUACAUAUAUAUAUAUAUAUAUAUAUAUAUAUAUAUAUAUAUAUAUAUACCGUUUAGAUUUAUAUAUAGAGUUUAGGGGAUUAAAGAUAUUUCAAAGGCAUCACGUGGGGACAAAAUCAAAAGCAACAAUUCUUUUGGUUCAACUCUUACAUGCACAAGGGCUUCACGUGGAUAAGAAAUAAAGAUAGCAGAUUUUUUGGUUCAUUUUGAUGUGAAAAAAGGGCUUCACGUGGAUAAGAAGAUAAAGAUAGCAGAUUUUUUGGUUCUUUUGAGCAAAGUCAAGUCGACAUAAUGUUUGAAGAUAAAGAUAGCAGAUUUUUUGCUUUUAAAAUUGUUUUUUAGUCUUAAUAGGUGUGCCACGAGGCCCACCUUUGUUUGUUGUUCCUCGGGUGGUCUAAGCCUAACUCGUCUCUCUCUCUCUCUCUCUCUUCUCUUUCCCUCCUUCACACUCUCUUCCUUUUCCUCUUCUUCCCUGAGCCUCUGUGUUCUCUCAUCUUCCCGUCGAACACACACACACACCCAGUCACCGCACACCCUUCGUAGUACUCCGUCAACGGCAUAUCAUCACCAUCUAAACCUCGUCUUUCUCUCCUUUUCUCUCAGUGUAGCUAUGACAGUGGAACCCAAGAACUCUCCGGCGAGUUCUGUUGAUCCUUCUCUGGUUAGGUAAGCCUCGGUUAUCUCAAUUCAUCUUGGAUGUUGUGUGGUUGAGAUAUACUAAGUUUUAUCGUUUUUUUAACAAGGUUUUAGAACAAGAUCAACCCGGUGGAAGGCACACCCAGCUCCGGCAAGGCCGUGAGUGUCGAGGAACUUUCCGAACACCACCGUUUCACGGCAAACAGAAGUUAUAAAAACAUUCCUCUCGUCUUGUGUUUCAUUUUGAUACCUAGAUCAGAGUCUAGGGUGCUCUUCUCCAAUUCGUACCAGGCCUAAAAUAUUGCGAUAUUAUUGAUAUUAUCGCGAUAUUAUCGAUAAUAUCAAUAAUAUCGCGAUAUUUUUACAAUAAUUCAGUGGAUAAGUGUGAAAAUAUCGCUCUCCCACAAAAAUGAUAUUAUAACCGAAAUACGCUGAUAAUAUCGACAUUUCAGACCAUGACCUUAGCCAAAAGGCUAAGUUUCGGUGCAUCGCACCGCACCUAAUCAGCGCCCAUAUGGGCCUUUGUUUUGGGUCCUUUUUUUUUCCAGCUCGUUUGUUGCUGCUGGGCUUGCAGCCCCUUGGCCUGAUCAGCCUGUACUCUUUUUUCCAGCCCAGAUUUUAGGCCUGGGCCGCACGACCGUAAUUACUUAGCCCACCCGUGGGCUUUGGUCCACUGUUUUGGGCCCCAAGUUUUAAUUACCUAUUUUUUUUCGGCACUUUUGAGUUUUAUAAUUUUUCACCCACACUUUAAUUUUGGCCCAAAAUCUAAAUAAUUAAUUCAGUUAUAAUUCUAGACCCAAAGAUCUAUUUGCAUAUUUCUUGUUGCAUAUUAUAUAUAUAUAUAUAUAUAUAUAUAUAUAUAAUAUAUUUGUGUUUAUCUGCAGGAACAUAUGAACUUGAAGUUCAUAAUUUUUUCGAAACCUGAAAUUUCUAGAAAACAUGCCUUAUUUGAAAACCUGAAGUUUUCCUUAAAACAUCACCCAUGAAAACCCGAAAUUUUUUUCAUGUAACUUUAAACCAUUGUCUAUUGAUUUUCUCCAUUACACUAACAACAUUCUUGUCCAUUUAUUUUGUGAUAAAGACAUGUCAAAUUUGAACAAACUCAACUUCACCGCUUUAGAGGUCUUUGGAAAAAAACUACCUCAAGUGGGUCCAAAUGUGAAGCUCCACCUCAUCGCAAAGAAUUUGCGCCCAGUCAUUGAAGAUGAGACAGACAACCCGGUUGGCAAAACUGAGAAAGCCACUGCCAUAAUCUUUAUCCGAAGACACAUUCAUGAUGCACUGCAAACCGAGUAGCUUGCUAAGGAAGAUCCACGAGCAUUUUGGGUUGCUUUGGCUGAUCGCUUUGAUCACCAAAAUGACAUCUUCUUAGCUAAAGCAAGACAUGAUUGGUAGCAUCUACACUUCUAAGACUUUAAGUCUACAAAUGAAUAUAAUUCUGAAGUUUGUCGAAUCCGAUCACUUCUCAAGUUUUGUAACGAGAACUGGACUGAAGAGGAUCUCCUGGAGAAGAUAUAUUCGACCUUCUCUGCUGCCAAUAUUGUCCUGCAGCAACAAUAUAGGGCUCAGAAGUUCACUAAGUUUUAGGAUUUGAUCUCUGUUUUACUUCUCGCUAAAAAGCAGAAUAAGUUGUUGAUGAAGAAUCAUCAAGCUCGACCUACUAGGGCAACUGCUAUGCUUGAAACACAUUAUAGCACAAACAAUUUCCCAAAACGCCAACAUAGGGGUGGUAAAGGCGGUCAGAAGCCACCCCAUCAAGGUCAACAGAGCCAAAGCCUAUCUAAGGGAGGAAACCGAGCCCAUAAGCAUUCUAACCUCGCUCCCAAGGCCCUGAACUUCAUGAAUAAGGGCAAAGCACUGACACCAUGGAUGCGAACAUGUGCUAUCGUUGUGGUUCAAAUGACCAUUGGCCGUCGUGCUCCCUCGACAGUUUGUAGCUGAAUAUCAUUCUUGUCGUAAGAAGUUUGAAUCGAACUUUAUGCAAGUGGAUGAACUAGAGAGUACCAAAAUGGAGGUUUCUGAUUUUCAAGAGGCUAUUACCUCUAUGGAAGAUUAGAAUCUUAUACAUAAAUUAUUUUUAGUUGAGUUUAGAACCUUGGGGGGCCGAAUUUCACCUAGUGGCCAAACCCUCCUUGUUUUUUGUUCAAGUUUGAAUAAUUUUCCUUUAUGUUUGGAUUAUUUGUUGGUGAUUUUUUUUUUUUUGGAUAUUAAGUCUUUUUAAUUACCAUCCUUGAAUACUUAAAUUAUUUUGAAUGGAUAUUUAUCUUUUAGAACUUUUAUGCAUGUGACAUAUUGAAAUUAAUUUUUAUUCCUAGGUAUGACUAAUGAGAAAGUUAGUUGUUUGGCAGAUAGUGCAACCAUACACACUGUUUUGCUUAUCGUACCUAAGAAUGCACUUCUGACAACCUUCUUAGGCUCAUCCAACCUAAUCGAAGGAUACGGUAAGAAACGAAUAAUGUUGUCUAGAUGAGGCACUUUAUUUUUCACGUUCCGAAAGAACGUUGUUGAGUUUCAAGGACAUUCGAGACAAUAAUUACCACACUUAAACCUAUGUAGAAAAUGGAGUUGAAUUUAUAUGCAUCACUUCCUACGAAUAUGACCAGAAGCGUAUUCUAGAGAAGAUGCAGCGUAUCUCAAGUGGUCUGUAUACUACAACCAUACGUUCUAUAGAAAGCCACUAUGUGGUCGGUCCUACCUCUGAGACUGCACACCAAAUUACACUUUGGCAUGAUCGUUUAGGACACCAUGGACGAACAGCGAUGCGUUGUAUCUUCAAAUAUUCACACGGACAUCCACUAUCCCGAAGUUUAGGUUGAUUCAAGGAAUCGCAUGUCAAACCUGCUCAAUGGGAAAACUUAUCAUUAAGCAUUCUUAUAACAAGAUUCGUUCGAAUCCUCCUACUUUUCUACAAAUGAUUCAGGGGGACAUUUGUGGAGCGAUUCAUCCUCUCUGCUGACCAUUUAGAUAUUUUAUGGUAUUGGUUGACGCCCCCACACAUUGGUCACAUGUGUGCUUGUUGUCCAAAAAAAUGUUGCAUUCUCUAAACUGUUGGCUCAAGUUAUCAAGCUCAGGGCUCACCACCCUGAUUAUCCGAUUAAAUCUAUUCGAUUGGAUAAUGUUGGAGAAUUCACAUCUAAAACUUUUGAUGGCUAUUGCAUAUCAGUUGGGGUUGAAGUUGAACAUCCAGUACCCUAUGUUCACACUCACAACGGCUUGGUAGAGGCGUUCAUUAAGUGCUUACAAAUGAUUGCUAGAUCGUUCGUCAUAUGUACCAAGUCCUGAUCGCUACUUGAGGCCAUGUAAUAUUUCACGCAACCAUGUUGGUCUGCCUGAGGCCUAUUGUGACCCAACCAUAUAGCGCACUUCAGUUGGUUACCGGAUACGAACCCAACAUAUCACAUAUACGAGAUUUUGGUUUUUAGGUUGUGAGAUCUAUGUGCUGAUCUCGCAGCCAUUAUGAACAAAAAUGGGGCCUCCGCGAAGGAUGGAUAUCUAUGUCGGAUAUGGUUAUCCUUCAAUUAUUUGUUACUUAAAACCUUGUACAAGCGAUAUUUUUACUGCUCAUUUCAUGGAUUGUCACUUCUAUGAGACAAUCUUCUCGUUGUUAAAGGGAGAUAAAAACGUCACCGUUCCUGAAGAAUAACACGAAUUAUCUUAGAUGACUCCCACUUUGUCUCAUUUAGCCCCAUACCGCUCAGUCUGAAACUGAAGUGCAACGUAUAUUAGGUCUUCAUAGAGUAGCUCAGAGCAUGCCAGAUGCUUUAACAAAUUUGGCAUGAGUGACAAGAUCACAUAUUCCCGAUGUAAAUGUGCUUGCAAAAAUGAAUGUACCAAAUGUACGAUGGACUUCCCUCCUGGAGGCCUCGGACGCCACUUUGACCGAUCCAUGUACAUUAGCGGUUAGCCAAUUCGCUACCCCUACACAAAAGCGUGGAAGACCUCUUGGUUCAAAAGAUUCACAACCACAGAAGAGGAAACCCACAACAUAGGCUGUUGAGCUUACUGUGAACUGUUACUUACUCAUUCUAUCCAACUCAUGAGGAAAUUCUAGAUUACGGAAGUAUCCUUGAAGAGAAGAAUCCAUCUCCUGAGAAUCGAGAGAUUUCGGUCUAUUGUGCUAGCUUGGAUGAUGUUUGAUGUAGAAAUGAGAUGAUUAUCGAUGAUGCAUUAACAUUUGCAGUAGCUAUUAAGAUCAUGUUGAACGAUGACAUUGAACCCCAUUCUGUUGAUUAAUGUUGACGUAGAACUGAUUAGUCAAAUUGGAAACAAGCAAUCUAAGUCGAACUCAAUUCGCUUGCGAAACGUAAGAUGUUUGGACCUGUAACUCUUACUCCUCCACAUGUGAAGCCCGUUAGCUACAAGUGGGUUUUCGUUAGAAAGUGUAAUGAAAAGAACAAAAUUGUGCAUUACAAAGCUCGUCUUGUUGCGCAAGGCUUCUCACAAUGCCCCGAGAUUGACUAUGGGAAACUUAUUUACCGGUUAUGGAUGUUAUUACUUUUCGAUACCUUAUCAGUUCUGUAGUUUCUGAAAAAAUUGAGUAUGCAGCUGAUGGACGUAGUAAUUGCGCAUCUCUAUGGAGAUCUUAAGGAAAUUUAUAUGAAAGUUCCCGAAGGACUUACAUUGAUUAGAUUAAAUAUUUUCAAAACCCAGAACGCGCUCUCAAUUUGACUGAGGCGUUCACUAUAUAGUUUGAAACAAUCCGGAAGAAUGUGGUAUAACCGUCUAAGUGAGUAUUUGACUAGUCAGGGAUAUAUGAGCAACGAACUCUGCCCUUGCGUGUUUAUUAAGAAGCCACAUUCUGGUUUUACAAUUGUUGCAGUUUAUGUUGACGACAAGAACCUUAUAGGAACUCUUGAAGAGCUCAAGAGAACUGCCGCGCACCUGAAGUCAGAAUUUGAGAUGAAGACUAGGAAAUACUCGAUAUUAUCUCAAUCUCGAGAUAGAGCAUUGUUCGAAUGGAAUCUUAGUACAUCAAUCGAACUACACCCAGAAGAUGUUGCGUCGCUUUAACGAGGAUAAAGUGAAGCCUUCGAGUACUCCUAUGGUUAUAUGACCGCUAGGUGAAAAAUGAGAUCCCUUUCGUCCGAAAGAGGAUGAUGAAGAGAUUUUGAAACUCGAAGUUCCUAAUCUAAGUUCCUAAUCUAAGUAUGAUAGGCAUUUUAUUGUACUUAGCUCAAAGCACUAGACCCGACCUUUCAUUUGUUGUUAAUAUUUUAGCAAGAUACAGUAAUGCAUCGACACACAGACACUGGAUUGGUGUUAAAGACAUCUUCCGCUACCUUAAGGGUACUACGGAUAUGGGCCUAUUCUAUCCCUACGGAUCCUCAAGUGAUGCCGCACCCUUAUCUCGAGUUGAUUAUCUCAUUGUUAGUUAUGCCGACGUAGGUUACUUAUCUGACCCGUAGAAAGCGCGUUUUCAAACGAGUUAUGUCUUUACCGUAGGAAGCACUGCAAUAUCUUGAAGGUCAACUAAAGAGACCUUAGUUGCCACUUCGUCUAACCAUGCUGAUAUACUCGCCUUACAAAAAGCUACUCAGGAAUGCUUUUGGUUGAGAGCAAUUGUGGGCUAUAUUCGAAGCUCUUGCAAUCUUUACAUAGUCGUUGACGUCUCAACAAUGAUCUAUGAAUAUAACGCAACAUGCAUGGAACAACUCAAGAAGGGUUAUACCAAAUAAGACAACACCAAGCACAUUGCGCUGAAAUUCUUCUUUUCACAUCAACAACAAGAACAUCAGAAGAUUGAAGUCAAGCAAAUCCAUUCACAAAACAAUCUGGUCGACCUUUUCACCAAAUCACUACCAAAGGCGACGUUUCAGAAGCUUGUUCAAGGAAUAAGUAUGCGUAAACUUUCUGAGUUGUAACAUUGUUAGUUCUCUUUGGAAUUAUGUCGAACUCAGGGGGAGUAUCUUGAAGUAUACUUGCUUGAUCUUAAUGUACUCUUUUUCCUUACGAUUAGGAGCAUUUUUCCCUUUGGGUUUUUGCUACCUAACGAGGUUUUGACAAGGCACCUACCUUGGGUUGAGCAUAUCCCUAAUGAUGUCAUGUAGACAUUUCAUUUGACUUUGCAUUUUGUCACAUACUUUUCCUUAGACUAUGAGUUUUGUUCCUACUUGGGUUUUACCAUAGUCAUUGGGUUUUUUGUGAGACUUAGUUCCAUGUGCAAGUUCCUACUUUGUUUAAGACUAGUGUUGUUCCCAUAAUCCAUGCCGAAGAGUCGACUUCCUCAACUCUGCAUGAUGCCGAAUCUACUUGAGUAUUUACACACUCAAGGGAGAGUAUUAUAAACAUUGAAUUUAAAUGUGAUUGCGUAAAUCCUAUAUUAGAUUUGAUACUAGCUAUUAUUUCUUAUUAGGACUUGUAUUCCUUGGAGGAGAAAGAUUAUUCCCUCCCUUAUUAUUAUAAAUAAAGGCAUUGUGUAGGGAGAAUAAAACAUCCUCUAUACAACCCUACAAACACAUAUCUCUCCCUACUCUCUCUCUUUGGCGUGCCCCCUCUCUCCCUUGUUAGAUGAAAAUAAGCCACAACAUCAACCCCAUUUUUCAAUCAAGGAUAAUAAUUCUAUUGUCCCUCACGCAGCAAAUAAAGCUUUUUUGGUCCAAGAUCGGACAAUGACACAGUAAUCAAGCGGGGCAUGAACAUUUAAUAAUGGGGUAUGGUAUCCACACACUCUUAUCAAUUUUCGACCAUUGAAUCAAAUAAAUUGAAAAAUAUCAAAUGACAGAAAUUAUUACGAGGUGCGAAUUUGAACCUUUAUGUGUUGGUAGGCUUUCAAGUCAACAAACUAAAAAAAGAUUUGUGAAUAGCACAACCCCUUAAAAAUUCUUCUAGACGAAGUUUCUUAUUAGAUUACAUUUCAAGUAUAACGAAAUGAACCCAUUGCAACUCGAUCAAUCUAAUACUAAUGUUGGUAUGAUAUGAUGCAUUCGAUUUCGGCAUUUUGUACAUUUGAGUUUCACCGUGAAAAUGGUCUAUAUUUUUCUGUCUUGAUCAUCUAUCCGAAUUAAACCACAUGCUCCACUGCUUGUGCAGACUGCAUCAAUUCAUUUGAACUUUUUUCUUGCAAACAUACUUCCAAGGCAGGAACUUAACAGGUCACUAAACUUAAACUCGAAGUUUUUCUUUGAUUAAAAAGAAACCCAAUGCUAUUGGAAUUUCGAAGUGCAGAUUUCAGUUGGUGGAGUAAAAGUAGGUGGGAACACGCGGAAGAUAUUGAUUAGGUAAAGGUUUAGUCCAAAAAAAAAAAAUUAUGUAAAAAUUUAAAAUCUCCAAAGUGGCGAAUCCCAUAAAACGUGUUGCAUUUUCAAUUUUAAUAUUUUAGAAUCAAAGCAAAACCCGUUGAAACAUUCCAAGUGAAAAAAGUUGAUGGAGACCUAAGCAUACACGAAAAAAUUAUUAGUGUAUAGAAUACAGUUGAAGAUGGGUGGAAAACACUGGAAGGUAACGGAGCCCAUAAAACGCGUAGUCUGGAAUACAUUUUUCGUCUAUUGAAAAAUUGCAACAUCUUUGCCAUGAUUUUGUCUGGAAAAAAACAUUUUUCUUUUGUUGAGAUACAAAAUUAAUUUAAACUUUUUAAUGUUAAGCAUGUCCCUAAGAAAAUGACAAAAGAAAAAACACUCUAAACUGGUCUUUGUUUUUUGGGUCAACACACUCGGAACUAGUCUUAGUAGCAAAAUCGAAGUAAAAACUCAUCCCCGAAAUCCACUCUUUCUUCAUCUUUCAGUUUCCUAUCCAACCAAGACACAGUUGUGAGCAUGGCUGAGUUGGUGGGCGGAGCUUUUCUCUCUUCUUUUCUCUCUGUUUUGUUCGACCGGAUGGCUUCCCGUCCCGUCGUCGACUUCAUAUCUGGAAAGAAAAACAACAACGAGCUGCUCAUGAGGGAGUUGAAGAUCAAGCUGCUCACUGCUAACAAGCUGGUCGAUGAUGCCGAGGAGAAGCAGAUGACAAGCCCGACCGUGAGGAAGUGGCUCGACGAUCUCAAAGAUGCUAUCUACUGCGUAGGAGAGUUGCUGGACGAGAUCAACACUGAAGCUCUUCGACGUCGGCUGGAAGGUGACGAUAACCAUUCUCCUGCAGCUAGCAGCAGCGCAAGCCGGAUCAUGAGAUCAGUAUUCAAGUCUUCUUCUCCGUCCGAUGAAUUUCACAACUCUCUCGAAUCGAAGAUAUCAAACAUUCUGCGCGUGUUAGACCUCAUUCUCAAUGAAAAAGAUGUUCUUGGUCUGAAAGAAGGUUCUCCAGAUAGACCCCAAGAAAGAACUCGUCAAACUACUUCUCGAUUCGAUGAGUCUGGCGUCUUCGGAAGGGAAAAGGACAGAGAAACGAUCCUUGAAGCGUUACGUUCGGAUCAUCCGACUGGCCCUAGGAUAGGAGUCCUUCCCAUUGUGGGCAUGGGAGGGAUCGGAAAGUCCACCCUUGCUCAACUGGUGUACAAAGAUGUAAAGGUUGACUUUGGCGUCCAAGCAUGGGUUUGGGUCGGACAAGAAUUUGAUAUUCUUCAAAUAGCACAAACAAUAUAUGGGAAGAUCACGGAUCAAACUUGCGGGAUCACAGAUCUGGAUCUGCUUUCUGAAAAAUUGGAGGCGAUUUUGACAGGAAAGAAGUUCCUCUUCGUUCUUGAUGAUGUCUGGAGUGAGGAUUAUCUUCGUUGGAAUGACAUGAUGGCUCACUUCAAUCGCUGCGGGGUACAUGGAAGUAGGAUCAUUGUUACAACACGCCUCCGACGUGUUGCAUCUAUCACCGGCACUCUUUCAGCACAUUAUCUGAUGGAGAUAUCCGAGGACGAUUCUUGGUUGUUAUUUGCAAAGCAUGCCUUCACGGAUGCCAGUGUUAUUACUGCACAUCCGUAUCUUGAAGUCAUUGGAAGGCAAAUUGUGAAGAAGUGUCAAGGCCUUCCUUUAGCUAUAAAAUCAUUGGGGGGCCUCUUACACUCUGUUUUGAAUCCAAAGCAAUGGGAAAACAUAUUGAAGAGUGACUUAUGGGAGUUGUCAAACGACAAGGUUUUGCCAGCUCUAUGGUUAAGUUACCAUUAUCUGCCUCCGCAUCUCAAGCGUUGUUUUGCUUACUGUGGAAUAUAUCCUAAAGGUUAUGAAUUUCAAUCUUCAAAGUUAUUCUUGUUGUGGAUGGCUGAAGACCUCUUACAACCCCAUGAGAAGGAGGUAUUGGAAGAUGUUGGAAGUCACUACUGCGAUAUUCUAUUAUCAAGGUCUUUCUUUCAACAUUCAGUAAACGAGUAUGGUCAGUCAUGUUUCACCAUGCAUGACCUUAUCAAUGAUUUAGCAAAGUUUGUAUCUGGAGAGUUUUGUUUGAGAUUGGGGGACGACCAUCGGACAGUCAAUAGAAAUAUAUGCAGAACUCGCCAUGUUUCUUUCAUGGGGUUUGGCAAUCAAAGCAUUCAGAACUUUGAGAAGCUAUAUGAGGCUAAGCAUUUGCACACCUUUCUACAACUACGUUCAGCAAGUCCCUCAGUAGGUUUUAAUGCCAGCCAUAAGUUGAUGCUGAGAAACAAACUUGUAGAUCUAUUGCCAGUUCUACGAUGUGUAAGAGUGCUCAACUUAUCAACAAGCAGUAUUGUUGAGUUGCCUAGCUCAGUUGGCAACUUAAAACAAUUAAGGUAUUUGGACGUGUCUUACACUUCACUAAGAGAAUUACCUGAGACGGUGUGCACCUUGUACAAUUUACAGACCUUAUUGUUGUCCUGUUGUUUUCAACUUACUCAACUACCAACUGAACUGGGGAGACUAAUCAACUUGCGCCAUCUUAGCAUCAGAAACACAAAUAUCAAAAAGAUGCCUGCAGGGAUGUGUAAUUUGAAAAAUCUCCAAACAUUAAGCGAUUUUGUGGUGGACAAACAAACAGGUCAAAGGACUGGAGAGUUAAAAGAGCUUCAGCAUUUGCGCAAAAGACUUGCGAUCUCAGGAGUUGGUAACAUUCACCAUGAGGGAAAUGGUUUGGAAGCAGAUAUCAUGAGCAACAAGGAGUAUCUGGACGAACUUGUUUUGAGAUGGGGAAGAGGUGAUGCAUACUUUUUGAGAUGGGGAAGAGGUGAUGAUGAUGAUACCAGUGAUCAUGGUCCAGAAAAUGACAGAGAAGUGCUCAACAACCUCCGACCGCAUACAAACCUCAAACAACUUGAGAUUAAAUCUUAUGGGGGUUUAAGAUUUCCAGGUUGGUUAGGAGAUCCAUAUUUCUCUAAACUAUUUUGUAUUCGACUUACAGAUUGCAAACAUUGCUGCUUAUUGCCAGCACUUGGGCAAUUACCUUCCCUCAAGAAGCUUUGUGUUGAAGGGCUGAAGAACGUGGUGGAGAUUGGUAGUGAGUUUUACGGUAAUGACACUUGUGGGAUUACUCCAUUUAGAUCUCUAGAACAAUUGGCCUUCAGAAAUAUGUUGGAGUGCGAAAAGUGGUCAUAUUAUGAUGGAAGCAUAGGCAACACCUCAAUAAUGUUUCCUAAUCUUCGUCGGCUUGAACUGAAACUUUGUCCCAAGCUGACCGAGAUGUUACCGUUGGAGAAGCUGCCAAGGCUUGAAAGGGUAGGGUUGUGGGCGCUGAAAUCGUUCAGUGGUUCACUUUCACAUGUGGAAUCGAUAUGCCCUACAUUCCUCUCCCUCACUGACUUGCACAUUGGAGGAUGUCCAAAUUUUGUAUGUUUUCCAGCUGGAGGGAUGGAUGCGCCCAAAUUGGAGUAUCUGCAUAUCAAUGGAUGCGAGAAAUUGAGGUCAUUGCCAGAACAAAUGCAUACCCUUCUACCGUCUCUUCAGAAUUUGAUGGUAAUUGGGUGUCCAGAAGUGGAAUCAUUUCCUCAAGGAGGGUUGGCGUCAAAUAUACAAGACCUUUCUUUUCAGUGUUGUAGAAAACUCGCUGCAAAUCGCUCACUGUGGGGUUUAACAAGACUCAACUCUCUUAGACAUUUGAAAAUCAGAUUCAGUGAACAAGGUGGAGAAGAAAUGGGGUGUUCGUUUCCGGAAGAGGGUUUACUGCCCGCCACUCUCACUCGUCUCUCCAUCUACAAUCUUCCGAAUCUUACAACCAUCCAAGGCCAGGUUUUGAGACAACUCACCUCUCUUGAAGUUUUCACGAUACACCAAUGCCCUGAGCUCCAGGGCUUUCCAGAAGAAGCGCCCAAAUCUCUGAAAAGCUUGACUAUUUGGGAGUGCCGUAAUCUCGGGAGCUUGCCAGGAGAAUGGCUUCCCAAAUCUCUUUCUGGACUGAAAAUCCAGCGGUGUCCGCUGCUAGAAGAACGAUUCCGAAGAGAGACAGGGGAAGAUUGGCCCAAGAUUGCUCACAUCGCCAACAUAGAUAUAGAAUGUUCUUGAAGUUGUUACUCGCCGAAUUCUCUCUCAGGUGUAUAUAUGUAUUUACAUAUCAUCAGAAUGGCCAAAAACACGUUAGUUGGGUACUUUUCUGAUGGGGUUUUUUAUUUAUUUUUUGUAUGUUUGGUUAGUGCUCCUACUCCAGGCUCCAGCAGCACAUGCUCAUUAUCAUUGUAUGUAUCAAGCUGUCUCGAUCCAUCCGAUUUGUGCCGUCAGUUUAAUCAAAAGCUAUUUAUUUAGACUUGAAUCAAUUGAUAGCAUCUUACAUUUGACAUCUCAGUUGGUCGACUCAUUGUGUAAGGACUUACAUGCACCCUUUCAGAUGCCACAUUGGCGUUCCACACCAAUAACACAAUGUUAUGUGUAAGUGACAUUGUUACUUUGAGUUCGAUCUAUGUAAUUAGUGAAUUUUUUUAGGGCCAAGCCAAACUAUGCUACCAAAAGAGAAUGACGGAGAAUUAGGAAUAGAAGCUCCUGCAGUCAUUUGUGUAAGGACUUACAUGCACCACGUCGGACGCCACGGUGGCAUUUCAGACCAGAUUACACAAUGUCAGGUGUAAGUAUCUCCAAAUGGAAUUACGUUAUUAGUCUAGGACAUCAUGGUUGUGGCAAGUAAGUCCUUAUAAGAAGGUAAACUCCGAACACAAAAUGAAUACAUUGCCCACUAUAGUAUCACUAUUUGGUUACACUGUUUGCUUUCUUUCCAAGUCCAACAAUAAUUCACAAACUAUGCCCACAGCUAAAAUAGAUCUCUGGAUGAUCAAACGAAACCAAUCAUUGAAGGAAAUUCGAGAGAAUUGGUAAUUUUCUCCAAUCUAAUGGGGGUAAAAAUUUCAUGAUCACUUAUGAAAGCUCGAAGCACCGUAUUUUGAUCCUGAGCUAGUCGCACUUUUUCGAGGGGUUUGCUUCUGAAACUCCUAAGCAGGUUCAUAAAGGCCUAACAUAUGCCCAACAAAUACAUCGCAUGGCAGCAACCUGUACCACGAAACUCUUACUAAAAUCUCUGCACCCAGUGUAGCAAUGAUAUAUGAACAAAUGAUCACAAUGGUUUUGUUUAGAAAUUUAGUCAUCACCUUGCCAUGGACUUCAUAUUUGACAGGGCCAUCAAGUUUCAGCUCCUUAUGCCAUCAACUUGGUCACUGUUUGAUUAAUGGCUGGCAUUGUGAAGGACAAAAGUGAAGAAUUUACGUUCGGCAUCGCAUGAUCCCUGUCAAACUUUAACCAUCAGCAGAUGCCAAUUUCAUUGAAAACGCAAAGCUUAAAUCCAUUUACAGCUCAACUAAAACCACCUUACCAAACACUAGCAAGAAUCAUAAAUCCGAAAAAAACCCAAGAAAUUCGAAGUUUUACGCUUACAAUCCACACAAACUUCACUUGGGCUUACAGAAAACACGAGCAUACAGUAUAAUUUGUGGCAAAGUAUGUGUAAAAAUCUGGUUUAGACAAAUCAUCAAACACCUGGUGGCAUCGACCCAGUCUCAGCGAAUGAAGAGAGAGUCAACUUGGGGGAUUGCAUGAAGGAAAGCUUGAGUGGGGGAGCUCCGCCCGUUAAAGAGUGCAGACAUUGACAGUAAAGUCCAACCCGUCGGCGUAAGAACCGAGCGGCUUUUGGCACGUCCUUGUGCAGCUGCGGUAGCCACCUAAACGACGCCAUGCCAAUUUUUUUUUCGACGCUUUGUAGGCCAUGUGUUCCUAAGAAAACUGACUCAUUGGUUGUUGCUUUAGCUGUGAGUCAGACGACACGUCGUUUUUAGUGUCUGAAAGUUAAAAUUGGGGAUUAGCAUACGAUGGAUGGGUCCGGAUGAUAAUUUUUGAUAUAUUAGUGUCUGAAAGUUAAAUUGGGGAUUAGCAUAUGAUGAAUGGGUCCGGAUGAUAAUUUUUGAUAUACAAAUAAUUUUCUUAUCCGGACGCUGAUGUUUGAAAUUCAUCCAACUUCCCUGACCGAUCAAUUGGCUUGUUACAUUUUAGGAUAAAAGUUAUGCUUUAGUGCUCGUUUGGAUGUGCUACUCUGUAAAAUGCUUUUAUUCACUAAUGCUUUUUGCUCGUAGUACUUUUACAAAGAAGCAACUUGCUGUUUGGCGGGCAACCAAGUGUUUUGUAUUGUAUAGAAGCGCUUUUGAAAUUAAAGAGUGUUUGAUUGUUAAAUGAAAAAGCGAUUUCACUAAUAUUAAAUUAAUGACUGCUUAUACAAACCAUCACUAGCAGUCCAAAUAAGUAAUCUAAGGUGAUAAUUUGGAGCUAUGAAUUCAGAGGAGUAUGGAGUGGGAGGAGGGAGUGGCAGCCGAAGUGACAUACAUUCUAACCAUUCUAUAUACAAUAAUAAGGGCUGGACUCAAGGAACUGACUCUCUCCUUCCGUGAGAGACCUUCUCUCCUUCUGUGAGAGUUUCUUUCCCCCUUUUUGGUGAGGAUCUUACUCUUGCCCAUCUUCUCUAGCGCCGACUCUGGCUUCAGCUGGAGUCGAUCGCCACUUUUUCCUUCCUCCUUUUGUUUUCUCCUUUUUUUUCCUGCCUUCUUUCUUCUUCUCUUUUUGUUUCACUCGCUGCUUCUUCCUUUUUUCCCCUGCUCUCCUUUCCGAUUUGAUCAUUUCUUCCUACCCCCAGCGGUGUUCCCAUUUGCUCAUCUCUGCUCUGAUCUGCAACCACUUCCAAACCGCGAAUUGUUGCGGUAUUUUGAGCUGCUUCUUAAUUUUUUCCCCUGCUCUCCUUUCCGAUUUGACACUUCCAAACCGCGAAUUGUUGUGGUAUUUUGAGAUGGUGUGUAGAGUUCCGAUGUUCCUACCGGCUCGGGUGUUCACCACCACCACCUUCUCACUGUCUCUGCCUUUACGGGUAGUGUUGUUCAUGGGUUGCCACGAACUUCAUCCUCAUCGUUGGCUUCUUCUGCUCCGUUGCUGGCUUUCCUUUCUUGGUGGCUGUGCUAGGGAAGGAAAUCGAGGUGAGAUGCUGCACUUGAUUUGGCACUGCUUGGCUGUGGAUGGGGAAUUGGUCGGAUCGAGACCGGCGGCGUAUGUUGUAGAAUUUUCUGGUGACUGUCACCUCUUUUGUGCGUUUUGGGCUUCAAGUACUGGUUGGCCCUUUGUAGUUUGUCCUUUUCGGCCCGUGUUUUGUUUGUUUCUGUGUACUGUUUAGGCCUUGGCUUUGUAUCUGUGUAUCUUUUAAUUUGUUUAAUAGUAGAAGUCUUUUUCCAAAAAAAAAAAUAAUAAUAAUAAGGGCUUGACUCACAAUACUCACUCGUUUGCUCAAGCCUAUUUCUCAAAGAUCUUGCAUGAAACUUGUCCUGUAUUAUGAAAAAAAAAAAAUUCAAAUAAUUAACAUACUUGCCAAAAUAGUUGCGUCGUGAACAGCUUAUAUAAUAUACUAAUGGAAAUCAAACAAAGAAUUAUAUUCCUAUCGAGAAGAUCAGUCGGUAUCACUCAAAAGCCGGUAGAAGAUUACUGUCAUUAGUGCAAUGUAACCUCAAACUCCAAGGACAAUGCCAUUAGUAAAGAUCUCCUCAGUUUUCAGUUGUCUGGCUGUGCAAAAAGAUAAGGACUUAAAACUGAGCCUUGGUGUAACCCUACGAUUAUAUGUAAAAGUUUUCGGUUUGUCCUUCAUGAGUUCUUACUACAGUCAUUGUUCCUUCGUACAUAUCUUUUAUUGCUUAGAUAUAUGCUACUCAUCUUCUUUUCUUCUCUAGAAUCCUUCAAAAAAAUUUCUCUUAGGAUCCUAUUAUACGCUUUUGCUAAAUCUAUAAAGUCCAUGUUCAAUUUCUUUUCAUAUCUCUAUAUCAUUCUAGCAAUCUUCAUAAGAGAUAGAUUGUCUCCAUGGUUGAGUGCCCUGGUAUGACCCGAAUUGUUUGUUUGGGACCUAUGUCUCUUGCUCAGUCUAUGCUCAAUUACUCUCUCCCAAAACUUCAUUGUAUGACUCAUUAACUUAAUACCUUUAUAGUUCAUGCAAAUUUGUGUGUCGCACUUAUUUUGUAUAUUGUCACAAAAAUGCUUCUUUUCAACUCAUUUGGUACCUACUUCUUCUUCAAAAUCUUAUGGUAAAUCACCUCACAAACUCAUGCUUCAUCUUUUGAAUAUGGAAUUGUUAGCACUCAAACAAUCUCAUUUUACACACCUCAUAAGUAUAUUUCCAUUCUAAUUAUAUGAAGUUUGGAGUGCAUAAUAAGAUUUUUAGAGUGCCAAUAACAAUUUUCUUUGAAUAUUGUAAUGUCAUACAUCAAUAUACAAAUUCGUUGCAAUGUCAUAACUCUAUCUCAAUUUCUAUUAAUUUCUCCUGUAUUUGCCUAUGUGAACAUUGCGGGCCCCACAUAUUUGUGCCAUGUGGAUAGUAAUAAUUUUUUUUAUAAAUAAAAUCCCAUUUUAUAUAUAAAAAAAGUGUGGAUAAUAAUAAAAAAAAAAAAAUUUAAAAGCUCCUUUCUUCUCCAUUCCAGACUUCCAGUCACACGUUUGCAAAGUUCGUAUUCACCUCCUCAGACGACCUCUUCUUCUUCUUCAACCCUUCGCUCGGUUUCUUCCCAAGGAGCGGUGUCAGCACCAUUUUCUUCCCUUUACUUGCACCUUAUUGAGAAUGAAUCCCAUAUUGAUGGGAGAAGGGACCGUAUAUGAGCUUAUAAGCAAGUUGAAUUAUUCCUCAUAUUGCCAAUUAGUUGUACGAUGGAAUAUCAACUUUCUUCGUGGUAUCAGAGGAUGUUAUCCCCAAUAUGAAGCCCAACGACCAAAUGUGCUUCACGUCACCCGAUUUGUGUUGUCCAUGUGUUCAGCUUGAAAAUUUGACACAUAUUAGGGGGCGUAUUAAGAAUAAAUCCGACAUUGAUGAAACAAGAAAUCUUGCAUAAGAUUAUAAGAGGUUGGGCUACUACUUCAAUUGCCAAUUGGUUUUACAGUAGAACCUCAACUUUCUUCAUGGUAUUAAAACAAGUUGUCCCACGUGUGAAGCCGAACGACCACACGCGCUCAACAUCACCCUGAUGUGUUGUCCACAUGUUAGGCUUGAAAAUACGACACAUAUGAAGGGGCGUGUUGAUAAUGAAUCUCACAUUGAUGAGAGAAGAGAUUUUGCUUGGGCAUAUAAGUAAAUUGGACUACUCUCCAAUUAGUUUUAUAGUAGAACAUUAAUUUUGCGGGCUUAUUUACAUGUCAUCUGAAUGGCCGAAAACACUUUAGUUGGGUACUUUUCUGAUGGGUUUUAUUUUUUUAUUUUUUUAUUUUUUUUUAAUUUUUUAGUAUGUUUGGUUAGUGCUCCUACUCCAGGCUCCAGCAGCACAUGCUCAUUAUCAUUGUAUAUAUCAAACUGUCUCGAUCCAUCCAAUUUGUACUGUCAGUUUAAUCAAAAGCUAUUUAUUUAGACUUGAAUCAAUUGAUAGCAUCUUACAUUUGACAUCAUAAUUGAUCAGACUCGUUGUGUAAGGACUUGGCGUUCCACACCAAUAACACAAUGUCAUGUGUAAGUGACAUUGUUACUUUGAGUUCAAUCUAUGAAAUUAGUGAAUUUUUUUAGGGCCAAGCCAAACUAUGCUACCAAAAGAGAAUGACAGAAAAUUAGGAAUAGAAGCUCCUGCAGUCAUUUGUGUAAGGACUUACGUGCACCACGUCGGAUGCCACGGUGGCAUUUUAGACUAGAUAACACAAUGUCAGGUGUAAGUGUUUCCAAAUGGCAUUACAUUAUUAGUCCAGGAUAGCAUGUUAGUGGCAAACCCGAUGCAAACACAAAAUGAAUCCAUUGCCCACUAUAGUAUAUCACUCUUUGGUUACACAGUUUGCUUUCUUUCCAAGUCAAACAAUAAUUCACACACUAUGCCCACAGCUGAAAUAGAUCUCUGGAUGAUCAAACAAAACCAAUCAUUGAAGGAAAUUCGAGAGGAUUGGUAAUUUUCUCCAAUCUAAUGUGGUAAAAUUUCACCUCUCCCAGACCCUGCGUAAAGCGGGAGCCUUGUGCACUGGGUACGACCUUUUUUUUUUUUUAAUGUGGUAAAAUUUCAUGAUUCACUUACAAAAGCUCGUAGCACCAUAUUUUGAUCCUCAGCUAGUGGCACUUUUUCAAGGGGUUUGCUUCUGAAACUCCUAAGCAGGUUCAUAAAGGCCUAACAUAUGGCCAUCAAAUACAUCGCAUGGCAGCAACCUGUAACACGAAACUCCUAUUAAAAUCUCUGCACCCAGUGUAGCAAUGAACUUGCAGCAGCCAAGUCUUGUUCCUAAACGACGGCGUGCCAUUUUGUUUUUCAACGCUUUGUAGGCUAAGUGAUGCUGACUGGAGGAAACUGACUCAUUGGUUGUUAUUUUAACUGUGAGUCCGACGACACGUCGUUUUUAGUGUCUGAAGGUAAAUUGGGGAUUAGCUUAUGAUGAAUGGGUCCGGAUUUACAUGCUCAGCUGAUAGUGGUCUCACCUCUAAACUGUGUUGAUUAUUGUUGAUAUACAAAUAAUUUUCUUAUCUGGACGUUGAUGUUUGAAAGUACAACACCGCCAUCAUUUGCUCAGGCCUAUUUCUUGGACAAGGAUUGUCUACCCUCCAUUUCUGGUGCACUUUCCGUGCCCUUCUGUUUGUGUGGUCACGGUUAAGUCACGUCAACAUUUUAUAUUACUAUUUAUUUUUGUCUUAUUAUAUCUAUAAAAAAACAAUGUAAAAUGUUGACGUGGCUUAACCGUGACCAUACAAAACAGAAGGGCACAGAAAAAGCACCGAAAGUGAAGGGCAGACAAUCAUUAUCCCUAUUUCUCAAAGAUCUCGCAUGAAACUUGUCCUGCAUUAUGAAAAAAAAUAAAUCGAAUAAAUAACAUACUUGCCAAAAUAGUUGUGUCAUGAACAGCUUAUAUACUAAACAAACAACAACAACAACAACAAAGCCUUUUCCCACUAAGUGGGGUCGGCUAUAUGAAUCCUAGAACGCCAUUGCGCUCGGUUUUGUGUCAUGUCCUCCGUUAGAUCCAAGUACUCUAAGUCUUUUCUUAGAGUCUCUUCCAAAGUUUUCCUAGGUCUUCCUCUACCCCUUCGGCCCUGAACCUCUGUCCCGUAGUCACAUCUUCGAACCGGAGCGUCAGUCGGCCUUCUUUGCACAUGUCCAAAUCACCGGAGCCGAUUUUCUCUCAUCUUUCCUACAAUUUCGGCUACUCCUACUUUACCUCGGAUAUCUUCAUUCCCAAUCUUAUCCUUUCUCGUGUGCCCACACAUCCCACAAAGCAUCCUCAUCUCCGCUACACCCAUUUUGUGUACGUGUUGAUGCUUCACCGCCCAACAUUCUGUGCCAUACAACAUCGCUGGCCUUAUUGCCGUCCUAUAAAAUUUUCCCUUGAGCUUCAGUGGCCUACGACGGUCACACAACACGCCGGAUGCACUCUUACACUUCAUCCAUCCAGCUCGUAUUCUAUGGUUGAGAUCUCCAUCUCAUUCUCCGUUCUCUUGCAAGAUAGAUCCUAGGUAGCGAAAACGGUCGCUUUUUGUGAUCUUCGCUAGAUUGCUCCGGUCAUUAGUGUGGAUAAGUAUAUAAAUGGAUAGAGAUAGGAAAGCAAACACAAGAUGUACGUGGUUCACCCAGAUUGGCUACGUCCACGGAAUAGAAGAGUUCUCAUUAAUUGUGAAGGGUUUACACAAGUACAUAGGUUCAAGCUCUCCUUUAGUGAGUACAAGUGAAUGAUUUAGUACAAAUGACAUUAGGAAAUAUUGUGGGCGAAUGAUCUCGUAAUCACGAAACUUCUAAGUAUCGGAGUGUGGUGUCGUCUUGACUUGCCUUAUCUGUCUCAUAGGUAGAUGUGGCAUCUUCUCUGGAAGUACUCUUCCUCCAUCCAGGGGUGGUAUCUUUAACUGGUGGAGAUGCACAAGGUAAUGUAUCAAUUUCACUUGAAGCUUACUUGUAGUUUCAAGCUUGGUCAAGCGCGAUACAAACCAUGUAGUAGGAGUCCCCCAAGUCGCCGAGCUAGGGGGUCUGCUGAAAGAGGUGACAGACAAGGUAAGCAAUCAGAGCUUCGACCGAUUGUUCACCUUCUCCCCAUCUUGCAGCAGCAUGAAGGAUAAAGAGAAGAAAAAUGAGAAGAGAUGAUAUGAGAUACUUUUGCUUUUGAAGAAGUAACUUUCCACAGGCUUAUUCUUGAACUGAGCUGGAGGGUUUUCUGGUUUCCUCCAGAGUAUAAGGCCGACUGAAGAAUUUGAGGGUCAAAACAAGUCCAUCAAAUCUAGAGUACGUUUCACCCUGCUGAUAUGGGAUACUUUUGCUUUUGACAGAGUAAUGGAUGUAUCGGCACGUGUGCUGUUACGCUUGUCUCCACAUGCUUCCUUGUAUCCUUCGCACUUGCCCUAUCUGUUCCUCAAGCAGAUGCGGAAUCUUCCCUGGAAACAUAAGAUGUUGAAGAUGAGUACUCGAGAGCAAUGCCAGGUAAGUAAUCAGGUACGGGUUCCAGGCAGUCAGUUCCUGGCUGGAAGCUUGAUUCCAAGUGCUGACUGAUUGCUCUCUUUCUCCUUGUCUUGCAGGUAAAAACAAGGCCAAAGGAAAAGACAGGGAAAAAGCAUGAUAUGGGAUACUCUUGCUUUUAACCCUGAUGAUAUGAGAUAUUCUUGCUCUAGUAUAGCUUGUUUGCAGAGGUAUUAUCGGGGGGAAAGAAAGCUGAAUAUUUCGAAAGGCUUCGUUGGGAGUGCCCUCUCAGAUAUGAUGAAGGGUUGAGCAUUUUUGCAGGUCUGCCUGUCCGUUGGGGAUGGAGGUCGACAUAUAUAGGAGUCUCCCUAACAACAAGUAGUAAUGCUAUUCAUUUACCCUGCUUGGUCAUAGCACGGUAGUGGGAGCUGCCAGUUUCACAUGUUUUAACUCUGUCAGAGCACUUUGAAAAAGUGGUCUGUGGUAUCUGGCUCUCGAGAUUCGGAGAGCGAUGCCUCUUCGAUUUUUGAGAAAGCAAUCAUGCUGGGGGUCUGGCUCUCGAGAUUCGGAGAGCAGUGUCUCUUCGAUUUUUGAGGAAGUAAUCAUGUUGGGAGUCUGGCUCUCGAGAUUCGGAGGGCGGUGCCUCUUCGAUUUUGGAGCAAGCAAUCCUGUUGGGAGUGUUGUCUCGAAUGUGAGUAAAGGUUGGGCAUGUUUGCUAGUCUACCUUGCCCCGAAGCACAAAGGUUGACACACAGGAACUUUGCAAUUAUCUAGCAAUGGUACUGUUCCUUUACCCUCUCUUCGCUUUUGAGAAAGUAGUCAUGUUGGGAGUCUGGCUCUCAAGAUUCGGAGGACGGUGCCUCUUCGAUUUUGGAGCAAGCAAUUUUGUUGGGAGUGUUUUCUCGAAUGUGAGUAAAGGUUGGGCAUGUUUGCUAGUCUACCUUGCCACGAAGCACAGAGGUUGACACACAGGAACUUUCCAAUUAUCCAGCAAUGGUACUGUUCCUUUACCCUUGUGGGUAAUAAUAUGGUAGCUAGACCUUCAAAAUUUAUGUGUCUAAACUUUGUUAGUGCUGUUUCUUUGCUAUUCUUUUACCUUUCUUGGUCAGAGCGAUAUAGUGGGAGCUGCAAGCUUCACGUGCUCAACUUUGGCAGAGAACUUUGGCAAAGUUAUCUGUGGUACCCAUGAGCUAUUGUUGCGUGUGGAAAGUGGGUGAUUGAACAGUAAGAUUCAUGUGCUUUCUACUUCACCAGAAGUCUUCGACAGAAUGCCCAUAAUUUCUGCAAAGCUGAGUGUGCGUGUGACAGGUGCUGACAAGGCUAGAAUAGUAGGUGCCUCUUCGAUUUCUGAGAUUGGCCCUCGUGGUCUCUGAGCAGCCCAGCUUUUGAGAAAGCGAGCGCCUCUUCGAUUGAUUUGGAGAACGAUGCCUUAUCAAUUUUUGAGAAAGCAAUCAUGCUGGGGCUCUGGCUCUCGAAGAUUCGGGGAGCAGUGUCUCUUCGAUUUUUGAGAAAGUAAUCAUGUUGGGAGUCUGGCUCUCGAGAUUCGGAGGGCGGUGCCUCUUCGAUUUUGGAGCAAGCAAUCUUGUUGGGAGUGUUUUCUCGAAUGUGAGUAAAGGUUGGGCAUGUUUGCUAGUCUACCUUGCCACGAAGCACAGAGGUUGACACACAGGGACUUUCCAAUUAUCCAGCAAUGGUACUGUUCCUUUACCCUCUCUUCGAUUUUUAAGAAAGUAGUCAUGUUGGGAGUCUGGCUCUCGAGAUUCGGAGGACGGUGCCUCUUCGAUUUUGGAGCAAGCAAUCUUAUUAGGAGUGUUUUCUCGAAUGUGAGUAAAGGUUGGGCAUGUUUGCUAGUCUACCUUGCCACGAAGCACAGAGGUUGACACACAGGGACUUUCCAAUUAUCCAGCAGUGGUACUGUUCCUUUACCCUUGUGGGUAAUAAUAUGGUAGCUAGACCUUCAAAAUUUAUGGGUCUAAACUUUGUUAGUGCUGUUUCUUUGCUAUUCUUUUACCCUUCUUGGUCAGAGCGAUGUAGUGGGAGCUGCAAGCUUCACGUGCUCAUCUUUGGCAGAGAACUUUGGCAAAGUUAUCUGUGGUACCCAUGAGCUAUUGUUGCGUGUGGGAAGAGGGUGAUUGAACAGUAAGAUUCAUGAGUUUUCUACUUCCCCAGAAGUCUUCGACAGAAUGCCCAUAAUUUCCGCAAAGCUGAGUGUGCGUGUGACAGGUGCUGACAAGGCUGGAAAAGUAGGUGCUUCUUCGAUUUCUGAGAUCGGCCCUCGUGGUCUCUGGGGAGCCCAGCUUUUGAGAAAGCGAGCGCCUCUUCGAUUUUUGAGAUCGACCUUCGUGGUCUUAGAGCAGCCCAACUUUUGAGAAAGCAAACGCCUCUUCGAUUUCUGAGCAGGCGCCUCUUCGAUUUCUGAAGCUCCGUCGAGUGCAGAUUUUUAUAGGGGCUGGCAUUAAGUUCCAAAGCACACUUGAAUCUCCACCAGUAGAAGCUUCAUUCUUGCACUUCUACGAUCUUGAUUUGUCCGACCUCUUCUCUCUUCAACACCUUUGAAAAUGUCUGGCCCUUCCGACCGUCGUUUUGACUUGAACCUUGUUGAAGAGGCAGCCCCGCCUUCUCCAGACAACAUAUGGCGCCCAUCCUUCGUCUCCCCUACUGGUCCUCUUACCGUUGGGGAUUCCGUGAUGAAGAAUGAUAUGACCGCUGCGGUGGUGGCCAGGAACCUUCUCACCCCCAAAGAUAACAGACUACUUUCCAAACGGUCUGAUGAGUUAGCUGUUAAGGAUUCGCUGGCUCUCAGUGUUCAGUGUGCAGGUUCUGUGUCUAAUAUGGCCCAACGCCUAUUUGCUCGAACCCGCCAAGUUGAAUCAUUGGCGGCUGAAGUGAUGAGUCUCAAACAGGAGAUUUGAGGGCUCAAGCAUGAGAAUAAACAGUUGCACCGGCUCGCACAUGACUAUGCUACAAACAUGAAGAGGAAGCUUGACCAGAUGAAGGAAACUGAUGGUCAGGUUUUACUUGAUCAUCAGAGAUUUGUGGGUUUGUUCCAAAGGCAUUUAUUGCCUUCGUCUUCUGGGGCUGUACCGCGUAAUGAAGCUCCGAAUGAUCAACCUCUGAUGCCUCCUCCUUCUAGGGUUCUGUCCAGUACUGAGGCUCCAAAUGAUCCCCCUCCGGUGCCUUCUCUUUCUGGGGCUCUACCGACUGCUGAGACUUCUCCUAAGCAACCUUUGUGAAGGCUCCCUCUUGUGUGUUUAUUUUGACUCAUGUAUAUGUACAUAUUUGUAGCUUAUCGGGGAUAUCAAUAAAUAAGCUUUCCUUCAUUUCAACUUAUUGUGUUAAAUACACCAAAGCCUUCUUCGCUAAGUUCUUUGAAUUUUCUUUUGUUGAAGCUUGUAUGUUGAAGCUUUCUUAGUGGAGCAUGUAGGUUGGGGUAGUGUUCCCUUAAUUUCCCGAGUGAGGAAAACUUCUCGGUUGGAGACUUGGAAAAUCCAAGUCACUGAGUGGGAUCGGCUAUAUGAAUCUUAGAACGCCAUUGUGCUCGAUCCUGAGUCAUGUCAUUCGUUAGAUCCAAGUACUCUAAGUCUUUUCUUAGAGUCUCUUCCAAAGUUUUCCUAGGUCUUCCUCUACCCCUUCGGCCUUGAACCUCUGUCCCAUAGUCGCAUCUUUUAAUCGGAGCGUCAGUAGGCCGUCUUUGCACAUGUCCAAACCACCGUAACCGAUUUUCUCUCAUCUUUCCUUCAAUUUCGGCUACUCCUACUUUACCCCGGAUAUCCUCAUUCCUAAUCUUAUCCUUUCUCGUGUGUGCCCACACAUCCAACGAAGCAUCCUCAUCUCCGCUACACCCAUUUUGUGUACGUGUUGAUGUUUCACCGCCCAACAUUCUGUGCCAUACAGCAUCGCCGGCCUUAUUGCCGUCCUAUAAAAAUUUUCCCUUGAGCUUCAGUGGCAUACGGCGGUCACACAACACGCCGGAUGCACUCUUCCACUUCAUCCAUCCAGCUUGUAUUCUGUGGUUGAGAUCUCCAUCUAAUUCUCCGUUCUUUUGCAAGAUAGAUCCUAGGUAACGAAAACGGUCGCUCUUUGGUAUUUCUUGAUCUCCGAUCCUCACCCCUAACUCGUUUUGGCCUCCAUUUGCACUGAACUUGCACUCCAUAUAUUCUGUCUUUGAUCGGCUUAGGCGAAGACCUUUAGAUUCCAACACUUCUCUCCAAAGGUUAAGCUUUGCAUUUACCCCUUCCUGAGUUUCAUCUAUCAACACUAUAUCGUCUGCGAAAAGCAUACACCAAGGAAUAUCAUCUUGAAUAUGUCCUGUUAACUCAUCCAUUACCAACGCAAAAAGGUAAGGACUUAAAGAUGAGCCUUGAUGUAAUCCUACAGUUAUGGGAAAGCUUUCGGUUUGUCCUUCAUGAGUUCUUACGGCAGUCUUUGCUCCUUCAUACAUAUCCUUUAUAGCUUGGAUAUAUGCUACUCGUACUCCUUUCUUCUCUAAAAUCCUCCAAAGAAUGUCUCUUGGGACCCUAUCAUACGCUUUUUCCAAAUCUAUAAAGACCAUGUGUAAAUCCUUUUUCCCAUCUCUCUAUAUCUUUCCAUCAAUCUUCGUAAGAGAUAGAUUGCCUCCAUGGUUGAGCGCCCUGGCAUGAACCCGAAUUGGUUGUCCGAAACCCGUGUCUCUUGCCUCAAUCUAUGCUCAAUGACUCUCUCCCAGAGCUUCAUUGUAUGACUCAUUAGCUUAAUACCCCUAUAGUUCAUGCAAUUUUGUACGUCGCCCUUAUUCUUGUAGAUAGGCACCAAAGUGCUCGUUCGCCACUCAUUUGGCAUCUUCUUCGUUUUCAAAAUCCUAUUGAAAAGGUCAGUGAGCCAUGUUAUACCUGUCUCUCCCAAAAGUUUCCACACUUCGAUUGGUAUAUUGUCUGGGCCUAUUGCUUUUUUAUGCUUCAUCUUCUUCAAAGCUACCAUCACUUCUUCCUUCCGGAUUCGACGAUAAAAAGAGUAGUUUCUACACUCUUCUGAGUUACUCAACUCCCCUAAAGAAGCACUCAUUUCAUGUCCUUCAUUGAAAAGAUUAUGAAAAUAACCUCUCCAUCUGUCUUUAACCGCGUUCUCUGUAGCAAGAACCUUUCCAUCCUCAUCCUUGAUGCACCUCACUUGGUUUAGGUCCCUUGUCUUCUUUUCCCUUGCUCUAGAUAGUUUAUAGAUAUCCAACUCUCCUUCUUUGGUAUCUAGUCGUUUAUACAUAUCGUCGUAAGCCGCUAACUUAGCUUCUCUGACAGCUUUCUUCGCCUCUUGCUUCGCUUUUCUAUACCUUUCACCAUUUUCAUCGGUCCUCUCCUUGUAUAAGGCUUUACAACAUUCCUUCUUAGCCUUCACCUUUGUUUGUACCUCCUCAUUCCACCACCAAGAUUCCUUUUGGUGUGGGGCAAAGCCCUUGGACUCUCCUAAUACCUCUUUUGCUACUUUUCGGAUACAACUAGCCAUGGAAUCCCACAUUUGGCUAGCUUCCCCCUCUCUAUCCCACACACAUUGGGUGAUUACCUUCUCUUUGAAAAUGACUUGUUUUUCUUCUUUUAGAUUCCACCAUCUAGUCCUUGGGCACUUCCAAGUCUUGUUCUUUUGUCUUACUCUUUUGAUAUGUACAUCCAUCACCAACAAGCGAUGUUGAUUAGCCACGCUCUCUCCUGGUAUAACUUUGCAAUCCUUACAAGUUAUACGAUCCCCUUUCCUCAUUAGAAGAAAAUCUAUUUGUGUUUUUGACGACCCACUUUUGUAGGUGAUCACAUGUUCUUCUCUCUUCUUAAAGAAGGUGUUGGCUAAGAAGAGAUCAUAUGCCAUUGCAAAAUCCAAGAUAGCUUCCCCAUCCUCGUUUCUCUCCCCAAAACCAUGGCCACCAUGAAAACCUCCAUAGUUGCCUGUCUCCCUGCCCACGUGUCCAUUUAAAUCUCCUCCUAUAAAUAACUUCUCCGUCUGAGCAAUUCCUUGCACCAAGUCUCCAAGAUCUUCCCAAAAUUUCUCCUUCGAACUCGUAUCCAACCCUACUUGAGGUGCGUACGCACUAAUCACAUUGAUAAGUUCUUGUCCUAUUACAAUCUUGAUUGCCAUGAUUCUAUCUCCUACCCUCUUGACAUCUACAACAUCUUGUACCAAGGUCUUGUCCACGAUGAUGCCAACACCGUUUCUCGUUCUAUUUGUGCCCGAAUACCAAAGUUUAAACCCUGAGUUUUCUAGAUCCUUUGCCUUACUACCAACCCACUUAGUUUCUUGUAGGCACAUAAUAUUUAUCCUUCUCCUCACCAUAACUUCUACUACUUCCAUAGAUUUUCCCGUUAAGGUUCCUAUAUUCCAUGUUCCUAAACGCAUUUUGCUCUCUUGAACUCUACCCUUCUGUCCUAGCUUCUUCACCCUCCCCCGUCUAAUAGGAUCAAAGUACUUCUUUUGUGUGUCCCGGGUAAAGUUGAUAGGAGCAUAUGCUCCCAAACAACUUUGAGUGGAGUCGUUCGAAAAGAAGUUUCUAUGGCCCCCUUGCUCAUUUAACACUGCAUCCGGGUGCCGAUGGAGAUACAGCGACCCUUGCUCACUUAUCACUGUGCUCGGGCCACACAGCGCGCCACUUACGGGUGACGCCCUAGCUUUAGCGCGAUUUUGUUCUGGAUUCAUUUUCAUAAGGAUUCGACGUGAUCAUGGAGUGCCGGCUGUCGACUACCUGACGCCCUCCCCCUCCUCCUUUAUCCGGGCUUGGGACCGGCCAUGUAAGACAUAGGCGGAGUUAACAGCUUAUAUACUAAUGGAAAAUAAAUAAAGAACUGUAUUCCUAUCGAGAAGAUCAGUAUCCCUCAUAAGCCGGAAGAAGACUACUGUCAUUAGAGCAAUGUAACCUCUAACUCCAAGGACAAAGCCAUUAGUAAAGAUCUCCCCGGUUUUCAGUUAUCUGGCUAUGCAAAAAGAUAAGGACUUAAAGUUGAGCUUUGGUAUAACCCUACGAUUAUAUGGAAAAGUUUUCGGUUUGUCCUUCAUGAAUUCUUACUACAAUCAUUGCUCCUUCGUAUAUAUCUUUUAUGGCUUAGAUAUAUGCUACUCUUCUUCUUUUCUUCUCUAGAAUCCUCCAAAAAAAUCUUAUGGGACCAUAUUAUAUGCUUUUGCUAAAUCUAUAAAGUCCAUGUUCAAUUUCUUUUCAUUUCUCUAUAUCGUUCUAGUGAUCUUCAUAAGAGAUAGAUUGCCUCCAUGGUUGAACGCCCUGGUAUGAACCUGAAUUGAUUGUUUGGGACCCAUGUCUCUUGCUUCAGUCUAUACUCAAUUACUCUCUCCCAAAGCUUCAUUGUAUGACUCAUUAACUUAAUACCUCUAUAGUUCAUGCAAAUUUGUGUGUCGCACUUAAUUUGUAUAUUGUCACAAAAAUGCUUCUUUUCCACUCAUUUGGUACAUUCUUCUUUUUCAAAAUCUUAUGGUAAAUCACCUCACAAUCUCAUGCUUCAUCUUUUGAAUAUGGAAUUGUUAGCGCUCGAAAAAUCUCAUUUUACACUUCUCAUAAGUAUAUUUUCCGUUCUAAUUAUAUGAAGUUUGAAGUGCAUAUGAGAUUUUUGGAUUGCUAAUAACAAUUCUCUUUGAAUAUUGUAAUGUCAUACAUCAAUAUACGAAUUCGUUGCAAUGUCAUACCUCUGUCUCAAUUUCUAUUAAUUUCUCCGGUAUUUGCCUACGUGAACAUUACGGGCCCCACAUAUUUGUUCCACAUGGAUAGUAAUAAUUUUUCUUUUAUAAAAAAUCUCAUUUUUAUAUUAAAAAAAAGUGUGGAUAAUAAUAAAAAUAAAUUUAAAAGCUCCCUUCAUCUCCAUCCACCUUCUUCUCCAUUCCAGACUUCCAGUCACAUCUUUGCAAAGAUCGUAUUAACCUCCUCAGAUGGCCUAUUCUUCUUCUUCAACCCUUCGUUUGAUUUCUUCCCAACCAGCGGUGUCAUCACCAUUUUCUUCCCUUUACUGGCACCCUGUUGUCUGUUGAGAAUGAAUUUCACAUUGAUGGGAGGAGAGACCUUAUAUGUGCUUAUAAGCAAAUUGGGCUAUUCUCCAUAUUGCCAAUUAGUUUUAUGGUGGAACAUCAACUUUCUUCGUGGUAUCAGAGCAGGUUGUUCCUAGUGUGAAGCCUAACGACCACAUGUGCUCCACGUCUCCGAUUUGUAUUGUCUAUGUGUUAGGCUUGAAGAUUAAGACUUGCGUACCAUAAUGUCCUUGAAACAGAAUUUCGUUUCGACUCUGUGCUUGUAGUUCGAUGAACGUUUGCUUCACUAGGAUUCAACGAUCUAAGUCGAGAUUCCAGCACUAUAAAACUAGACUUCUGGCAAAUAUCUUUGUGGUACUCUCUGUAUGUUUUGUAUGUAUGGAUUGAUGAUUUUCAAUGUGUUAAAUGAUAUGCAGAUGCAUGUAUUUAUAGUGGUCAUGCCUAUUCGCAACAUACUUGUUUUUGGGAGGCGGCUGUUCAACACAAAUAGUGUGUUGCGCCAUCUUUCUCCUAGACUGUUUUAUACGCUCUCAGACUUCAUCCAAAUAUAUGAGUAUGUUGAAAAAUAAAAAUAUUAAUUUAAUUCGAAAUUAAUUUAAUAAACCCCAUCUUUUGAUAAUUAAUUAGCACACCCCAAUCAUUUUCUAUAAAUGACAAAAAGUGAGAGAACUUUUUUAUGAUAACCAAUGUAGGACAAUAAAAUAUUUACUCAAAAUUUCCAACAUAUUAAACAGUUCAUGCAAUCCUAUUGAUUGUUAAUUUUUUUUGUAUUUAUGUUUUUUGAUCCUACUGCGGCAUAUGCAUAAAUAGUGUUGAACGAGUGAUAUUAAAGGAUGUAGAAAUUGAACUCUGAAUAUCAGGUGCAAGAGUGAACGACUUUAAGCAAUUGAGUUACAGUAUGUGUAAACUAUUUUGAAAGUACAUAUACCUAGCUAUGAGGUAAAAUUUGGGCAUUUAUCUAACAAUUUUGGGCCUUGUUACAGCUUGCUUUGUAUAUUUUGGGAUUUCAACAAAGAAACAAGUAAAAGAGCCCACGUGAUGCCGUGGGUUUUAAAACUUUGUUAAAUGUGUUAUGUGUGGGACUUGUAAAAAUUUAUUUACAUCCAUAUCAAAAUCUAUUGACAUCCUAUGUUCUAUAAAGAACAAAUCAUACAUAAAAAUUAUCUUAUUUACAUCCACACAGUUAUAAUACACAAAAAAAUAUCUUGUUUUCUAUGUCCCAACUUUUCACAUUGUUGUUCAGUACUUCACUCUUCUUUUUUCUUUGCUGCUAAAGAAAUGUUUUUCUUGUACCACGCAUAGGAUUUUAAGAAAUGGAUCAAAACUAACAUGUGAUGAAGAACUUCUGUUUUUCAGUUGCUUAUUGAUUGGCCUACAAUCUCAGCAUGAGAAAAGCAUUACAUGAUCUGAAAAAGAAAAAAAAUUUAAGAAACAAAAAAAGCUCAUUGUUUUGCUUUCUUUACUGAUUGUGAAUUUACUCAGAAUACCAAUUGGAUGAAAAGGUAUUAAUUCACGAAUUGUAGGAAAGGAGACAACGAAUGCAAAGGUUUUUUUUUUUUUUUUUUUUUUUUUUUUUUUUUUGGAAACAAUGCAAAGGUUAUUUUGUAUAUAUAUUAUACGAAACACAGAAAAAGGGAUUGAAGUUCCUCCUAUUCUGCAAGUACAUAAAGAUUAGAACUCACCACUUGAAAUGUCUCUAGCAAGUUCCCGAGUUUUUCCCGUGUAGGUGUGCACGCUGCUUUUCAUGAGUCACUCCAUCAAACAUUAUGUAUUCAAUGAAGAUUUUUUGUUGACUGCAGAAUCAGAUAAAAGGGCUAUAGUGAGAUUCUCUAGGAGUGUAAAACGAUAGUAAAAGUUUCAAUGCAAACAAAUGAAAGCUAAAAAAACACAUGAGGUCUAAUAAAACUUUAUGUGUUCUCUUAGUAGUCUUGCAAUGUAUCCGUAAGCUUUACUAAAGGAAAAGCCCGAGCUGCAGGCAUUAUCUGACAACAGAUUUCGUGGACAGAUGCAUAUAGUGAAACCGCUAAUCCAUAGCUAGAAGAUCACUAUGGAGCUUUUUGAUAGCAUGAAUAAUGCCGACCUACAGAAGAUUAGAUGCACAACUGACAGAGUAGCAAGCCAAAUGUUUUUAGCAAUUGCGAACUACAUCAUUACUUAUGCAACUAUGAAUCACCCACAUUCAAUGAAAGAAGCAAAUGUACUUCGUACUCCCUAAUUUACUAAGAUCCACAAAAUCUAAAAACUACAAAAUUUUGAUUAUAGAAUCAAAAUAUACAGCUUAUUAGCAUUUCCUUGAUUGUAUACUCUUUGACUGUCAAGGAUUUCCAUGGCAUUGAUAUAAUAGCUUGACUACCACAUUGAGAUACCGUAGAUGGUUGGAACAUAGUUAUGUACCUAUAAUUUGACAGAACAGUUAUUAUAAGAAAUGGCAGUUUACGUAGAGGUGAAAUAGUGAUCCAGUCAUAACAUGAAUUGCUUCAACUAAGGAACCAGACUUAUUCAAAGGUUCUCCCAUUCCUUCAAAAAACACACAAAAUCAAAGUAUUCAACAUUUCAAUGGUUCCCAUAUUUCUUCCAUAUGCAUACCAUUCAAUAAUAACCACAAAUGUGAGAAUUUGGAAAAGGAUCGAAGGAUCAGGGUCACCUUGGGCACAGCUCCAGUUUGAACUUUAUUGAUAGCAUUGCAGAGGAUUAUCCCACUUCUCAAUCCAAGCUUAACUCUCCCUCCAUAUGAUCCGCCAGCAUAUCUAUAGCAACAACAACAACAAUCAUCUUUCAGAGUCCUCCGACCGACUCAUUUCUCCUUGUUGCUACAGAACAAAAGAUUAGCUCAAUUAGCACAACAAUCAACCGAAACCCAAAAUUUAAUUUGUAGCCCAAAAACAAGAGGAACAGUAAUCAUGACAUCUGAUGAGUGCAUAUAUGAAAAAUGUACCUGAAGAUUGAAACUUUCAUCAAAUAAAUCACAAAAAAGCAGAAAAUUAGAGAAACCCAAUAUUAUAGAUUGCAUAAAAUUAGAUUAUCCAUUUCAGUCAUGCGUAAAUACACCAUCACACAUAACAAAUUUGCCUAUAUGACGGUGAUACACAAUGUAAUUGUUCAAAUUCAAACCACACACACAACAUUUGUAGCUCCCAAGUAUACUUGUAUCACAUUUUGAUGUUUGCUUGUUGACUUUGCUCCUGGAGUCCUGACUAAGGUGAUCUCCUUAAGUGGUGCAUGAGCUUUUUUCUCCAAUCACCUUAAACAUCCGUCUUUCCUAAAAAAAAACCAAAAGAUAUCAUAUAAAGCAUCAAUGCUAUUAAUACUUAUUAAAGAAAUUGGUCACAACAGGUUUCACAUACAUCAGUUCUAAACCUAAAAGGCUUCGAAUUUGUAGGCUUCGGUUUCCUAUACUUCUCCCCAUGAGCAUUGCUGGCAACAGAUGUGGAGUUUUCUUUUUGAAUCUUAUCUGCUUAAUUGACCUGCAUCAUUGUUCAAGUGUUAACAGGCAUAAAAAAAUCGUAAGGGAGAAAUGAACAAACAUGAACACUAUGAAGAUAUGUUAUUCUCAUCUUUUGUAGCCUUCUUCAAGGCCUGGAAUUAUACAACUAUUUUUUCCACUAAUAGCUCUUAUUUACAUCUUUACUAGAUUGCAUCACUUCUUUUAUAUUAAUAAAAUUAGAGGAUUGCACAUGCUUCUUUUUGGAAGCCAAAACAUUUUUUUUUCAAUUAUUCUUGUUCCUUGUGGUUGAAUGGGAUUCUAAGCUUCAGAUUUCGAAAACAAAAAGUUUUGAAAAGCCUUAGAGCCAGCACCAAUGAGCUUAAACAGAACAGAUAAGAGCUAAAGAGAUAGAGCUAAGCUACUUCACCUGUUUCAUAAGUCUACGUCUCCACCCAAGCCUAGACAUCCCAACAUUGCCCAGAUAGGUGUCCCAUCUUUACCUGCAAGACAGAGGAGAGCGAGAGAGUGAGAGAGUGAGAGAGAGUAGAAGAUGAAAUUGAAAGGUAAUGGGGCUUAACGGUUAUGUAGAGAAAGUAGAAGAUGAAACCAAACCUCUCAAUAUCUUCUUCUCAUCCUGACUCCGCCCUUGGAUCUCAUCGACAAACAAUAAAAAUAAAAAAGAAGAAAAGAAAAAAGAAAUUUCAAAUGAAAAUCCAUUUCUAAAUCCAAAAUCACAAAAAGGAAAUUUCAACAUAAAACCCAUUCCUAAAUCCAAAAUCACAUAACCCUUAAAUCUUUAUAUAUAAAGCCAAGGGCCCAAUGAACAGUGCUUUUUGGUGUCGCAAGCUUCACCAAAAAAGAAUUGGACAAAAUGCCCUUCAAACAAAAAACUUCAAAAGCAACUCAAAAUAAUGCAUCAAAUGUGGCAGGGGUAUUUUCGUCAUUUUAACAGUAUUUUUUUUGUACAAUUUUUUUUUAAUAAUUAAUACCUCACAAUAAGCUAGCAAUAAUGUGAUUCAAUCAAUUGUUUAUUUAAUAUUAUUUUCUUUAUUUUUAAACACGUUCAAAACAUCUUAAGAGGCGUGUAAUGCCGGUUAUAAAAAAAAAUAUUUAGCACGCAAAUAAUAAUGUGAUUAAAUUAGUUGUCAAGUGAUUGUUUUUUUUUUUUUUUUUGAACAAAUGAUAUUAUCUACGCUAAAUGUGAUUAAAUUAGUUGUCAAGUGAUUGUUUUUGUUUUUGUUGAACAAACGAUAUUAUCUACACUAAGGGAGAGAUGGUGGGCUUAGCCUCACAAUGGGCUAGCAAUAAUGUGAUUCCAUCAGUUGUUUAUUAAAUAUUAUUUGCUCUAUUCUUAAUAGAAAUUCAAUAGAGACCAAUUUUAUUGCGUGGAUUCAACUGCUUUAAUUGGUUUAUGAGGGGUUUCUUCUAGCAUGAUCUAGGAUUAUUCAUUUACUUCAAAUAGUUGACUUUCCUUUUGUCAAUUUACGCAUAUAAAUACAUUUAAAAUAUGUAAGUUAUAAGUAGCACGCCGUGAUUCAAAAAAUGUCUUCUGCACACGCUCACGCACGUGCAUGAAGACUAAUUUUAAUAAAGAGGACAAAAGAACUUAAAUUUUAAUGAAAAAGACCCAAUUUUAAUAUAAAAAGAAUUAAAAAAAAUCUUACGCGUAGGAUCCGUGUGUCCAUCACAAACAUUGUUUAUGAAACUUAACAAUAUUAUACUAUUUAUGAAACUUAACGGUACUAUAAUGUUUAUGAAAUUAACCGGUACUACACCAUUUAUGAAACUGAAUAGUAAUAUACUUUUAUGAAAGUGAAUGGUACUACACUAUUUAUUAGUCUAGAUUCAUAAAUAUUGCCUAGUUCUUGGUUCAUCUUCUAUUUAUAGUGUUUCAUUCUUAGGCCAGUUUCAUAAAUAGUGUCUCAAUCCUAAGCUAUGAUGUAUUUGAAACUUCACCUAACUAUUCAAACAUAUGUUAGAGAUUUUAAUAAUAUAUAAUAUAUUAUAUAUAUUUAUAUAUUAUUUAUAUAAUAUGUGUGUGUAUGAUAGAUAAAGGUGCGGCAACCUUUGCAAAAAGGUUGGCUUUCAUUCAACCUUUUACGGUUGUAUAUUUUAUUGAAUGGUUGCAAUUCUUGGUUCAAAGACAUGAUGCUUACUCAAAUUGUAUGAGUAUAAUUAAAAGAUGUAAUUAGUCAAUAUUUAUUUUCUGAUAAUUGUAAAUAAAAGACAUGUCUUUUGCACUAUUAAGAAGGGUUGUAUAUCUUCAACUAAAAUGAAAGACUCGAUGAACGGGUGCUUUAAUGUCUAUAAAUACCUAUUAUGGCAUAAUGUUUCACACACAAUUUUUAGAAAUUUGUUUCUACAUUCCUUGCUCUCUUCUCUCUCCAUCACAUUCGUACAAUUUCUUUCUAGUACUUACACAGUGCAUCAUCGAGAUGUGGCCUAGUCAGACUUAAUUUCUCUGACUUAUUCUCCAGGGAUGCAGAAGCAGAUCUUUUGAUACUUAACAGAGGUUACGACAUCCAACUUUAUCAGCCAAGGUCGCCCUAGAAUCCCAUUAUAAAGAGAUGAGUCGCUUACUAUCGUGAACGUUUGCUUUGAGACAACUGGUUGUGUUAUCACGUCAAGUGUAAUGUUGCCAAUGUCAGUCAAGGUGUGUCCGUUGAAUCCAGAAAGUACUUAUGCUCGGCGUAUGAUUGUGUUUUCUAGGCCCAUCUUCUGAAUACUGAGAGCUGAAGUAGGUUGACCGAACUUCCCUUGUCAACCAUCAUUAUGUCAACUAUAGCAUGGACUAGUUAGACAAAUAUCAAUAGUGUGUCAUCAUGUGAGAAGUUGACACCUUUGGCAUCUUGUUCGGUGAAGCCAAUGAUGGGUCCAGUUUGAGUGUUGACUGUCUGGACCUGUGAGACUAAUAGAGCCUAUUAGAUCUUCCUCUUCUUGGAGUUGUUGGUGGCCCACGAGUGCUCGGAUUUGGUGAAAAUGCCAUUGAUCAUAAUUGUCUUGGUUGGCAGCUCUUCGUCAGAGCUUACAUUCCUUCUAGGUUGCGCAACUAGCUUGUCCAAGUAUCUGUCGACCUUGUUUCUUUCACCAUCUUUUCUAGGUAAUUCCUCCAAGUGUAGCAGUCGUCGGUUGUGUGACCAGGACCUGGAUAAAAUGCGCAAUACUUGGUAUGAUCCAACUUGGAGGUGUCUCAUUUCGAUAACUUCGGCAGCUUAAACCGUGGUUUAUUCUUGAUGUUGUGGAGGAUUUGGUGGAUCGGGAUCGAGAAUUUAGUAUAGUUCUUGGGUGUCGAGCCUCCUGUGGUUGAGGAUCAGGCCCUGCGCUUGGCUUCCUACCUAUUUUUUAUGUUGUACUGCUUCACGUCCUCCUUCUUUUGAGCAAUCACCAAAUCUUUUGUAGGCUACUCAGGUGCCUUAUCUGUUACCCGAGCCUCGUCCAAAAGUGCAUGCUUAUCAGAUAGAGUGAAUAAGUCAGCCAUAGUCAGAUCUUCUCCCAUGAUCAAUUCUUCAAAUAACGGAUGGUCUGUUGGGAUUCCUUUUUGGAAGGCUGCACUAGCUAUCGAGUCGUUGCAUCUGACUAUCUUUGCCUUAUUUGCUUUGAACCUCUUCACAUAGUUGUGGAGCAACUCCAUUGAGUUCUUCUUGAUAUUGAGCAAGUGGUUGGACUUUUUCUUGAUCGAGGGAUAGGAUGAAUAUUCUUUGGUGAAAACCAAAGAAAUCUCAUCGAAACUCUUGAUGGACUGUGGCGUUAAAGUGUGGAACCAAUCUUAAGCCUCGCCUUCCAAAGUAGUUGUGAAUAUCUUGCACAUGAAGGCAUCGUUGUUUCGAUAAAGGAUCAUUGCGCUGCAGUAGUGCUUUAGGUGCCUCUCCAGGUCUCCAUCUCGUUUAAAAGAUGUGAAAUGUGGCAUGUUAAACUUGCGUGGAGGCUCUGCAUGCUCGAUCUCAUCCGUGAAAUGUGACCUGCUUAUGUUGGUCAUGUCUCGUCGUAGCGCCUCGUUAGUGGCUUCGUUGCACUAGAAGUCGCAUAAUUGUUCGGUCAGGAACUUCUCUACUUCUUCUUUGAAUUUACCUUUGCUAGGAUAGAGGAGCUUUCGGCUGCCCCUAGUCGUGAUCUAUUGAUCUAGGUUGCUUUUCCCUAUGCUCGGCUCAUCUAUUCCACGACUGCAGUGCAUAUGGUACGUUUCUAAUAGGCGAGCGUGUUACUCGCUAGUUGCUAGUUGAACUUGAGCCAGAUUGAGUGGCUACUUCUCUCUGUUCGUCGCGUUGGCUACUUCGAUGUGAAAUGGAUGAUGCUCUUAGUAGGCAUAGCCGCGAAUAAACAUUUAUCCUGGAAGGUUGUCCAUGUUGAUUAUCGGAGUGUGGCCCAAACCGUGAAUGUAUGUUCAUCCGUGGGCCUAAUCGAGAGUGCACGCUCAUUCGCACACUAAGAUGAAAGUAUACGCUAUCUCGGGGGCCCAUGCGGUAGUGUAGACGGUCAGAAUGCUCAGUUCGUAGCUGUUUGAGAGGUUGCUUGUCGGGACGUUGUUGGAGAAGUUCGUCAUCUGCCCUUGUCCUGCUUCGGAACACCUCGUCUGGGCACAUGACAUCUUGGUGGGUUGCAAAAGCUGAUUCACCAAGGUCGUCUGCUGCACAAGGGCGCUUGUCAACUCUAUGACUUGUCGGGAUAAGUAUUAUUCACCAUUUAGGGUAGAAGAGCUUAGACGGUACGCGUCUCUUUGAGUAGUGAAAGUGUAAUGGACUCCAGGCGCAAGAUUUGAGUUGGGAUAUGUCAAAUCUGCAGAAACAAAAUGGGUGAAAAUACCCUCGGUUCAAUCGUCGGUCCAUAAAUUUAAAGCUGGGAUGGUUGAAUCGGUAUUGGACCAGUUUGAGUUUCUAUGUGGGCCGCGGAAGCGGAUUAGACCGCGAAUUAGACUGCGUGAUUGAGUUAGGUUGCGGGAUCAGGUAGCUCUGCUGGCAUGGGCUAGGCUGAUGAAACACAUGUGCGCUGGCCAUCCUUUUAUCUCACGCGCGGCUUGGGCUUGCUGUUGCGCAGGGCAGACCUUGGCUUAGAGCUGUUCCGUGGCGUGGGUCUGGGCGUGCCAGGCUGCAAUUGUUGGUGUUUGGGCCUGGGUUUACUCCUGGGCCUGGGUUGCUGUAGUGGCAACAAGUUAGGCUGUUUCUUAGGCUUACGCCUCUUAAGCCGUGGCUUGAUGGUCCUCGUGGCCACCAUGGUGAUGGUACUCCAUGGUGGCAAAGUUGCUCAUUUUGCCAUCGUGUUGAGUCUCGUGGAUCGUCGUGGUAGGGUUUAUGUCUCGAUCUCCAUCACUUGGUACAAAUCCUUGAACGUAGGAAGUUUCGUUCGUUGUGGUUUCCGAAUUUUCCGCCAUUGUAUUUUUCUCUUAUGUCUAUUCAAAGAAUUAAAAAAAUCUAAGAAUAAGAAUGUACGGAAAAAAUUUACAAACAAACGAGAAAUGAGAAACUUUGAAUGCGAGAGUCUUCUUCGAGCGUAUGAAUCAAACUCUUAAUGAAAGCACCAAUUUAUGGAUGUCAAUUUCCGCCAUCUUCUCCUUUGAUGAAAAUGCACUUGCAAAAUAAUAACAUCUUCGAUUAAGGCCAAAAGCCUCACGCGCCUAUGAUGAAUGGGGGAGCCUUUGGUCUAAGAAUCUCUGGUGUCAAAGUUAGAAUUCUAAAAAGAAUGUAUUAGUGGGAUAAUAGGGGUAUUUAUAGGAGGGUGGUCAGCCCUAUUGGUGGAAAGUGGCCGGCCAUAUAUGGUGUAAUUGGGUGAUAAUUGUAAGAUAUUAUGUGAAAUAAUAUCAUGCAAUUAACAUGGCAAUUAGUUCUAAAUCAAAUAGGAAGUUUUGGGAGUUACCUUUUGAAUAAAAUCAAUAAGGGAUUGAUGAGGAGUGAUGAGAGUGAUUUGAAUAAAUAUCAUAUUGAUUACCUUUGACUCUUCUUUGAUUGAGCUGUUAUUGUCCAUUGCAUGCGGGUGAGAAUCAAUGUGUUCCUUGAGGGUAAUCUUUUUUGUUUUUACUCAAAAUCCACAAGUCACCUCUAUAAUUUUUUAAAUUAUUUUUAGCUCCAAAUCAUUCUUGCGGAGAUACAUCCAACGCGAGUACCUAACGCGUCACUAAAGUUCAACUUAAAGUUUUUCUUCGAUUAAAAAAAAAAUUGCAAAUUUUGGUUGUUGGAGGAAACAGAGGUGGGAACACUGGGAAAUAUAUUUGAUUAGAUAAACAUUUUGUCCAUAAAAAAAAAUUAAAUAAAAGUUAAAAAUCUCCAACUGGCGGAUCCUAUAAAACUCAUUGAAACAUCCCAAGUGAGAAAAAUUGACGGAGAUCUAGACGCAUACGCCAAGUGGAGGACCCCUUAAAACGUGUUGCAUUUUCCAACUUAAAUAUUUUAGCACCAAAACAAAACUCACUGAAACAUCCCAAGUGAGAAAAUUUGACAGAGAUCUAGACGCAUAUGCCAAGUGGCAGACCCCAUAAAACGCUUUGCAUUUUCCAACUUAAAUAUUUUAGCACCAAAACAAAACUCAUUGAAACAUCCCAAGUGAGAAAAAUUGACAGAGAUCUAGAUGCAUAUGCCAAGUGGCGGAACCCAUAAAACAAAACUCAUUGAAACAUCCUAAGUAAGAAAAUUUGACGGAGAUCUAAACGCAUACGCCAAGUGGCAGACCCCAUAAAAUGCGUUGCAUUUUCCAACUUAAAUAUUUUAGCUUCAAAACAAGACUUGUUGAAACGUCCCAAGUGAGAAAAGUUGACGGAGAUCUGAGCACAUACAAAAAAAACUAGUUAUUAGUUUAUAGAAUGCAAUUGAAGAAGGAAAGUGGGUGGAAAACACUAAGGGUGCGUUUGUUGCACCGGACUAUCUCGGACUGGACUAGCUUUAGGGACUAAGUUGGACUGGGUUAGACUAGACUAAGCUGGACUGUCUUAGUGAAGCGUUUGAUGCAGUGUCGGACUAAACAACAGGAUAACAACAAAUUCUAAUAUUAUAUUUUUUCAUUUAUAUUUUAUUAAUAUUUUAUAUUAUUUAAUACAUAUUUAGUAAUAUUUUAUUACUUCCACUGUCUAUUUGCUUUUUCAUUCUGAAACCACCCAUCUCCAUUUCUUCCUAAUUUUGCUCCGACCCUCUCCCUCUCUUCGUCUUUUUCUUUUCCUUUCCACUCUCUCCUCCCUCAAAACAGCAUCAUUCAUCACCCCCUUUUGUUCUUUUUUUUUUCCCUUUCCUUUUCUUUGCUGUUGUGAUUCCUCUAAAGACCGAGGCGAACGCUAAGCCGAGGGAGGAUGACGACGAGCCCGAAGAAGGAGAGAUCGUCGGCAACCAAGACUCGGCGUCGUCGAAGCCUUCGAAGGGAAUUGCGCCGCAGUCUCACGCCCUAGAGCACUCCUGGACCUUCUGGUUCAAUAGCCCUGCCGCAAAGUCCGCCAAGUCCAAGCAGGAGGAUUGGGGCAGCUCCAUCGGCCCGAUCUACACCUUCAUUACCGUCGAGGAGUUCUGGAGGUUAAUUUCUUUCAUUUCAUGUGGUUUUGGGUUUAAUUUUGUUUGGUUGGUAGGAAAACUGAGAAAAGAUUGAAUUUUUGCGUUUGUUAUGUGCUUGCUGUAGUUUGUGAUAGAACAAAUUUGGCCAUUUUUUGGUGGUGGAAGAACCCUCGCAGGGAGGAGGAAGAAGCCCAGAACUCACAGAAGGGCUCUCAGGGAGGAGGAAGAAGCCGAUCUUAGCAAGUCCCAUGGUUUGGGGAGUGCCUUGCUAAGAACCUUUAAGGAGGCCUCUAGUCCACACGAGUCCCCUUUAGUCCCACUUAACUUAGUCCCAUCACCUAUCAAACAUGGGACUGUAGUCCAGUCCAGUCCAGUCCCUCCUAAGGAGGUGAAACAAACGCCCCCUAAAAAGUAACAGAGCCCAUAAAACGCGUCUUCUAAACUAUAAUGAGCAGGGCAUGAGGGAGUUGAGGACAAGUUGCUCCUGCAGCUUGAUCGAUCUAGUACUAAUUUAUGAACGCUUAAGUAAUAAUUUAAUCAUCAAUUUUCAUGUCAUUUGAUGUACAAAAUUUUAUUUAUAAAUUUAACCCAAAAAAAAAUUCAAUACUAUUGGAGUAUGAAAGUGCAGAUUUUGGUUGUUAGAGGAAAAGUAGGUGGGCGCACUGGGAAGAUAUUGAUUGGGUAAAAGUAUCGUCCAAAAAACAAAGAUAAAAGUUGAGGGACCUCAUUAAACGCGUUGCAUUUUCUAACUUUAAUAUUUUAGAGGUUGCUGAAUAUUGUAGCAUCAAAGCAAAACUUAUUGAAACAUCCAUGUAAAAAAAAGUUGACGGGAUCUGACAACAACUCACAUGUAGAGCUGCAAGCAAAAGAUCACUGUCCCAGCAAAUAAAGCAUUUUUCAAUCAAGAAUAGUAGUUAUAUUGUCCCUUUCCCAGCAAAUAAAGUAAUUUUUGGAACCAAAUUCUCUCCGGAUCUUAUAAAACUGAGUCCACUAAUCAAUGCAUCCGGACUUUGAAAUUUGAUUCAACGACUACAAAAAUGGGAUCCCUCUAAAAGUUAUAAUAAUUGUAGUGUUUGAUCAAAUUUCAAUGGUCCAUAUUGAUUAAUGGGCUCAGAUUUAUAGAAUCUGGAGGGGUUCUUAUUCCCAUUUUUUGUCUAAGAUCGGACAACAAAAUAGUAGUUGUAUUGUCCCUACCCAGCAAAUGAAGCAUUUUUUACCCAAGAUCGGACAAUAACAUAGUAGUUGUACUGUCCCUACCUAGCAAAUAGAACAUUUUUGGUCAAGAUCGGACAAUAACAUAGUAGUUGUAGGGGUUCGCUAUCCACACAUCUCAUUUUACUUCUCACAUACCCCUUGAUAAUUUCUAUCCGUUGAUCUUCUUCAAUUUAUUUGAUCCGACGGCCGAAAAUUAAAAAGGUGUGAGAAGUAAAAUGGGGUGUGUGGACAUCACACCCCUAGUUGUAUUGUCCAAAUGAGAAUCCUCUCUGUAUCAUCUUUCUGAAGAUCCUAGAGAUCUUUAAAUUAUGUCUGUUAUCAUAUAUCAUGCGAUCAUAAAUUAUUUUAAAUUAAAUAUGAAUAAUAUCUGACGAAAACUAACCACAAAAUAUUAAGAUGAACAGACACGAUUUAAGAAUUCUUAUAAUCCUCAUAAAGAGGAUCCGAAAAGGAUCCUCCUGGGUAUUGUCCAAGAUCGGACAAUAACAUAGUAAUUGUACUGUCCCUACCUAGCAAAUAAACCAUUUUUGGCCCAAGUUAGGACAAGUACUGUCCCUACCCAGCAAAUAAACCAUUUUUGGUCCAACAUUGGACAAUACCAUAGUAGUUGUUUUGUCCUUAUCUGAUAAAACCCAGACUUCACGUCUUGCUCGAUGUAUUGAUACAGUGUAAUACUACAGUAUAAUUUUCAUUCAACAACCUUUUCAUCCUUCUUACAAUCUCUUAUAUAGUAACUAGGCCAACUUAGCUACUAAGAAACUGACUAACAACCGUAUCUCUUACUAUAACCAACUAACCAAUUUGAUAAUGCUGAUACAUCAUCCUAGUCAGCAUCUUAUCAAUACCCCCUUGAAAUGAGGCUUGUACAACAAGACUGAAAACAACACAAAAGACAGUACAUUGGAUCUGUAAACCAUAAAGUCUGCAAUACAAGUAAUCACAUUUGAGUAACUGAAGGAAAUCGAUUCUUCAAGUCUGCAUAAACCUCCCAUGUAGCUUCUUCAGCCGUGUGAUUUUGCCAUUGGACCAAAACCUCAGUGCUUGCUACAUUCCCCUUCUUAACCAGCCUUCUAUCCAAUAUUGCAAUUGGUACAUUCUGUAAAAUCCCAUCAUCUGUAAUUACUAGUAAGGGUAUCGUAGGUUGAAUAUUUGGUCCCCAAAUGUUUCUUCAAACAAGAAACAUGAAACAUGAAACACAGGGUGCAACUUGGAUGUGUUAGGAAGGCGUAACUUGUAAGCAACAUGACCAACUUUUGCCAUAAUUUCAAAUGGACCAUAAAAUCUAGGCUGCAACUGAUGGAAAUGAUGAGAAGCCAAGGAUAGAUGUUGAUAAGGAACCAACCGUAAGUAUACCAAAUCCCCCACCUGGAAAAUUCUUUCAGUCCUGUGUUUGUUUGCUUGUACUGUCAUUAUGUUCUGAGCAGCUGCCAAAUUUGAUUUUAACAAGGAUAACAUCCUAUUCCAGUCCAAUAAACUCCUGUCAACGCAGGAAUUAGUCUCACACGUUAUGGCGGAGCAGGUGGAGCCUGGUGGGCAGGCGAAGGGGAAGUCCUCGAGGAUGGAUGGAGAAUCAGUUUCUUCACCGAUUGAAUUUGGAGCUAAUGGUGUUGAUUCAUCCAGAUCUGGUAAGAGAAGUCGUGGAAUUAAUGGACCGAAUUUGGAUGCUGAACGUGAUACGGCUGCUCUGCACCUGGAGCCUAAUGUGAGUUUCAAAGACAAGCUUAUGAAAUCAUCUCGGCGACUUGUCUCGGUUGCUAUAUCUGAUUUUGAUUUUGAUCCUGAUCUCGUUGACGGGGACGUGUCAUUCUCUCGUGAGGUGAAAGGGCCUAUCGUUACAUUCUCUGAAAAAGCUGUGACGAAAUUUGGUAAGGAUUGGCAUGAUGCUCUGGUCAUCAAACUUCUUGGGCGAUCGCACACUUAUAAUUUUUUGUUGAACAGGCUGAGGCAAAAAUGGCAAUUAAAAGGAGGUAUGCAGCUUAUUGACAUUGAUCAUGAUUUUUAUAUUGUUAAAUUUGAUUUGGAAGAGGAUAAGGAGUUUGUUUUAACUGGUGGACCUUGGAUAAUUGCGGGUCAGUAUUUGACAAUUCAAAAAUGGAGACCAGGAUUUGUACCUGCAACUGAGGUUAUGACUCGUAUGGCUGUAUGGGUCAGGAUAAUGGGUGUUCCAAUUGAGUAUUUUAAUGUUUGGGCUAUGAGGAAGAUAGGUAGUGUGCUGGGAAAACUGUUGAAGAUUGAUGUAAACACUAAUUCUCAAUACAGGGGAAAAUUUGCUAGAAUUUGUGUUGAGAUUGAUGUGACUAAGCCUCUUGAAGCGUUUAUUCAAAUUAAUGAUAGAUGGUACAAUUUGGAGUAUGAGGGUAUGCCAGAAAUUUGUUUUGGAUGUGGUCGUUAUGGGCAUAAGAGGGAGAGCUGUACUUGGAGCGUUGAUCCUAUGGCGGAAAAGGUUGAUGGUGGUGAAAAUGAGAGUAAUAUGAUGAAUAUGGAUGAGCCUAUAGUAAAGGCUGCUCAAAGUAGCGAUGAUGUUUCUUCUAUUCAUGGUAAUUGGAUGCAAGUUAACCCUAGAGGUAGACCUCGGAAAAUAAAUAAUGGACAGAGAGGUGUUGAUGGUGCUUUUAAUGGGCAGGGGUCAAGGUUCAGUGUGCUCAAUGGGGAAGAUAAAAGUCUGAAUGAGGGAAAUGUGGGAAGUGGCACAAAUGGUGAGAAGGGUGAAGGUUCUAUUGAAAGGAAAAUUUGGGGGGUUAGGAAGAAGAAGGAAGCUAGUGAUCGGGAUGCACUUGCUGAUAUAUCUAACUGUGGUGGAAAGCCAUCUACGCAUAAUUUGGGGCAACUAAGACAACCUUUAGUGAGAAGGUCAAGUUCUAGUUCGAUUAGUAAUGUUGAGGAUCAGCCGUUCAAAUUUAAUGUUAAUGCCUUCAAGACUGAUAUGUACUAUGGUUCAAAUAUGUCGAAGGGAACCUAUAUUUUUGGUCACCAACCAUCUAAUGCUAGUGGUAGCGAUGUUGAGUUAGCUGCGUGUGAUCUGGAUCCAGGUGAAGAGAUGAUGAAUACUGAUCAUACUAUUCCAGGUUCAAUUAUUCAACGAUCUCGUUCAACCGAGGAUUAUUGUUUAGCUAAGUCUGCUGAGAGGUGUGCCUCCCAUGUGGAGGAAACCCUUAUGGGUUGCUAGGCUGUAUGCCUUGGUUUUAUCUUUCUCAUCCAUCUUUAUGAUGAAUAUUGUAGUAUGGAACUCUAGAGGUGCUGGUUGCACCAAGUUUAAAGAUAAUGUUGCAGAAUUAAUUAACAUUCACCAAAUGGAGAUUUUGGUUAUUUGUGAGCCCAGGAUUAGUGGUCAGAAAGCUAUUUCAGUUGUGAAAUCUCUUGGUUUUCCGUGCUUUGAGAUUGUGGAUGCUGUUGGCUUCUCUGGUGGUUUGUGGAUGUUGUGGAAGGAUUCUAGAUUAAAGGUGGAAGUUAUCGGUACCACUGACCAAGCUAUUUCUGUUGUUGUGGAUGGUGUUGGUCAGAACCAUUGGAUUUUCACCGCUGUCUAUGCUAGCCCUUGUGUUACUAAAAGAGAAAGAUUGUGGGAUUAUUUAGAUUUUGUAGCUGAUUGUCAUCAAUUGCCUUGGUUAAUUGCUGGGGAUUUCAAUGACAUGUUGUGUGUGGAUGAUAAACUUGGUGGUGCUCCAUUAUGCAGAUUAAAAGGCUUCAAAUCCUGGGUGGAUAGGAAUUAUAUGAUUGAUUUGGGUUUUAUUGGUCCUAAAUUUACUUGGACUAAUAAAAAAGUGUUAGAAAGAAUUGAUCGUGGGAUUUGUAAUAUGAGUUGGAGGAGCCUUUUCCCUGAAGCUUAUGUUCACCAUCUCCCGCGAACCAAGUCAGAUCACUGCCCUAUUAAGAUAUGCUUAAAUUCUCAUAAGUCAUUUUCUCCCAAUCAUCGUCCUUUUCGUUUUGAAGCUAUGUGGUUGAGGCAUGAAAAUUUUAAGGAGUUUGUUGAUGGUUAUUGGAGUAAUGGUGGAGGUUCGGUUGUUGAUAAAACUUGUGCUCUUGUUGAACCGCUUAAGAAGUGGAAUAUUCAAGUCUUUGGUCAUCUCAAACAGAGAAAGCGCAAACUUCUAGCAAGAAUUGAUGGGAUUCAAAAAGCUUUGUGUCGUGGGCCUAAUAAAUUUCUUUCUAAAUUGGAGGAUGAGUUGAUUUCUGAUUAUAAUGAAGUUCUAAAUGAGAAGGCUAUAUUUUGGCAUCAAAAGUCUCGGUUGAGGUGGCUUCAAGAAGGUGAUCGUAAUACAAAAAUUUUUCAUCUCACUACUAUUGUAAGGAGGAGAAGAAAUAGAAUUGAGGGCCUCAUUAACAAUCAAGGUGCUUGGAUAUCGGAGUCUUCUGAUAUGAAAAAGUUGGCAGUUGAGUACUUUCAAACUAUUUUUUCGCAUGGGCAAAAGUCUAAGCAAAUGGAAUGUCUUCCUAAUCUUUUUCCUGAUAUUAAUGUUGCUGUUCGUGAAGCUCUUACUAAAGAUAUUGAUAUGGUUGAAGUCAAGGAAAGCCUCUUUAAUAUUGGAGGCCUUAAAGCUCCACGUAUUGAUGGGUUUCCUGCUUGCUUUUAUCAAAGUCAGUGGAAUAUAUGUGCUAAUGAUAUCUUUGAUAUGGUAUGGAAUGCUUUUCACUCAAGGAGAUUGCCUGCUGGGUUAAACAGUACGCUGAUUACAUUGGUCCCUAAAAUUGAUAAUCCUCAAAAGAUGUUGAAUUUUAGGCCUAUUAGUCUCUGUUGCACUCUUUAUAAAGUGAUCUCUAAAAUCAUUGUUGCUAGAAUCAGACCUCUCUUGCCUCAUCUAAUUAGUCCUAAUCAGGCUAGUUUUGUUCCUAGUAGACAAAUUUCUGACAAUGUCCUCAUUGCUCAAGAAAUUCUUCACAAGUUCAGAAUGUCAAAAGGCCAAAAAGGAUUUUUAGCCUGGAAAAUUGAUCUCUCUAAGGCGUAUGACAGACUUAAUUGGAAGUUUAUUGAGUAUGUGCUGAAUGAGGUUGGGUUGCCUUCGAAUUUGAUUCAACUUAUGAUGGAAUGUGUAUCCACAGUUAGGUACCAAAUUUGUUUCAAUGGUGAAUUAACAGAUGGUUUUAUUCCUCAAAACGGUAUUCGGCAAGGGGAUCUUUUGUCCCCUUAUUUGUUUGUUCUAUGUAUUGAGAAACUCUCCCAUUUAAUUUCUGCAACUGUGAACAAAGGAAGGUGGAAACCUGUUAAGGCUUCUCAAUCUGGACCUAGGGUAUCUCAUCUCUUUUUCGCUGAUGAUUUAAUGUUGUUUUCUGAAGCUACUCCUAAGCAAGCAAGAGUAAUGAAGAGGUACCUUGAACAAUUUUGCAAAGCUUCUGGUCAAGCUGUUAACUUUGAAAAAUCUGUUCUUUAUUGUUUUCCAAACACGUCCAGGGCUUGUCUUAAGAGUAUUAGUACAAUUUGUGGGUCUCCUGUCUUUGAGAGUCUUGGGAAUUAUUUAGGAAUGCCUCUAAUUCAGACUAGAGUUUCAAAGGCUACUUAUUCGGGCGUUAUUGAUAAAGUUCAGAAGAGGUUGGCAACUUGGAAGAGCAAGGUAUUGUCCAUGGCUGGAAGAAUUACCUUAAUUCAAGCUGUUACCUCGUCCAUACCAGUUUAUGCCAUGCAAACGACCAAGCUUCCGGCCAGUGUGUGUGAAGAGUUAGACAAGGUGAAUAGGGAUUUUUUGUGGGGGGAUACCGAUCAAAAGAAAAAAGUCCAUUUGUGCCAAUGGAGUAUGGUUUGCAAACCUAAAAGUAAGGGUGGUUUGGGGAUUAAGAGAGCUUGUGUAAUGAAUCAGGCUCUUUUAGCUAAGUUAGGGUGGAGGAUUCAUGCUAAGGACUCUGGUCUUUGGUCUCAAAUUUAUCAGGCUAAGUAUUUGAAAGGCUAUUCUAUUUUAGACCCCAAAAUUCAUGAAAGAACUGAGUGUUCUUAUUCUUGGAAAGGAAUUUUGUAUGGAGUUAAUCUUCUUAAAAAGGGCAUGACUUGGAGAAUUGGCAAUGGUGAGAGUGUGAAAUUUUGGAAGGAUUCAUGGGUCUUAAAUGUCCCUUUAAUGGAAACUAUUGAUGUUGCUAACAUCUCCAAUAUUGAUUGUGUUGUCUCUGAAUUUUUAAGAAAUGGUUGGUGGGAUAUUGAUAAGCUCAGAGAUGUGUUGCCAGAGGAUAUGGUUCAAAAAAUUAUAUGUCGGCCUGCUGGUACUACUGGUGCAGGUAUGGAUAAAAUUAUUUGGAGAUGUGCUUCUAAUGGAGUUUUCACCGUUAAGUCAGCUUAUAAUCUUUUCUUUGAUGAAGAGGAUUUGCCUGAUUCAUGCUGGGAUUUUAUUUGGAGAGUUAAUGUUCCACCGAAGCUAAAAGUUUUUCUUUGGUUGAUGAGUAAAGGGAGAUUGCUUUCUAAUGAGCAACGAGUUAGAAGACAAUUAACUUCUGAUUCUUCUUGUAUGACUUGUUGUGGACCAAUUGAAUCCAUUGCUCAUAUUUUUAAAGAUUGUUCCAGGGCUAUGUGUAUCUGGAAAAGUAUGGGAGUUCCAUGGCAACUGAGGAAUGCCCAGAAUCUUGAGUUUAAGGCUUGGUUGCUGGCAAAUCUGAAAGUAAGUUCAAAAGGGACCAAUGAGGGUGCUUGGUGUACUCUUUUCCUUUUUAUUUGUUGGCAUAUUUGGAAGUGGAGAAACAAGCAGAUUUUUGAUGUCAAUUUUGUCAUGCCUAUGUAUCCAAAAGCGAUCAUUGAGAGAGAUGUGGAUGAAUGGUUGAAGGCUUGUGUGAAGUAUUCUGUCAAACCUGUAAAGAGGCAAAUUUCUCUCUCUUGGGAUCAUCCUGAUGUAGGUUGGUGUAAGCUAAAUGUGGAUGGGUCUAGAAGGACAAAUUCUGGUCGAAUUGGGGCUGGUGGCGUUCUAAGAGAUCAUAAUGGCAACUGGUUAGGUGGCUUUGCUGUGAAUUUGGGACAAGGGCAGGUUUGUGAUGCUGAAUUAUGGAGUUUAUACUUUGGUUUACAGCUUGCUAUUGAUAAGGGUGCUACUGAGCUUCAUAUUGAGAUGGAUUCCAAGGCUGUUAUUAUGUUGUUGAAGCAAUCCCAAGUUGAUAAUUUCCAUCCUUUGGAGACAAUUAUGCAUAGCUGCAGAUUAAUGAUGAGACAAUUGAGGAGGUGUGAAUUGAAUCACGUUUAUAGAGAGAAGAAUAUUGUGGCGGAUCAGUUGGCUAAUUGGAGUUAUAACAUGGAUAUUGGUGUUCUUGUUUUUGAUGAGCCUCCUGUGUGGAUUAGAUCAGCUCUCAUUGAUGAUGCUGCUGGAGUCCCUCGGACUCGGUUUGCUGUUGGUUUGUAGUUCUUUUUGGGUUGUGUUCCCCGUUCUUCACCAAAAAAAAAAAAAAAAAAAAAAAACUCCUGUCAACCAUUUCCAGCUUAAUUGUUCCAGCUUCAUACACCGGAAUGUAUGAAGGAGGUUGUCCGUACAUUACUUCAUAUGGAGACAUUUUUGUUGCAGAAUGAAGGGUUGUAUAAUAAUUCCAUUCAGCCCACGGUAACCAGAGAGACCACUUCUUAGGUUAGAGACUACAAAAACAUCUUAGGUAAGUCUCUAGACAUCAAUUAACAACCUAUGUCUAUCCAUCCGUUUAAGGGUGGUACCUUGAGUUGUGAGACAAUGAUGAUCCUUGUAGUGUAAAAAAUGUUUUCCAAAAUGCACUCAUGAAUAAUGGAUCCCUAUCAUAGAUUAUAGAAGCAUGCAUUCCAUGUAACUUGAACAUAUGUUCCAUAAAGAGAUUAGCUACUGAGGCUGCCAUGAAUUGAUGGGUUAAUGCUAGAAAAUGGGCAUAUUUGGAUAGCCUAUCAACUAUCACCCAUAUAACUGUUUUACCUCGACAAGGAGGCAAUCCCACUAUGAAGUCCAUUGAUAUGUCAGUCCAGAUUUGUGAAGAAUUGGUAGUGGCUGAAUUAAACCCGCAGGGGCUAAAGUUUAUACUUUUGCUUCUGACACACUUGACAAUUUGCGACCAUUUCCUUUAUAUCCUUUUUCAUCCCUUUCCAAUAGAAGGACCUUGAAAGCCUUCUAUAUGUCUUCAAAAAUCUAGGGUGACCUGCAGAAGGGCUGCUAUGAUGUUCCUCAAACAUAAGUUGUCUCCAAGAACUGUUGGGACUUAAUACAAUUUUAUCCUUGUAUUUGAGAAAACCAUUGUCGACUUUGUAUUUUAACAAGGUCAAUGGAGAUGAAUAUGAGACAUUCUUCACUUCUUGAAAUUUUUCCAAGAUCCAAGAGUCUUGUUCAAUAUGCCUUCUCAAGUUAUUAAUCCAGCUAAGAUAAGGGUAGGAAAUAGCCAAGAGUUCUAACUGACCUAUUGCAGGACUUGAUUGAACAAUAGAUGCAUCUAGAGAAAUUCUGGACAAGGCAUCAGCUACUUGAUUAUCACAUCCCUGUUUAUAUUGGAUUUCAUAAUCAAAACCCAAUAGUUUAGACACCCACUUCUAUUGAAAAUGAGGGUUAGCCUUAUUUUGCAGGAAAAAAAACUUCAAACUAUGGUGGUCUGUUUUAAUGAUGAAGUGUCUGCACACAAGGUAAGAUUGUCAUUUCUUGAUUGCAUGUAAUAUAGCCAUCAUCUCCCUUUCAUAAGCAGUUAAUGAUUGAUUCCUCACACUCAAUGCUUUACUGCUAAAUGCAAUAGGUUUGCCAUUUUGUUGCAAAACAGCUCCAAUGCCAUAACCAGAUGCAUCACUUUCAAUUAUAAAAGGUUGGGUGAAAUUUGGUAAAGCUAAUAGCUGAGGUGAAAGCAUAGUCUGUUUGAGUGUGUUGAACGCCACUGUGGCUGCUUCACUCUAUUUGAAAUUAUCAUUUUUGGUAAGGACUGUCAAUGGACUAAUAAUCUUUCCAAAAUCAGGAAUAAAUUUCCUGUAAUAUCCUGUCAAACCAAGAAAUCAUCUUAAGGCUUUUACAGUAAUGGGAAGAGGCCAUUUAGCUAUAGCAUCUAGUUUGGAGGGGUUAGCUGCAACUCCUUCCUUUAAUACUAUAUGUCCUAAGUAUUCCACUCAAGUUUGCCCAAAUGCACAUUUAGACUGCUUGACAAAGAGAGUAUGAGACUGUAGAAUCUCAAAAACCGUGCUAAGAUGUUCCAUGUACAGCUCCCAGGUCUUGCUAUAUACUAGAAUAUCAUCAAAAAACACCAAAAUGAGCUUUUGAAGGUGUGGCCUAAAUAUCUCAUUCAUUAAGCACUGGAAGGUUGCAGGUGCAUUAGUCAAUCCAAAGGGCAUGACUAAAAACCCGUAAUGGCCAUCAUGAGUUUAAAAGGUCGUUUUUUCAAUGUCAUAUGAAUGCAUCGUUAUCUGAUGGUAACCUGAUCUGAGAUCCAACUUAGAAAAGAAUUCAGCUCCAAACAGUUCAUCCAAGAGUUCAUCAAUCAAUGGAAUUGGAAAUUUAUCUUUAAUAGUGAUGAUGUUUAAAUUUCGAUAAUCCAUGCACAUCCUCCAAGUCCCUUAUUUUUUCUUAACUAAAAUGACUGGAGAAGAACAAGGACUAUUACUCACUCUGAUAAAACCAGCAAUUAACAAUUCUCGCACACAUUUUUCAAUUUCUGUCUUUUGCAGAGGCUCAUACCCAUAAGGUCUUAUACUUGGUGGUCUACUUCCUUCGAUUAGGGGAAUUCUGUGGUCAUGUGACCUGGGCGGAGGUAAUGCACUGGGAGUGAGGAAGAUCAUUCAUAUUGUUGUAAAAGCUGCCUUAAUUGUUGUUGUUGUACCAAAGAGAAAGUGUCUUCUUAUUGUUCAACUACUUCAGGUUGCAAUUGAAACAGAAAUGCCCCAAUUAAUGGUUCCUGCAAUAACAAUCUCUCCAUCUGAAAUGCAGUUACAUCCUGAAUUUGAUCCACAUAAGUUUCUGGACUGGAAAUACAGUAAGUUUAGUUGCCUUUGUGGAACUUCAUGUAAAACUUGUCAAAAUCCCAUAACACAGGGCCAAGUGUCCUCAACCAUUGUACUCCUAAUACUAUAUCACAACCCCCCAAUGACAUAGCAUAUAAAUUUGCGGUGCAUUGGUAUUCUUGAAUCUUAAGUGGCACAGCCCCUAAGGUGCCCAAGGUAGUGACUUUACCCCCAUUAGCUAUCUUGACAUUAAAAGAAUGAGUGGUAUCCAACUACCCUCUAAUUCUCUUAACCAAUGAUAGGUCAAUGAAAUUAUGAGAGCUCCCUAAAUCAAUGAGUAUAACCACUGAACAAUUCUUGAUCAUACCACAAACUUUCAUAGUUUGAAUUGACUUAGGAAGAGGGGUCCCAAACAAUGCACAAGCAGUUAUCUCAGGCUCUAAAUUCUUUUCUUCUAUCUGUUCAGUUUCCUCAUGAUCUUGAAUAUCAGUAAGCAACAAUUGUUUUUUCUCACAUGAAGGGCCCCUACUGUAUUUCUUUUUACAGUGAAAACAAAGACCAUUUUUUUGACAAAAUUUUACCUCCUCAAGAGUUAACCGACGCACAUUAUCAGAGUUGUUCUUAACAUCUCCAGCAUGUAUAUUACUAACAUUGUAUAAAGGAGAUCUCACAGGUGUAGCACCAUAAGAUCAAGACAAAGUUUUAACCUUUAGAUCGGAGAGUUUGGAAUCCAAUUAGUGGGCGUAGGCAGUAGCUUCUAAGACAUCCUUGGGCUUUAAGAUCUUGACAUCGUGCCUUAAUUCUGACUUUAAACCUCCCAUGAGAGAUAGGCUCAUGUCUCGAGUUCUGUUAGCCAAUCUUCUGAAUUCCAGAAUGUAAUCUCUUAAAAGACUUGUUUGUCUCAGCUUCACUAGACUUUCCGCUGCAUCUUCGAACUCGGAAGGUCCAAAUUCUUGACAUAAAGCUUUGGUGAAAUCCUCCCAAUUGGGGUACUUUGUAAUGUAAUUAGCCUAUUGGAACCAUUGCAAGGGCUCUCUUUCGAAGUGAAAGGACGCCAUUUUUACUUUCUUGCAAUCUUCGAUGUUGAAGAAUUCAAAAUAGUGAUCUACUUUAUAAAUCCAGCUUAAAGGAUCGUCACUAUCAGCAAAUCUUGGAAAUUUCAUCUUAAGAAAUGGAAGACGCUGAAUCGCUGUAUUGGGCAUAUUUUCUUGGCGAUCCAGAAUGUUACCCAGGUUCGGAUCCACCCCCAUUCGCCGCAUCAAAUCUGAAUGUGUAGCGUCGGAAGAUUCACCGAUUGACCCAUUACCCUUCGCAUACAAUGAAUGCAAUUGCUGCAAGAUCAAAUCGUGAGUUGCUCUAAAUUCAUUUCUUGAUUCUGCGAAUUCGACUCUUGACUCCUUGAAUUCGUUUUGGAAAUUGGCAAAUUGGGCUUUGAGAGUUGACACCUGAGACUCCAUGGAUUUCCUGGAAGCAAGGCGAAGCAUACACGAGGAAGGAUUAAGCAAGAUCGGAUGCACUGGCUCGAUACCAAUGAUAAGACCCAGACUUCACGUCUUGCUCGAUGUAUUGAUACAGUGUAAUACUACAAUAUACUUUUCAUUCAACAACCUUUUCAUCCUUCUUACAAUCUCUUAUAUAGUAACUAGGCCGACUUAGCUACUAAGAAACUGACUAACAACUUUAUCUUUUACUAUAACCAACUAACCAAUUUGAUAAUGCUGACACAUCAUCCUAGUCAGCAUCUUAUCCCUAUCCUAGCAAACAAAAAAAGGAUUUAUACCCUAGCUUUUAAUGUGAGAAAGAGGGUGAGUUCUAAAGGAAAAUGGAUCUUUGAUUGGUCGAAUUUAUGCUAAAUUAAGGUUGCAGCCAUGCGAUUUCCAUGCAAUGUGCAGGCUUCAUUCCAUGGUUGCAGCUGUGCGUUUCUGUUUUGUAAUGCCUAUGAAACUGUUCGAUCAACAGCUACCGAAUAACUUAGAACGUCAAAGGAGAGCGUUUGUUUUGAGUUUGGUUUUUCAUAUUCUAAAUGGAUGUAAAAAUAAAUUUACAUCUUGAAUUGAGUUUUAUCAGGGUAAUUUAGGUAGUAAAUGUGGGUUUAAAAAAAUAUUGAUAGUUGAAUUUUAAAAAGAGUAAUGCUAUGUUGACCAAUUUUUGAUAGACUCGGCAAAUUUUGACACGACAAGAAAAUAACGGGUUUCGGGUCAACACGAUAACUAAUCGGGUCAUUAUCGGGUGACCCGUUAAUAACAGGUUCUUAACGGGUAUACACGCAGGUAACACGUGGGUAACCUGAUAUCAUGUUUUUUCCUUGUCCUUUCAUUUGUCCUUGUUCUUACCUACAAAGACAAGGAUAAAGAAAACAAUAUGCCGGAACCUCCACUCAAACUCGGGUAAGGAACCGACUGCUUGGAACCCUUCCCUGAUUGCCUACCUAGCACUGCUCUCGAGUACUCGUUUCCCACUGCUGCUGUACUUCCAAAGAAGCUGCCACAUCUGCCUGAAGAACAGAUAAGGCAAGUGAAAAUGAUACCUUGCAGCAUGUGGAGACAACGUGCAGAAGAAACAAGUAGAGAAGAAUGCAGCCUGCACAGUCAACUCAGCAGAAGGAGUUUGAGUUAAGGAACUCGAGAAGAUGCCACAUCUGCCUGGAGAACAAAUAAGGAAAUGCGGCAUGCACAAUCAACUCAGCAGAAGGAGUCUGAGAUGAGGAACUCGAGAAGAUGCCACAUCUGCAUGAGAAACAGAUAAAGGAAAUGAAAAUGAUACCUUGAAGCAUGUGGAGACAAGUGCAAACAAGCACGUGCUGAUUCAUCCGCUACUUCUUCAAAAUCAAAAGUAUCUCAUAUCAUCAAGGUUACAAUCACUCUGGACGGUGAAUUCGUUUUGACCCUCAAAUUCUUGGGUCGACUUACUAGGCGUUGUGGGCUACACGUGCCGAUUCACCACCCUUGAAUCAAACCCUUAAAGAUCAAGUCACCAACUGGAAGAAGAGCCCAACAAUCUUCAAGAUCAUACCGUUGACCAAACUGCUCAGGUGUGAAUUAGAAAGAUUGAACAAAGCAACAAGUCGUCACCUUCACCUCGUGCCUGCUUGCCAUGUGUUCGAGUCAUCCUCAAAAUCAAGCCUUAACGGCCCUUGAAGAAGCUUCCAACCAAAUUCAAGAUCAAGCCUCGACGACCUUUGAGGAAAUCACAAGUCCGAUUCAAGAUCAAGUGUCUACCACUCUUGAAUCAAAUCCAGUUCAAGAUCAAAGCUGUGGAAAGUCAACAAAGCGCAAAAACAAAUACAUGCUGAUUCAUCCACUACCAAAGCCAAAGAUCAUCUACCACAUGAAGUUCCUUGUGGUCCAAUUUCAACCUUUAAGAUCGAGCAUCGACGGCCCUUGAAGAAAUCUCCAGCCCAAUUCAAGAUCAAGCCUCGACGGCCCUUGGAUUGACAUCUACAGUAAGGGACUUCAAAACGCAUCUCCUACACGCGACAAGCACAUGUAUACAACGCGUCUUGAAGUGGGGGCAUUUGUAGACAUCGAAAUUUCGGUAAAUAAAUGUUGACCGAUAAAUUAAAGUUUCAACGCUCAUGUAUUACAUAAAUUUUACACGUAGCGUGUGUCUAAACAAAAAAUCAAAAUAAGUUGGAAAAGUCAUCAAACAAGACACGUGUCAACACCUGGCAGAAACAACUUAUUUCAUCUGGAAUAUUAUAUUCAAAAUUAGGCCUUGGAAAUUUCUAUAAAUAGAAGGCUAAUUCAUUCAUUUGGGAGGACAAAAAAAUCAUUAUCCAAAAUUCUUGAAGCUCUGAAGCUCUGAAACUCCGAAGCCCUCAAGCCUCCAGGUUCCCGAAGAAUCAAGAAAGUGUUCUUCGUUCUUCGUUCACCGUUCUUCCAAGAUCAAGCCCCAACGGCCCUUUGGAUCAACAAUCAUCCACCAAUUCAAGAUCAAGCCCCGACGGCCCUUGAAGAAAGUGUUCUUCGUUCUUCGUUCAUCGUUCUUCCAAGAUCAAGCCCCGACGGCCCUUGGAUUAACAAUCACCAAUUCAAGAUCAAGCCCCGACGGCCCUUGAAGAAAGUGUUCUUCGUUCUUCGUCUUCGUUCUUCCAAGAUCAAGCCCCAACGGCCCUUUGGAUCAACAAUCAUCCACCAAUUCAAGAUCAAGCCUUGACGGCCCUUGAAGAAAGUGUUCUUCGUGCUUCGUUCAUCGUUCUUCCAAGAUCAAGCCCCAACGGCCCUUUGGAUCAACAAUCAUCCACCAAUUCAAGAUCAAGCCCCGACGACCCUUGAAGAAAGUGUUAUUCGUUCUUCGUUCUUCGUUCAUCGUUCUUCCAAGAUCAAGCCCCGACGGCCCUUGAAGAAAGUAUUCAUCGUUCAUCAACUGUUCAUCCUAAGAUCAAGCCCCAACGGUCCUUUGGAUUAACAAUCAUCCAUCUUCAAGAUCAAGCCCAAAAGUCCUUGAAGAUCUGUUCAUCACCGUUAUUCAAGAUCAAGCCUCAACAGCUCUUGAAGAAACGCUCAUCCUUAAGAUCAAGCCCCAACGGCUCCUUGAAGAUCCGCUCAAAUCCACCUUCAAAAUCAAGCCCAUGGCCCUUGAAGAACGUUCAUCCUUAGAUCAAGCCCAACGACCCUUUGGAUCAACGAAACAUCCACAAAUCAACACCUUACGGAGAUCGAAUCAGAGGAUCAAAUUUGAGAGAGAUUGUAACCCAAAACCAUCAAAUACAAAUAUUUGUUUGUGCACGUUGUUCUUGUCUCUUUCGUUUCAGGAAUUUUCCAUGUUCACAAAUUGGCACGCCCAGUGGGACCAUCUUACCUCUCAUCUCUUUCCCCGUUCAAAAAAAAAAAUUUCAAAAGUAAUGGCAUCAAGGAAGGCUCAAACUGUUCCCGCAACCGGCACAAAGAAUAAGAGCGUCCUCGUCACAAGUGGUGUCACUUUAGGCAUCACGACUCGAAGCAAGACAAGAGCUACUUAUACCGCUUCAUUCACCUCUGCAUCCACUCUGCCAAGGGAACAAGAGCACCCAAGGUACGAGCCUGUAAUCACCUUAGCCUCACUAAGGGCACCAGGGGAGGAGAGCCUAAGGAAGUACUCCGAAUCCAUGCUCUCUGAUGCCGACUUAAGCGGCAGUUCAACCAUGCAAGUUAUGACCACUGGAGCAACUUCAAUCGAUGAGUAGCUGGCUCAGAUGAAUGAAGCAAUCGCAAGGCUAACCCGAACUGUGGAAGAAAAAGACUUGCAAAUUGCAGCACUCGUCAACCGACUAGAGGCGCAGGACGUCGAGAAACCCAACCCGAAGAUUGAUCCUCUAAAGAAGGAAGACGAUGAAGAAGAUGAGCCUAUAGUGGAGAAAGAUGAAGAAAAGUUGAAACUCGACCCAACAACAACGCUCAUGGGAUCUCUCUCCAUCAAGCAUUUACAGGAGAUGAUCGCCAGCACCGUCAAGACGCAGUAUGAAGGGAGCUCACAUGCCUCCACGUUGUACUCGAAGCCUUACUCCAGGAAGAUCGACGCCUUAAAGAUGCCGAAGGGCUAUCAACCACCGAAGUUUAUGCAAUUUGACGGAAAGGGAAACCCGAAGCAACAUGUCGCACAUUUCGUCGAAACCUGCAACAAUGCAAGGACGGAGAGAGAUUACCUCGCCAAGCAGUUUGUGCGCUCGUUAAAAGGAAACACCUUUGAGUGGUACACGGACCUGGAGCCCGAGUCCAUCAACAGCUGGGAACAGUUGGAAAGGGAAUUCCUCAACCGCUUUUACAGUACCCGCCGCACUGUGAGCAUGCUAGAGCUGACGAGCACGAAGCAAUGGAAGGAAGAACCAGUCAUGGACUACAUCAACCGAUGGCGUAAUCUAAGCCUCGACUGUAAGGACAGACUCUCUGAGAUUUCUUCAAUCGAGAUGUGCAUCCAGGGCAUGCAAUGGGGUUUACAAUACAUCCUUCAAGGUAUCAAACCACGAACUUUUGAAGAAUUAGCCACCCGUGCCCACGACAUGGAGCUGAGCAUCGCCCACCAUGGAAAGAAUGAGCCAAUCACCGAUUUCAAAAGGGAUAAGGUGUUUACUUCAAGAGCAGACAAUCAUGGGAAAAAGCCCGCCAAGGAAGCUUUUACCACCAAUACCACCCCUAUCAAGACCUCGUCCCCACCAUUCAAAAUUUCCUUCAAUAACAAAGCAAGGGAGAUAAAAAGAAGUGAGCCUUCCCGCACCCAAGAUAGGUACAAAAACACCUUGAGGGAACUGGAGCAGAAGGUAUACCCUUUUCCAGACUCCGACAUGGACGCAAUGCUGGACGACCUGCUGGAGAAGAAGGUGAUUGAAUUGCCUGAAUGCAAACGCCCUGAAGAGAUGAAUCGCACCAAUGAUCCUAAGUACUGCAAGUAUCAUCGUAUCGUGGGUCAUCAUGUGGGCAAGUGUGUCAUCCUAAAAGAACUCAUCAUGAAGUUGGCACAGCAAGGGCGGAUUGAGCUCGACCUAGAAGACACAGCCGCAACGCACACCACUACGAUCGUGUUCGGAUCCUUUGAUCCCGUGCCUCUUCAAGAAAUGCCCGACCAUUCCUAUCAAUGCACAAGCUACACGACACCUUCUGCACGACCAUCAUCGGGGGCAAACAACCAGGAUGCACCUAUCGAUGAUGAAGAAGGGUGGACAAUAGUGACCUAUAAGAAGACGAGAAAGCCAAGACCACAAGCUAUAAGGCCAAAGGGGGAGCAAGCGAGAAAGCACCACCGCCGCAACAAUAGGAAGCCUAAAAGAAGCAUAAGAGCUGCUAAGCCAACAUAUGUUGGGGAACCUAUGGAGCAAGAGCCACGUAUUCUCGUCUCCUUGCACGAAUACUUCCUAGAGGACUUCUUCCAACAGUGCACUAUCACUGCGUGUCACAUGGUCGAAGUAGAAAUAGAAGAACCUUCAGAAGGCAAAGCUGUCACCACUGAAAGGGAAAAGACUCUUACAACUAAAGAAGGUUUGCCAACACACCUUAGCAUCGAGGGAGCGCUCCGGUUGCCAAAGAAGAUGCGAAAAGCACUGGCAGCAAUCUUGGUAAGUCCUGACGACCAUGAAGGGCAAAAAAGCAAGAACGAAGGCUUAAAACUUCGGCCAUAUGAAUGUGCCACAUGCUGUGCCGCCGAGGACGCAAUCCACUUCACCGAUGAAGACUUGUUGCUAGGAUCCAAGCCUCACAACCGACCUCUCUUCGUCUCUGGGUACGUAAGGGAGCACAAAGUCAGUCGCAUGCUUGUAGAUGGCGGAUCAGCCAUAAAUAUCAUGCCAAAGUCAACAAUGAUCGCAAUCGGCAUCAAGGUGGAUGAACUAUCCCUAAGUCGUAUACUAAUCCAAGGUUUUAACCAAGGAGGACAAAGAGCGAUGGACAUGAUCCGAGUGGAGAUAACCAUUGGUGAACUCAAGUCAAGCACAAUAUUCCACGUGAUUGAUGCAAGAACUUCCUACGGUUUGCUCUUAGGAAUGCCUUGGAUCCAUGUGAAUGGAGUAGUACCGUCCACCCUUCACCAAUGCUUAAAAUUUUACCGAGAAGGAGUGAAGGUGAUCUAUGGCGACACCAAGCCAUUCACCGAAGCCGAAUCACAUUUCGCAGACGCCAAGUUCUACAUGGAUGAAGACAUGGUGCCCGAAACUCUUCCAAAAGAGAUCAAAUCCAUGGGCAAAGCAACACCUAAAAAGCAAGAGUGGCAAGUCGUGCCCAAGAAGCAAGAAGAAGAAGCUAUGCCAUCUUCAAGCAAAAACAACGAUGAGCUUGCGAAACCUGCAACAACCAGAGGGAGUAGGACGCCUUCAAAUGGACCAAACAUACCUGUUUUCUGAUACAUCCCGAUGUCGAGAAGAAAGAAUGGUCAAUCCCCAUUCAAAACUGCAGCAAGCAAAGCCGAUGCACAGCGGCACAUGGAUAACGUAAAGUUGCUUAAAACAAAUGCAGUUUUACCUCUGACACAGCUAGGCGACACUAAGGUUGCAAGACCAUCACAAGGCUUCAUAAAAGGCCUGCCAAAGGGGGUAGAACCAAGCUUUUUCCCAACCAAGAGGACCGAAGAAGGUUUUGAUCCAAAUGCCUACAAACUUAUGUCGAGAGCUGGGUACAACUUCACAUCAUCUGCAAAUUUGGGAAAGAAGGAUUUGAACACCGUCAAAGACAACAAACGUGAUCUCACUAAAACUCAGAAGAAGUUGAAGGAGCAUGGUUACGGGGUCAACGACAACAAAGCUGGACUUGGCUUCAUACCAAAUGCACCGGUGAAGAUCUCCAGCAAGGUAAAAAAUGCUAGCGCUCAACACAUCAGCGUGAGCAUUAUACAAGAUAAAAAUGAGCACCAACCUGCCCCCCAGACGUUAGUAUUCGAUAGAAUGAAUCAUCCAAGGCCUAAAGUUCCGGCACCUAAACUCAUUAGCAGUCAAAACAGAACUUCCGUCUUCAAAAGGCUUACACGUCAGCAUCUCGAAGCUCUGUUUUCAAAAGGUUGUCGAAACCUAAGAAGCAAAGCAAUACGACUAGCUUUCCUCCACGACAGUCAGUUAUGGAAAGACUUGAAGAAGCCAAAGAGCCUUCCAGAAAGAGAAAGACGACACCAGAAGUAGAAAAGAUCGAUCAUCUGGCAGAAAAAGAUGACGUUCGAAGUUCCAUUCCUUCAAGAAUGAAACGCCAAGCAAUUUUGGACGUUAACAUAGUUGGAUCAUUGAAAGUGAAAAGGCGCACCAUCAUCCACACUGGACAGUCUUCAUGCCAACAAACUCGAGAGGUCAACACCGAAGAAGAGACCCAAGACGUCUUCCAUAUCACAAUCCAAGAAGGUGAAGAAGAUGAAAUCCUCGAGGAAGAUGUCAUUGCAGUGCCAUCACAACUCGAAGAUGGGGGGCAAGCCACAGUCGACGAUCUCAAAGAACUCAACUUAGGCACAAGUAAGGAACCAAAACCUAUCUUCGUAAGUGCAUUACUAAGUGCAGACGAGAUAGAGAAGUAUUACCAGCUGCUAUUAGAGUACACGGACGUCUUUGCUUGGACCUACAAGGAAAUGCCCGACCUCGACCCUAUCAUUGCUGUGCAUCGUCUUGCAGUUAAACCUGGAACACGACCAAUAAAGCAAACUCAAAGACGUUAUCGAUCCGAGCUCAUCCCACAAAUCGAGGCCGAGAUUGACAAGUUGAUCGAAGCAGGCUUCAUUCGAGAGGUGCAAUACCCCAAGUGGAUCUCCAACAUCGUCAUAGUCCUUAAGAAAUCUGGACAAAUACGUGUUUGCGUAGACUUCUGAGACCUCAAUGAUGCUUGCCCAAAGGAUGACUUCCCCUUGCCAAUCAUUGAAAUCAUGGUGGACGCGACCACUGGCCAUGAGACACUAUCAUUCAUGGACGGCUCUUCUGGAUACAAUCAAAUUCGUAUGGCUCUUGAAGAUGAGGAACUAACAGCCUUCCGCACUCCAAAAGGUAUCUACUGCUACAAGGUGAUGCCCUUUGGUCUGAAGAAUGCUGGAGCUACAUAUCAACGUGCAAUGCAAAAGAUCUUCAAUGACAUGCUACACAAGAACGUAGAAUGCUAUGUAGACGAUGUGGUGGUCAAGACAAAGAAAAUAUCAGAUCACUUGAAGGAUUUGCGAGUAGUGUUCGAAAAGUUGCGAAAAUACAACCUCAAGAUGAACCCGUUAAAAUGUGCAUUUGGCGUCACAUCUGGAAAGUUCCUUGGCUUCAUUGUCAAGCAUCGUGGCAUUGAAGUAGACCAAUCAAAGAUUAAGGCAAUUCAAAGCAUGCCCGAACCAAGAAACCUGCACGAGUUGAAAAGUCUACAAGGACGGCUAGCCUUCAUCAGACUCUUCAUCUCCAACCUUGCAGGGCGUUGUCAACCGUUCAGUAGACUCAUGAAGAAAGAUGUUCCGUUCGUAUGGGACAAAACAUGCAACAAUGCUUUUGAAAGCAUAAAGAAGUAUUUAUCAAGUCCACCUGUCCUGGGGGCACCUGUACCAGGGAAACCGCUUAUAUUGUACAUCGCUGCUCAGGAAAGAUCAGUUGGAGCACUCUUGGCACAGGAAAACGAAUCCCAGAAAGAAUGAGCGCUCUACUACCUCAGUCGAACGCUCACCGGCGCUGAGUUGAACUACUCCCCAAUAGAAAAAAUGUGCCUUGCCUUGAUGUUUGCCAUCCAGAAGCUCAGACAUUACAUGCAUGCUUACACCAUCCACUUGGUUGCUAAAGCUGACCCGGUCAAAUACGUCAUGUCCAAGCCAGUUUUGACAGGACGACUAGCUAAAUGGGCAUUGCUUCUCAAUCAAUACGAGAUCAUCUACGUCCCAGCUAAAGCCGUCAAGGGACAAGCACUAGCAGACUUCCUUGCCGACCAUCCAAUCCCAGCCGAUUGGAAAAUCUCAGACAACUUACCUGACGAAGAGGUGUUCUACAUCGACAUAUUCCCGACAUGGACGAUGUUCUUCGACGGAUCUGCACGAGCAGACGGAGCGGGGGUAGGAGUAGUAUUCAUGUCGCCACAAAGUCAAAUACUAUCUUAUUCAUUCCAACUAAGCGAAUUAUGCUCCAACAAUGUCGCUGAGUACCAAACACUGAUCAUCGGGCUCCAAAUGGCAAUCAACAUGGAAAUCACAGCCCUUGAGAUAUAUGGCGACUCCAAGCUCAUAAUCAAUCAACUCCUGACUGAAUAUGAGGUGAGGAAAGAUGAUCUCGUCCCAUACUUCCGGCUGGCAACGCAAUUGCUACAAAGGUUUGAGGCCGUAACACUAGAACACGUGCCAAGAAAAGAGAAUCAAAUGGCAGACCCUCUCGCCAACCUAGCCUCAAGCAUGACAUUAGGAGAAGAUGAAGCUACAAACGUGCCAGUCUACCAAAGAUAGGUAAUCCCGCUUGUCACUGAAAUGGUAAUAAGUGAUACAAAUGUUAUUUCCAUACUUCCGGUCAACGUUGAAGAAUGGAGACAGCCUCUAAUCAACUACUUGGAGCAUGGAAUACUUCCAGAUGAUCCAAAACACCGCUCUGAAGUACGUCGGCGAGCACAUCGCUUCCUCUAUUACAAAGGGACACUCUACCGGCGAUCUUUUGAAUGAGUACUUCUGAGAUGCCUAGGCGAGGAAGAAGCCAAUCAAGCCAUGGAAGAAGCACACUCAGGAAUAUGUGGGGCGCAUCAAUCCAGACCGAAGCUUCAUUUCCAGCUCAAAAGAAUGGGUUACUACUGGCCAAGCAUGGUAAAGGACUGCCUAGAACACGCCAAAAUGUGCCAAGCCUGCCAAUUUCAUGCUAACUUCAUACAUCAACCGCCUGAACCAUUACACCCCACGGCUACUUCAUGGCCAUUCGAUGCAUGGGGAUUGGACGUCGUAGGACCAAUUGCGCCAAAGUCAUAUGCAGGAGAAGCUUACAUCCUGGCUGUAACAGAUUACUUCUCCAAAUGGGCUGAAGCCAUACCCCUGAAGGAAGUCAAGAAGGAAACUGUUGUCCGUUUCAUCAAGGAACAUAUCAUCCAUCAAUAUGGUGUGCCUCGCUACAUUGUCACUGACAACGGAAAACAGUUCUCUAAUCGGCUCGUGGACGAGCUCUGCGAGAAAUACAAGUUUAAGCAGCAUAAAUCCUCUAUGUAUCAUGCUCCGGCCAAUGGUCUUGCAGAAACAUUCAACAAGACAUUGUGCAACCUCCUGAAGAAGGUAAUCGGUAGAACAAAGAAAGACUGGCAUGAAAGAAUAGGCGAAGCACUUUAAGCAUACAGGACGACAUAUAGAACGCCUACCCAAGCUACACCUUAUUCUCUUGUAUAUGGCGUAGAAGCUGUUCUACCGCUCGAAAGUCAAAUCCCAUCGUUGAGGAUGGCUAUACAAGAAGGCUUGACUGACAAAGAAAAUGCAAAGUUACGCCUUCAAGAGCUGGAAGCGCUGGAUGAGAAAAGACUCGAAGCCCAGCAACACUUGGAGUGUUAUCAAGCACGACUCUCCAAGGCCUUCAACAAGAAGGUUCUCCCUCGUUCUUUUCAAAUGGGAGAUCUCGUCCUUUCAUUACGUAGGCCUAUCAUCACAACUCACAAGACAAAGAGCAAGUUCACGUCAAAGUGGGAUGGACCAUACGUAAUACAAGAAGUCUACACCAAUGGCGCCUACUUAAUCAUGGCAGAAGACGGCUUGAAGAUCGGCCCUAUCAAUGGCAGAUUCUUGAAGCGCUACUACCCCUAAAAAGGCAACAACUUCUGCUCCUGGCCCGCAAGAGCAUAAACUGUGUACGGCAAAAUCAUCAUCAAAAUCAUUGUUAAAUUCAUCACUCAUUUGAACUACGUUAUGACUUGAUCCAUCCUCAACAGAGGGUACGUAGGCAACUUGAAACAUCAAAACUUCAAGUACAGUCACACCAUUUAAAAAAAAAAAAGAUUGAAGAGCAAAAUUCAAGAACAUAAAUACUUUAUUUCUUUGAAAGAAGGAGUCGACUCCAAAGCCUUAUUACAACAAAAAAAAUACUACUUGAAAACUAUGUCCUUAAAACUACGAAGGCGCUCUUCAAGCGAGCCUUCCAAAGUCUUCAAAGUCUCUACAUCGGUGGGAGACAAGAUGGGCAACUCCAUAACCAUGCCUUUCUCUCGUUCUAGGCGCGAAAUCUCCUUUUGGUACUGAGAAAGUACAGUUCCCUGCUCCGCAAGAACACUUUCAAGUUGCGAUGUUUCGAUUACCAACUGCUCCCGCUCUCGCACCAAUGCAUCUAGACGCCCCUGGACAGAAGUUAAAGAGGCCUUUGUGACUUGAUAAUUUCCUGAAACAGCUUGCUGAAAAGACCGGACUUGAGCCAUUGACGAGUUUAUCAUUGCUAGCUAAUGAGCCCUAACAUCUGGACUCAACUUCUCCAAGGAAAUAGCACGCAAGGAAGAAUACUCAGUCGAGGCAGCCAUAAGUUCGGCAAUCUUGAUCUUCAAGGAUGAGGAAUCAACGUUAAGAUUGUCAAUCACAGAAACAAACUUUGACAAAUCCUCAUUGAGCAACGUAAGGUCUUCUAGUGGACACUUAGAAAUCCUCGCUUCAAUAUGGCCCUUAAUCUCCAUUGCCGCACCAAGACUGAUGCGAUGGAUGAGUCGCUCAGUACCGCUAAGGUUCGGCCCUCUCAAAGAGAUCUUAGAGCUAGCUAGCAAAAGUGUUGGACGCAUGACAAGUUCUUGCAUACCUCCACCUAUACAUGGCAAACUCGGGAAGUUCGGCGUAUUUGGAACAAUCUCUGCACCAGGCGGAUCCCCGAUCUCCCUGUCUGUAGGUAGGCCGCCUACAAAUAGCAUCUUCGUAUAGGAAUAAACAUCUGCAGUCGCCAAAUUAAAAUGACGGGAAGGCCCAACCUAAAGAAGGCAAAGAAAGAUGUUAGAAACAAAAGACAAAAUGAUAAAAGCAGAAGAAAUCGUGAGAGAAAAUAAAGUACAUACAUCUCCCUCAAAUGGCGCACGGUCAUUGAAUUGAGAAUGUCUAAACACUUCUUUCUUCUUAUGAUGAAAAUUGACAUCACUAUCAGCUUGAGCAUCCUCAAGUGGUCGCUUGUUUGAAACUUGUUGACGCUGCUGCAAAGUAAAUCCAUCUUCGUGCAAGUCACCUUCAUCUCCUACCUCUUCAGAAGCAUCCGAAUGUCGAGGAGACAAACAUGGGCGUUGAGGAGCUAAAGCUACAGGUCUAUCUUGUAAGGGAGCCGCACUCACGCAAUCAAGAUGCACCAGUCGCAUAGGAACCACAUGACAACCCUCUCUCAACAUAUCAUCGCCUGAGUGAGAAGAAUUGGUACCACUCGCCAUCCUCAAGUUCUUGUAAUGUGUCCUUAACCACCAGCGUGCGUAAACAUGGGUCACUGGAUUACUCUUGAACUCAUCCUUGGCUGGCAGCGUGAUAACAACAUUUGUGAAUGAACGGGUACAAGACUCCCAGUGUAUGUACACGCCUUGCAGGGAUGCCGAUUGGUUCUUUUCCUUCAGCUUGCCUGGCAUGUUUUGGACAAAACCAAAUUGCCUGCUGAAACGGUGGGGACUAUAUGGCUGAACAAUGCAUCGGUCUUCUUGCCGCGAAGAAACAAACCCCGAGCGAAGACUUAUAAGAUAAGACAAGUCUGAGAAACGGAGAUGCGAAUUGUCCACGAUACCUCGCCGCACUGAGCCAACCCUCGCUAAGGGGUCCAUCUUCAAACCUUCACAACUUUUAAAUAGCGCUCGCGCCUGCAAACCAUCAAGGCUCUUCGCGGAGAGUACACCUGAAUACUUCGUCAUCAAAGGCCUCAGUUUUGCUCCAAUCGAUGAAAAAGGCCUUGACUUGUCAAGAGUCGACAAAGAAAAAUGAGUGCCAAAAUAUUCACCCAACCAACCAUACAGAUAGUGGUAAGGAAGCACCGCAGCACGAUCUUCAGUGUUUGCCGAGUCCGAGACAAUGCUUAAUCCAUUGUAAAUGUUGGCUAAAACCGGAAUAGCAAGGCUAAAAGGCUCACCUGCAGCCAUCCUUCUAGCAACUUUGAAAACAAACUUACAAAGCCAACAAGCUAAAAAAGCAGCUAGGUAAGACUCCUCCACAUGCUUUGAUGCUAUACCAAGAUCCUCAAACGCUCUCAACUCGUCAGAAGAGCGGCACCUGGUUGAGCCAAUAACAUCGGACGGGUCUGAAUCUCCCUUUGGCCUAGUGGUCUUGUUACGACCAUUUUUCUUCAAAGGCUUCUUAUACCUCAUGGCCCCCCAGUACCAAAAUCGGAUCCACAAGGAAAUCCUCACGCCCGAUUCACCUUGAGCAUCUUGGAAAAGCUUGUGAUACGCCCAAAACAAACAACGACAACUCGUAGGCAAUCCUCGGCUAUUGCAAAGAGAAAGUUCAUCCGCGCUGGGAACAACCUCGUCAUAAAACCUACCUUGGAUCGGCAAACCUCCUAUCCUAUGAAGAUCCCAAAGUGAAAUUGACAUCUCCCCUUGCGUCGUGUGAAGUGUGUUGGUCGCUGAACACCAACGCUCAAAGAACGCACGAAUGACGAAAUGAUGGCAAUCAUAACUAAACAAAGAUGCGUACACAGCGUGGUAAAUGCCCACGUUAGUAAGCACAUCUUUAGAUUGACUUAAGACAUCUUCAAGCCACUCCCAAUACAACUCAUCAAAAACGACCUCUCCAACAGUCGACAGGGUACCGUUCCAAGCCAUAGCUCUGCUGCGAAUGUGAUCACCAAGAAGCUUAAACGUGGCCGAAUGAUUGUCACCAGCAUGGUGCGAAGGAUUCAAGAUAAGAAUAUUCGAGAUGCACGCCUUCUUCUUCGUAUCCGGUUGAAUAGAAUCUACCACCUCCCAAGAUACUUCGGAAAACCACGACUUAAUAUGCAUGGAGUUAUCUUUUGCAGGAAGAGCAAGCGCCUUAGGACCAGUCAGUGGCACAUAAAGCUUCAAUGUCGUUCCACUAUCUUGUGGAUCGCAUUCCUUCGCAAGAAUGGUGAUGGUGUUGUUUUAAAACACUUGAGAAACACCAAGACUGCAACGGAAAAGUCAGCCACAAAGCUUGAGCAGCACGGCAGCGCACCACCGAGGGAAAACUGUUAUCAAAAGGCACUACACAGCAAAUCCCCGCUGCAGUCUCUAUCACAGCACCACACGGCAAAGGCACCACCGAGGGAAAACUGUGAUCAAAGGGCACUACACAGCAAAUCCCCACUGCAGUCUCUAUCACAGCACCACAUGGCAAAGGCACCACUGAGGGAAAACUGUGAUUAAAAGGCACUACACAGUGAAACUCUGCUGCAGUCUCUGGCACAAGCACUAGGCAACCUGCUCACUCCGCCACCCACAAUCACACCUCUGAAAGCUUCAUGAAGGUCCUAGCAUCAUGCUCUGCCUUCUUAAAAAUUAAGGAUUCCUAACGUCACAGCAAAGAAAUCCAUCAGUGGGAGCACAAACACACUGUGCAUAAAAAUAGACACAUUAUAUGGUAUUAUAUGUGUGUGUGUAUAUGGGUGUUCGUAUAUAUUUAUAUAUGGCUUGAAAAGAUGCAAAUGGUGAUGAUGAUGGGACGAUUGAAGGAAUGUAUAUAUAUUCUGGCAUCCUAAACAGAUUAUGUAUAUAUGAGGUCCAAAAGAUUGAAAUCGUCCUCAACCUAAAACAUACCUAAAAACUUACUAUUGCUGCACCACAAUGUCACCCGUCUGCAUCCUCACUCUGCUCAAUCUUCCGCCCAUUUGCCAAGCAACAUACGGGGGUAUUUAUAGGAAAAAAAAAAAAGAGGGUGAUGAUUUAAAAAAAAAAAAAAAAAGAUGGUGCGGAUUGCACCAUCUGAAAAGGAAAAAAAAUAUAUAUAUAAAUAAAUAAAAUAAUAUAAAAAAUUAUAAAUAAAUAAAUAUAAAAAAAAGGGGGAUGGUGCGGAUUGCACCAUCUGAAAAGAAGAAAAAAAAUAAUAUAAAAAAAUAAAAAAAUAAAAAAAGGGGGAUGGUGCGGAUUGCACCAUCUGAAAAGAAGAAAAAAAUAUAAUAAAAAAAUAUAAAAAAAUAUAUAUAUAUAAAAUAAAAUAAAAUAAACAAAUAAUAAAUAUUAAAAAAAGGGGUAUUGUGCGGAUUGCACCAUCUGAAAAGAAGAAAAAAAAUAUAAUAAAAAAUAUAUAAAAAAUAUGUAUAUAUAAAAUAAAAUAAAAUAAAAAAAUAAUAAAUAUAUAUAUAAAAAAAGGGGGUAUGGUGCGGAUUGCACCAUCUGAAAAGAAGAAAAAAAAUAUAAUAAAAAAAUAUAUAAAAUAUAUAUAUAUAUAAUAAAAUAAAAUAAACAAAUAAUAAAUAUAAAAAAAACGGGUAUGGUGCGGAUUGCACCAUCUGAAAAGAAGAAAAAAAUAUAAUAAAAAAUAUAUAAAAAAUAUAUAUAUAUAGAAUAAAAUAAAAUAAACAAAUAAUAAAUAUAAAAAAAAGGGGUAUGGUGCGGAUUGCACCAUCUGAAAAGAAGAAAAAAUAUAUAUAUAUAGAAUAAAAUAAAAUAAACAAAUAAUAAAUAAAAAAAGGGGGUAUGGUGCGGAUUGCACCAUCUAAAAGAAAAAAAAUAAUAUAAAAAAAAAAAAAAAGGGAUGGUGCGGAUUGCACCACAUGAAAAAAACAUUGAGAGAAAUAAAGUCCAUUUCAUUGAUUUCUCUAGAAAAUUACAAAGGGAACAUUUACAUACCAAAAAAAAAAAAAAAAAAAAAAGAAGUGCAAACAAACAAAAGCCUUCAUUGAUCAAGUGGCGCCUCAGUACUCGGCGGAGCCCCAGAUCGGAGAGGCACCAGAGGGUGAUUAUUCAGAGCCUCAGUACUAGGCAGAACCCCAGGAGGAGUAGGCAUCGAAGGUUGAUCAUUUGGAGCUUCAUUACGCGGUACAGCCCCAGAAGACGAAGGCAAAUGUUGUUGGAACAAACCCACAAACCUCUGAUGAUCAAGUAAAAUUUGACCUAGGGGUGGGCACUUGGAACCGAAAACCGAAACCAAAACACGAAUCGAAUCAAACCGCACCAAACGGUUUGGUUUUGCGGUUUUGAAACGGUUUCGGUUUCAAAAUCGAACCGCGGCACACAAAACGGUUUGGUUUCGGUUUUGGGUUUUCAAAACCGCACCGAAACCGAAACCGCACCAUAUAAUAAAUAAAUGUUAUAUAACUUAUAUUUUAAACUUUUCAAGUAGGUUAUAACUUAUAGGUUUGUAUUAUGGCAAACUUAACCUUUCAAUUGGGUUGUAAAGUAUUGUCAUUGGUGAUCAAGUUCAAUUUUAGUAGAUGUGAUGCAUAAGGAUUUAAAGUUUAAACCCUUUGAUGCAUUGGAUGUUGUCUCAAUUUUAGUAGUUGUCAUUUGUUGCAGUUUUGGUACAAGUUUGGUACAAGUUAGCUGCACUUUUGGUGCAAAUUUUUGGUUCUGUUUUGUGCAGUUUUUUGGUGCUGUUUUGGUGCCGUUUUUGGUGCUGUUUUUUUAUGCAGUUUUGCUGCAUUAUUUUUUGGUGCAAUUUUGUGCAGUUUUGGUGCAGUUUUGUGCAGUUUUUGGUGCAGUUUUGCUGCUGUUUUUUAUACAGUUUUGCUGCAAUUUUACUGUAUAUUCAUUAAUUAAUAUACGAGGAAAAUAAGACCAUCUUAUGCAUAAAUAGGUGUAUAUUUUAAAUUGUACAUUUUUUUUCUCAAAAACCAAACCGAAACCGUUUGAAACCGCACCGCACUGAACCGAACGGUUUGGUUUCAUUUCGGUUUUGGCUUCAAAACCGCACCGCACCGCACCGCAAAAUGUUUCGGUUUCGGUUGUGGUUUCAUUCGAAACCGCACCGCGCCCACCCCUAAUUUGACCAUCAGAUUCCUGCAUCUGGUCAAUUUUCCUCUUCAUGUUUGUAGCAUAUUUAUGCGCGAGCCUGUGUAACUGUUUGUUCUCAUGCUUAAGCCCUCUAAUCUCCUGUUUGAGAUUCAUCACCUCAGCUGCCAAUGAUUCAACUUGACGGGUUCGAGCAAAUAGGCUUUGGGCCAUAUUAGACACAGAACCUGCACACUGCACACUGAAAGCCAGAGAAUCCUUAACAGCCAACUCAUCAGACCAUUUGGAAAGUAGUCUGUUAUCUCUGGGAGUGACAAGGUUUCGGGCCACCACCGCAGCGGUCAUAUCAUUCUUCACCACCGAAUCCCCAACGGUAAGAUGACCAGUAGGGGAUAUGAAGGAUGGGCGCCAUAUGUUGUCUGGAGAAGGCGGGACUGCCUCUUCACCAAGAUUCAAGUCAAAACGACGGUCGGAGGGUCCAGACAUUUUCAAAGUGUUGAAGAAAUAAGAGAUCAGACAAAUCAAGAUCUUAGAAGUGCAAGAAGGGAGUUUUCACAAGCGAAAAUUCAAGUGUGCUUUGAAAUAAACAGCGUGCCUCUAUAAAAAAUCAGCACUCGACGGGAUUUCAGAGAUCGAAGAGGCGAGGUCAGAAUUCGAAGAGGCCAAUUCAAAAAAUCAAAGAGGUGCUAGCUUUCUCAAAAGCUGGGCUUGCUCGGAAACCACGGGCGAUCUUCCUUUCCAGACUUGUCAGCACCCAUCACACGCAAACUCAGCUUUGCGAAAAUCACGGGUAAUUUGUCGAAGCGUCGAUCCCGGAUAUCGAAGAGGCUCCAGUCUUUUUCAGCCGCGUCAACACCUGUCAUAUGCACACUCAACUUUGCGCAAAUCACGGGCAAUUUGUCGAAGAUUUUCGGUGAAGGAGAAAGCACGUGAAGUUUACUGUUCAAUCAUCCAACGGUUACCGACAAGAGUGAAAGAACAGUACCGGUUAUUAAUCCAUAUAAAUGUCCACCUUCACCCCUCAUAGCAAGGCAGACAUACAGAACCAUUCUUCAUCUCCGAGAAUGCCUUCCCAACGAAUCCUCUCGGGUCACUCAGUGUUCCUUAUUCCUUGGGGUACCUUUGCAAACAAAUGACUCCAAAGCAAGAGUAUCUCAUAUCAUGCUUUGUCCUUGUCCUUUCCUUUGUCAUUGUUCUUACCUACAAAGACAAGGAUAAAGAAAACAAUAUGCCGGAACCUCCACUCAAACUCGGGUAAGGAACCGACUGCUUGGAACCCUUCCCUGAUUGCCUACCUAGCACUGCUCUCGAGUACUCGUUUCCCACUGCUGCUGUAUUUCCAAAGAAGCUGCCACAUCUGCCUGAAGAAUAGAUAAGGCAAGUGAAAAUGAUACCUUGCAGCAUGUGGAGACAACGUGCAGAAGAAACAAGUAGAGAAAAAUGCAACCUGCACAGUCAACUCAGCAGAAGGAGUCUGAGCUGAGGAACUCGAGAAGAUGCCACAUCUGCCUGGAGAACAAAUAAGGAAAUGCGGCAUGCACAAUCAACUCAGCAGAAGGAGUCUGAGAUGAGGAACUCAAGAAGAUGCCACAUCUGCCUGAGAAACAGAUAAAGGAAAUGAAAAUGAUACCUUGAAGCAUGUGGAGACAAGUGCAAACAAGCACAUGCUGAUUCAUCCGCUACUUCUUCAAAAUCAAAAGUAUCUCAUAUCAUCAAGGUUACAAUAACUCUAGACGGUGAAUUCGUUUUGACCCUCAAAUUCUUGGGUCGGCUUACUAGGCGUUGUGGGCUGCACGUGCCGAUUCACCACCCUUGAAUCAAACCCUUAAAGAUCAAGUCACCAACUGGAAGAAGAGCCCAACAAUCUUGAAGAUCAUACCGUUGACCAAACUGCUCAGGUGUGAAUUAGAAAGAUUGAACAAAGCAACAAGUCGUCACCUUCACCUCGUGCCUGCUUGCCAUGUGUUCGAGUCAUCCUCAAAAUCAAGCCUUAACGGCCCUUGAAGAAGCUUCCAACCAAAUUCAAGAUCAAGCAUCGACGACCUUUGAGGAAAUCACAAGUCCGAUUCAAGAUCAAGUGUCUACCACUCUUGAAUCAAAUCCAGUUCAAGAUCAAAGCUGUGGAAAGUCAACAAAGCGCAAAAACAAAUACAUGCCGAUUCAUCCACUACCAAAGCCAAAGAUCAUCUACCACAUGAAGUUCCUUGUGGUCCAAUUUCAACCUUUAAGAUCGAGCCUCGACGGCCCUUAAAGAAAUCUCCAGCCCAAUUCAAGAUCAAGCCUUGACGGCCCUUGGAUUGACAUCUACAGUAAGGGACUUCAAAACGCAUCUCCUACACGUGACAAGCACAUGUAUACAACGCGUCUUGAAGUGGGGGCAUUUGUAGACAUCGAAAUUUCGGUAAAUAAAUGUUGAUCGAUAAAUUAAAGUUUCAACGCUCAUGUAUUACCUAAAUUUUACACGUAGCGUGUGUCUAAACAAAAAAUCAAAAUAAGUUGGAAAAGUCAUCAAACAGGACACGUGUCAACACCUGGCAAAAACGACUUAUUUCAUCUGGAAUAUUAUAUUCAAAAUUAGGCCUUGGAAAUUUCUAUAAAUAGAAGGCUAAUUCAUUCAUUUGGGAGGACAAAAAAAUCAUUAUGCAAAAUUCUUGAAACUCUGAAGCUCUGAAACUCAAAAGCUCUCAAGCCUCCAGGUUCCCGAAGAAUCAAGAAAGUGUUUUUCGUUCUUCGUUCACCGUUCUUCCAAGAUCAAGCCCCAACGGCCCUUUGGAUCAACAAUCAUCCACCAAUUCAAGAUCAAGCCCCGACGGCCCUUGAAGAAAGUGUUCUUCGUUCUUCGUUCUUUGUUCUUCGUUCAUCGUUCUUCCAAGAUCAAGCCCCAACGGCCCUUUGGAUCAACAAUCAUCCACCAAUUCAAGAUCAAGCCCCGACGGCCCUUGAAGAAAGUGUUCUUCGUGCUUUGUUCAUCGUUCUUCCAAGAUCAAGCCCCAACGGCCCUUUGGAUCAACAAUCAUCUACCAAUUCAAGAUCAAGCCCCGACGGCCCUUGAAGAAAGUGUUCUUCGUUCUUCGUUCAUCGUUCUUCCAAAAUCAAGCCUCGACGGCCCUUGAAGAAAGUAUUCAUCGUUCAUCAACUGUUCAUCCUAAGAUCAAGCCCCAAUAGCCCGUUGGAUCAACAAUCAUCCAUCUUCAAGAUCAAGCCCAAAAGUCCUUGAAGAUCUGUUCAUCACCGUUAUUCAAGAUCAAGCCUCAACAGCUCUUGAAGAAACGCUCAUCCUCAAGAUCAAGCCCCAACGGCUCCUUGAAGAUCCGCUCAAAUCCACCUUCAAAAUCAAGCCCACGGCCCUUGAAGAACGUUCAUCCUUAGAUCAAGCCCAACGGCCCUUUGGAUCAACGAAACAUCCACAAAUCAACACCUUACGGAGAUCGAAUCAGAUGAUCAAAUUUGAGAGAGAUUGUAACCCAAAACCAUCAAAUACAAAUAUUUGUUUGUGCACGUUUUUCUUGUCUCUUUCGUUUCAGGAAUUUUCCGUGUUCACAGUAAUAUCUGAUGUCAAUUAUUGGAUAAAGGUCAAAUACGAGCUAUGGUUGGGCUCAGUGUUUUGGCGUCAGUUAAGAUUAUUGCUUUGGAGGAUACGUUUUGAAAUUGCUUUGAGAUGGAUAAGAAGUUUUAGGAUUUUUUUUUUUUUUUGUUUGGAUGGGGUAUCCUGAAUCUUGUGCAUUAGAAAUGGUCUAAUUGUGAGGAUUGCUUUGAAGGCAAUAUAUCAAGCCAAAGUUCCAAACUGUUUUCCAUGGUGAUUGAGGAAAAUUGAAGAGUUUGAUUGGAAGAAAAUGUGCAAGGUUCCAAUGUUCUAAUGUUCCAAUGUCCUUAAUUUUGCAAAUCUUUUGAACAUUUGAUAUUUUGUAAUGUUCUAACGUUUUUUUUAUUAUGCUCUUAUUUUGGAUAUGUAAAUAUAUACUUAAAAGAAAAAUGCGAUUUUAUGUUUUGGAUGUGACAAUAUGGUAUGUAUAUACUUAUUUAGUAUUAUGUUUUUCAUUUGAUUAUUUAUAAAAUAUAUUUUCCUUAACGGGUAACGGGUCGGGUCAUAUUACCUAUUAAUAUUAUUGGGUCGAGUCAUUUUACCCGUUUAUUUUAACGGAUGUUACACGACACAACCCGUUAGGCUAUCGGGUAUAACACGAACACAGAAAACACGACACGAAUGCCAAGUUUAAUUUUUUAGACCAAAUUUACAAAUCAUGUGAUGUAUCACUAAUAGAAAAUAAGUACGUUAAUCAAUACUUAAAUAAUGAUUCAAUCGUCAACAACUAUGUUAUAUGGUUUACGAAAUUAGUUUCUCUAGCAUUAUUUUUAAAAUAAUGUGUAUAAAGAGUAAGCUAAGUGUAGAAUAAAAUAAUAUGAAUUCAAAUAAAAUUUACCUAAUAUCAUUUGUAAGUCUUUUUUUUUUUUUUUUUUUGAGUUUUAAUGAAAAGCCUGCGGUACUAUUCACUUUAACUAAAAAUCACAUUUUUACACUAAAAAGUCAAACCUGGUACUAUUCACUUUAUCCUUUAUUUUGUCGUUAUCGUUAAAACUCAAAGUUUUCAAGCUUUUUUCAUUAGUUUUUCUUCUUUUUUUCACAUGACAUAGCGUUACUUGUUAUACUUAUACAUCAAUGUAAGUAAAUCAUGGAGGAAUAUGAAACUUCGACAAAAGUUACGGAAUCCCCUUCAAGACGUCUACAUAUACAUAUAUACAUACAUAUAUAUAUAUAUAUAGGCCCUUUAUCAAGAGAAUUCUCAUUUUUUUUUAAAAUAGAGACAUCCUCUUAACUGUUAGAUUUGGUUUUAAUGAAAUUCUGUGGUUGAGAUUAAAUCAUAAACCACAUAAUUUUAUUAAAAUCAAAUUUAACAGUCAAGAAGGGAUCCCUAUUUUUUUUUGAAAAAUAGAAAUCCAUCAUGUUAAGUAGUUCUAAUAUAUAUAUAUGUAUAUAUGUAUAUAUGUAUGUAUUGUGUUAGUUACACUGUUUUGCCAACAACAAUUCACACGUAAAGCUGGAAGCAAUAGAUUAUAGAUCUCUGACCUAGUUUGGGAGUGAGGUGCUUAAAAAAAAACACCCAUGAAAAAAAGCUGUGAGGGUUUUAGGUGUUUGGUAAACUGAAAAAAAAGGGCUUAUUUUGGAAGCUGCUGUGAGAAUAAGCUGAAAUCAAAGGAAAAAGCUGAAGCUGCUAUUUGCAGCUUUGGAAAACUGGCUUUUUUUCAAAGCACACGGAGCUAUAAUGCUUCUUUAAUGAAAAUACCCACUAUUAGACUGCUUUUUUUUUUCCAAAAGCACUUUUACAAAAAAGUUUACCAAACACUCUGCUGAUUUAUUUCACAGCCGCUUAUUCUCACAGCACAGCCGCUUAUUCUCACAGCAGCUUUUUUUCAAAGCACAGCAAUACCAAACCAGCCCUGUCUGGAUGGUCAGUCGUUGAAGUGAAUCCGAGAGACAAAAAGCGGGUCAUGAACAUUUUAAUAAUUUAUUAUACACCCAGAGGCUAGACCUAGUUUCAUAUUAGAUACGGGAGCAUUAUACAUAUGGUAAUAUGUAAACUUUUUCAUGAUGCAAUUAAAGCUUAUUUUUAGUUACGUCUCUUGAAAUUCGAUUUUAAUUUUAUUUUACUUCAUAUAACUCAAAAGUCAUAACUUUACUCUUUAAUAUUAAAAAAUCAUUUCAUUUUACCUUCUAAAGCUUAACUUUGAACCCAGUUUGCGCCCCCUAAAAAUUGAUAGUCUACAACUAAUUGGUAUAUACAUUUGAGUAUCACCUGAUAAAAAUAAGACAACAAUUAAUUGGUAUAUACAUUUGGGUAUCACCUGCUCAGUAUUAAUGUGAAAAAAAUCUGUAUCUUGCUGUCCUAAUCAUUUAUACGAAUCAAAUGACAUGGUCCAUAAUACGCGUUGGAGGAGGAAAAGUAGGUGGGAACACUGCUAGAGGGAGGAAAUUAGGUAAAAGUUUAAAAUCUCCUAGUGGAAGACUCCAUAACACGCGUAGCCGUUUCCAACUUUAAAUAUUUCAUUUUUUUUUUUUUGAAAACAUUAAAUAUUUCAUAUUUGGCAUCGAAAUUAUGGCUCCAGGUCCACUGUCCCGGACUCUAUGUCUCAUUUUUAAUUUUUUGAAGUAAAUUGUCGAUUUACCUCCUGAACCUUCAUCUAGCUUUCAAUUUCCCUCUUGAACAUUUCUAUUGGAAAAUUAAGGACUCAAACUAAUUUUUUUAGCCGAUUUGCCCCCUACCGUUAGUUUUUCACAUAUUUCAUCCAUAUUUCUGUUAAGUGAGACCAUGUGCACAACAUGUGAGGGCAGUUAAGUCAUUUCACUCUUAAAAAUGAUUAAAAAACUGAUAAUAAAUAAAAAAACAAAACUUUCCUUCUAUUUUUUCCUACUAAUUCCUAUCCUCAAUUUUAUUUUUCCCUCUCAUUCCUAUGCAUGAGAAAUGACAUAUGGUGUUAUUGUCUUCAUAAGUAGCUAAGUUAGUCUUUUUCUUGAAGCAUGUACUACAAAUGUAGCUAAGUUAUUGUUGACCCUAAAAACUACCAAGCCUACGUGGCGCGCAGGCCGAGUAAUUAAUAAGCUAACUACGUCAUUCGGUUGUGUGCGGGGGCGUGCCAACUCGACGGCCGAGCUCGGCCGGUGAGUAAAAUUUGUUGAUGUUGCGUUGGGUGAGCUGCUGACUUCUUGAUCUUGCGACUGCGGGUCGAGGAAGGAACACUAUCGGCCUUCGGGUUCUAUAGCCUGAAGACAAGGCUGCUAGUUCUGCGAAGUUCAAUAUCUAAUUCGGCUUUCAAUGUGUCGAAUGUAGUAACUUGUAACACCUCACUUCGCCGAGAAGGCUAAUGAGAUGACCUCUGCCAAUAAAGAUUCGAAAAUCCUUCUCGACCGAGACUUGGAUAGAUAACCAGUCGGCCUCGACGCAGUGCUGUUUAUCCAAACUGAAGGUGCUCUGCGGUCGACUGAUUCCACGGCAACAGUGCUGUUUAUCCAAACUGAAGAUGUUCCCCGGUUGCCUUCACAGUGUUGUUUAUCCAAACUGAAGAUGUGUUGGCGAAAAAGAAAAUAAAAAUCUCAAGAUGUUUGAGAGGUUUGGCAUAGAGCGAGGGUUUGCGCAGGGCAGUUUAUGUGUUGAGUUAGAGGUCCCUUUAACGUUGCAACGCACCUUGUAUUUAUAGCAUUCAUAUCUUCUACUGGGCACGGCCAGAUAAUUUUGUAGAGUCCAACUACAACUCUAAUUCCCGGAACCGAACUUGAUCCGCAUCAGAAACCAAGGCAUAUCCUUCAAAUUGAUCAGUGGGAUUCGUCCUUUGACUUUUCACCCAUCAGCUAAAUAAGCAACAACCUAUCUGAUGAGCUCCAUGGUGCUGGAAUCAAGGCAUGCAAGUUUAUCCAUCAGCCAUGUAUUUCAACAUGACUCGGCAAUAAAAAGGGCACGGUCUCUAGUAAUUUGAAUGCAAGUUUUACUCUUGAUCUAUCCAUAGAAACUGUCCUAGUACAAUCAUGCAUUAUCAAAGAAAAUAUCAACUUGAUCGCAUCUCCCCACCCUCCACGUGUUUACAUGUUGACUUACCAACUUAAUCUAAUCACCAUAUUCCAAAAAACAUCACGUGCAACAACUCCAUCCAUGAAUUCCAAGUCAAUUUGACUUGUACCACCCACUCGUUUAUCAAAAAUAGGACACGUAGGAGAUUGCAUGCAUUUGGGAAUUGAUACUCAAUCGAACUGAAGAUGGACCAAAUCAACUUUUUCCAAAACAACCAACUGGAUAUAUCAAAUAUUAGGUUUAAAUAUCCUAGUUAAUAUUAAGAGAUAAUAUUAUCAAAAUAUCAUUUCUCAAUAAUAACUAAAAAUCAUUCCUACCACUUUAUCAUCCAACGGUCUAAUAUUUGAUCAUUCAACGGUCUCGAUCGCUUAGGCCGAUAGUGUAAAAUCGGGUCCAAACAGUUAUAUACCUUAUGGAUGGUAAAAUCUCUUACGUUUUCCAACUUCUUAAGGAUCGUUUUGUGGAAUUAUAUUGAGAUUAUUAUGACAUUAUGAAAAGUAUGUAAUUAUCUUGAACAUUUUUUAUGAGUAUUAUGAACAUGUUUCUUAUAUUAAUGUCCUGCUUUUGAGACAAUAACACCAUGAGCAUUUGUCAAAUUAUUAAUUUGUUAGAGAAAAUAAAAAUGGUAGUACAUGCUUCAAGAAAAAGACUAACUUAGCUACUUAUGAAAACAAUAACACCAUAUGUCAUUUCUCAUGCAUAGGAAUGAAAGGGAAAAAUAAAAUUGAUGAUAGGAAUUAGCGGGAAAAAAAAGAGGGAAAGUUUUGUUUUUUUAUUUAUUUUCAAUUUUUUAAUUAUUUUUAAGAAUAAAAUGACUUAACUACAUUCACAUGUUGUGCACAUGAUCUCACUUAACAGAAAUAUGGAUAGAAUAUAUGAAAAACUUAUGGUAGAGGCAAUCGGCUAAAAAAAUUAGUUUGAGUCCUUAAUUUUCCAAUAGAAAAGUUCAGAGAAUAAAUUGACAGUUUGCUCUAAUUUUUUGACACGGGUCUCUUACUUGACUCAACAUCUGACACUGUUAAGUUUUACUAAAACUAAUUAAUAAAUAAAUAAAAACUAAAAACCCAGGCAUGGAGAGAGCCAUUCGGCUCCUCCGCCUCGCCAUCGCAAACCCAGCAAAAAGCAAAGUAGAAAAAUUCGAAAAUCAAGCUGAAGAAGAAGAUGACGAUGAUGGGUGAUGGAUUGGUGAAUAAAGAGACCGGCGAGAUCGGUGGUCGGAGCCCACACGUUUCUGCAAUUGGGAGCUAAACGGCCGGUGCUAUUAUUUUUUAGUUUGCUUUUUUUCCAGAUCUGGUCAAAUCAUGAUAGCAAUGUUAUGCAAUUUUCAAGAGAGAGAUGCACCUGGGAGAGAAACGGUACGGUGAAAAGUUGAACUGCAAGAUUUUUGGGUAUCUGGAGUUUUGGGGUGGGUCUCGGGAGUUUUCUUAUUGAGUGGUGAUAUUUCCACCCCGAUGUCUUAUUUCCCCACCCAUCAUUUAAUGAAAAUGUUAAUAACAUAUUUAUCCUUUUAAAAGAAGACUCUUAAACUCCUAUUUCAUUCAAUACUAAAAUUUUGAAAAGAUAAAAAAUAAUUUAAAAUAAUAAAUAAAUAAUGGUGGGUGGGGUGUGAUAUCUUUGGGGGAAAGAGGUUUGGAAAGGGUUAGAAUCGACCGGAAAGGUUGGUGGAAGGAAUGAGCGUGUACUUGACGAAGGCGAUAAACUUCAAUGGAGAAAAAAAAGAAUUGAGUGUGAGAUCUGCGGUUUUGACAAAAAAUGAGGAAGAAGAGUGGUUUGGGGGUCCAGGGUCUCUGUAGGGCGGCGAUAGGUGUGAAUGAUAUGAUAAAUGUCUAGGUCUUAGGUCUUGCAUUUUCUUUCAUUUUUUCUAUUUUUAUUUAUUUAAUUAUAAUAUUAUUUAAAGAUAUAUUAGAGUUAUUUAAAAAAAAUAUUAUGGUUAUUUUGGGAAUAAUGGUGGGUGGGGAAAUAACAUUUUACUUUUUUAAUUUUUUAUGGUGGGUGAGAUUAUCAUAUGGGUGGGAAAAUAGGACACUGGGGUGGAUCUAGUAGCACUCUUUCUUAUUUCUUUGAUUUUUUUAUAAUUUAUUUUAUAAACAGUAUCAGUGUUCUGUGGAGUUAAAUUGUAAAACACGUGUCAUCAAACUAAACAAAGAGACACCAAGGAGACAUGGAAUCCGGGAGAAAUUUUUUGUUGUGACAAGAAUACUGAUGUUACAUCCCGUGUUUUUAUGCUAGUGGUGGAAAAUUUUAAUUUUUAAGUUAUUAAUCUUUUAACACAAAUAACCUAUUAUUUAUAGAAGUAUACGUGGUAUACCACCUUGUUUGACAGUAAGUCGAAAAUAUCUCUCGGAAUGAAAAUAUCUCUCGGAAUCCGGGACAACAGACCCACAGCCGAAAAUAACACUCAUUGAGACAUCCCACGUGGAAAAAAGUUGACCGAGAUCUGAACUAGUAACAGAGCAAAACUAGCUCAUCCCCAUUCCCCACAAUCCAAACACUUUCAUCUUUGAGAUUCCUAUCCGUCGACGACACAGUUGUGACCAUGGCUGAGUUGGUGGGUGGAGCUUUUCUCUCUUCUUUCCUCUCUGUUUUGUUCCACCGGAUGGCUUCCCGUCCGGUCCUCGAUUUCAUCUCUGGGAAGAAAAACAACAACGAGCUGCUAAUGAGGGAGUUGAAGAUCAAGUUGCUCACUGCUAACAGGCUGGUUGACGAUGCCGAGGAGAAGCAGAUGACAAGCCCGACUGUGAGGGAGUGGGUCGACGAUCUCAAAGAUGCUAUCUACUGUGUAGGAGAGUUGCUGGACGAGAUCAACACUGAAGCUCUUCGACGCCAGCUGGAAGGUGACGAUGACCAUUCUCCUGCAGCUAGCAGCAGCACAAGCUGGAUCUCGAGAUCAGUAUUCAAGCCUUCUUCUGCGUCCGAUGAAUUUCACAACUCUCUUGAACCGAAGAUAUCAAAGGUUCUGCGCGUGUUAGACCUCAUUCUCAAUGAAAGAGACGCUCUUGGUCUGAAAGAAGGAGUUCAACAUAGACCACAAGAAAGAAAUCGUCAAACUACUUCACGGGUCGAUGAGUCUGGCGUCUUCGGAAGGGAAAAGGACAGAGAAACGAUUCUUAAAUCAUUGCGUUCGAAUGAUACUGCUGGCGCUAAGAUAGCAGUUCUUCCCAUCGUGGGCAUGGGAGGGAUCGGGAAAUCCACCCUUGCUCAACUUGUGUACAAACAUAUCAAGGAUGACUUUGAUGUCCAAGCAUGGGUUUGUGUCGGAGAAGAAUUUGGUAUUCUUCAAAUAGCACAAACAAUAUAUGGGAGAAUCAUAGCUCAAACUUGCACGAUCACAGAUCUGGAUCUGCUUUCUGAAAAAUUGGAGAAGGUUUUGACAGGAAAAAAGUUCCUCUUCGUUCUUGAUGAUGUUUGGAAUGAAGAUUAUGAUGAUUGGAAUAACUUGAUGACUCACUUCAAUAGUUGCGGAGGACAUGGAAGUAAGAUCAUUGUCACAACACGCCUCGGACGCGUUGCAUCUAUCACGGGGACUCUUUCAACACAUUAUCUACAGAUAAUAUCUGAGGACGAUUCUUGGUUGUUAUUUGCAAAGCAUGCGUUCACAAAUGCCAGUGUUGUUGGCGCACAUCCGGAGCUUGAAGUCAUUGGAAGACAAAUUGUUAAGAAGUGUCAAGGCCUUCCCUUAGCUAUAAAAUCAUUAGGGGGUCUAUUACACUCUAAUUCAAAUCCGAAGGAAUGGGAAAAGAUAUUGAAGAGUGACUUAUGGAAGUUGUCGAACGAUAAGAUUUUGCCGGCUUUAUGGUUAAGCUACUAUUAUCUUCCACCACAUCUCAAGCGUUGUUUUGCUUAUUGUUCGAUAUUUCCAAAAGGUGACAAAUUUACAAAAUCAGGGUUGACCUUAUUGUGGAUGGCCGAAGACCUCAUACAAUCCAAAGAGGAGGGCGUAUUGGAUCCGGAAGAAGUUGGAAGUGAUUACUUUGACAUUCUAUUAUCAAGGUCUUUCUUUCAACAUUCAGGUGAAUUAUGGGGUGAGUCAUAUUUCACCAUGCAUGACCUUAUCAAUGAUUUAGCAAAGUUUGUAUCUGGAGAGUUUUGUUUGAGAUUGGAGGAAAUUCAGCCGCCCAACAAAAAUUUAUGCAAAACUCGUCACUUUUCAUUCAUGAAAUUUGGAGGUCAUGACAUUCAGAAAUUUGAGGCGCUGGAUGAGGCUAAGCACUUGCACACCUUUCUACAACUUGAAUACGUACCAGACUGUUGUGGUAAUAAGUUGGCAUUGGACUACACACUUGUUGAUUUAUUACCAAAUCUACCAUAUUUAAGAGUGCUCAAGUUAUCUGCUAUCGGUGAGUUGCCUAGCUCAAUUGGCAACUUAAAACAAUUAAGGCAUUUGGAUGUGUGUGAGACUUCAAUAAGAGAAUUACCUGAGACGGUGUGCACCUUGUACAAUUUACAGACCUUGUUAUUGUUUGGUUGUCAUCGUCUGAUUCAACUACCAUCCAAUUUGAGAAGGCUAAUCAACUUGCGCCAUCUUGAUAUCCGUGACACAGAGAUUCAAAAGAUGCCUGCAGGGAUGUGUAAUUUGAAAAAUCUCCAAACAUUAAGCCAUUUUGUGGUGGACAAACAAACAGCUCAAAGGAUUGGAGAGUUAAAAGAACUUCAGCAUUUGCGCGGAACACUUCACAUCUUAGGAGUUGGUAACGUUAAGGGGAAUGCUUUGGAGGCAGAUAUCAUGAGCAACAAGGAGUAUCUGGACCAACUUGUUUUGACAUGGGGAAGAGGUUAUGAUGCUAGUAAUCAUGAUCCAGAAAAUGACAGAGAAGUGCUCAACAAGCUCCAACCUCAUACAAACCUCAAACAACUUGAGAUUAUGUCUUACGGGGGUUUAAGAUUUCCAGGUUGGUUAGGAGAUCCAUAUUUCUCUAAACUAUUUUCUAUUCAACUUACAGUUUGCAAACAUUGCUGCUUAUUGCCACCACUUGGGCAACUACCCUCCCUCAAAGAGCUUCAUGUUCGAUGGAUGAAUAACGUGGUUGAGAUUGGUAGCGAGUUUUACGGUAAUGAUACUUGUGGGAUUACUCCAUUUAGAUCUCUACAACAAUUGUUCUUCAUAGAUAUGUUGGAGUGCAAAAAGUGGUCAUAUUACGAUGGAAGCAGAAGCAACACCACAAUACUGUUUCCUAAUCUUCGUGAGCUUGUACUGAGCAGAUGUCCCAAGCUAACUGAGAUAGUACCGUUGGAGAAGCUGCCAAGGCUUGAAAGCGUACAAUUGUGGGACCUGGAAUCCUUCAAUGGUUCACUUGCACAUGUGGAAUCUGAAUGCCCUAAAUUCCUCUCCCUCGUUCACUUGCGAAUAG
RNAcentral lists this long non-coding RNA (136775 nucleotides) under Malus domestica (apple). Its description in RNAcentral is "long non-coding RNA (MDOM_LNC007408)". Lineage: Eukaryota; Viridiplantae; Streptophyta; Magnoliopsida; Rosales; Rosaceae. The record is from RNAcentral.